This 92316-nucleotide long non-coding RNA is filed under the name Capsicum annuum. RNAcentral's name for it is "long non-coding RNA (CANN_LNC001153)". The record is from RNAcentral. Lineage: Eukaryota; Viridiplantae; Streptophyta; Magnoliopsida; Solanales; Solanaceae.
AAACUGGACUGACUAUGCUACUUCAUGCCAACCUACCUCUUUUUCUAUGCGUAGAGGCCUUCUUAACUGCUGUGUUCCUCAUUAAUAGGCUGCCUUCCUCAGUAUUGAAAAUGACUCCAUUUGUCAAAUUAUAUAGUGCACAACCUGACUAUAACAGCUUGAAGGUGUUUGGAUGUAGAUGUUUUUCGUACAUUAAGGGUGAUACCAAGUUUAGCCCAAAGUCUUAUCCAUGUGUUUUCACAGGAUAUAGCAGUAAAGGAUAUAUAUGCUAUCAUUCUCCAACAAGGAGAGUCUAUGUGUCAAGGCAUGUCAUUUUUUACGAGUGUACAUUACCUUAUGUACAACCAAUACAGUCUCAAGCUAAAGCUAAUGUCUCACUUCACCUAGCUACCUUUGUUGAGUUUUUUACUAAUUUGCAGGCACAUGAUUCUGUUAAAGUUACUCCAGGGGAAGUGCUGCUGGUUGUGGUGAAUCAAGCGACUCAACUAACUGUUGAGGAUCAGGCUACUCAUGUAGUUGAUCAACUAGCACCUGUUGAGCUUAUAUUGCCAACUGUUGAUAACCAAAUAACACUGGCUGAACCUGUUUUAGCCACUCUUGUUAAUGAUGACAGGGAUUCUAGUUCCAUAUUUGAAAAUGAGUCUUCUGAAAUGCUUGACAUCUCAAAUGCUGAAGCAAUAGGAGAUGCUACUGAUCCACCUAGCAUACCACAACCCUCAUCACUCUCAGUGUCUAAUCCACAAGAUGAUAGUGCAGGUGCAACACUCGUAGAAGAUAGUGCAGCUCAGAUAUCACUAGAACCACAAAGGCAUCAUAUGAUCACCAGAUAUAAGGCAAAAUCAGCUGCUUUACCUUAUGUGUCUCUUGUUGCAAGCAAAGAACAAAUCAUGAGGGAACCAAAAUAAAGAAAUGAAGCACUGAAGUCACCACAUUGGUUUGCAGCUAUGCUGGAUGAGAUAAAUGCUCUACACAAUAACAAAACCUGGAUACUAGUACCUAAACAUGCAGGUAUGAACUUGGUUGGCUCCAAAUGGGUGUUUAAGACUAAACUGUCGGCAAAUGGAGCAAUCGACAGGUACAAAGCAAGGCUUGUUGCUAGGGGUUUCCCUCAACAUGAAGGAAUAGACUUUGAAGAAACAUUCAGUCCGAUGGUUAAAGGCUACAACAAUUAGAGUGGUUUUGUCUGUAGCUGUUUUACUUCAAAAUGGCAUGCCAGACAACUUGAUGUCAAAAAUGCAUUUCUACAUGGCCACUUGCAGGAUGAAGUAUACAUGAGUCAACCUCCAGGAUUCAUUGACCCCAGGUAUCCAACUCAUGUCUCUUUGUUAAAGAAGGCAUUUGUAUGGUGCUAAAUAGGACCCUAGAGCAUGGUUUGACAGAUUCAGUAUGUAUUUGCUUCACCUUGGUUUCACUUGUAGCAAGGCAGAUCUCUUUGUUUACUUUACAUGAUAACAGAGGGACUCUUAUUAUUACUAUAUGUGGAUGAUAUAAUUAUCACAGGAAGUAAUCGAAAGCAUGUCUCAGAGGUGGUUGCUAAACUUGGGAGAGAAUUUUCUAUGAAAGAUCUUGGUCCUUUACAUUUCUUUCUAGGAAUUAAGGUCAAGUACUUCCUAGGUGGACUACACUUGAGUCAAGGGAAGUAUGCUGCUGAGUUGCUUAAUAAGACUGAUAUGAUACGGGCAAAAGCAAUAAAUACACCUCUUGCACAGAAACAUAGCUCUCAUGAAGCUGUUGGAAGCCCUGUUGAUGCAUCUUUGUAUAGAAGGAUUAUGGGAAGUCUUCCGUAGUUGACACUCACAAGGCCUGACAUCACUCAUUCAGUAAAUCUAGCUAGUCAAUGCAUACAGAGUCCAAAUAGUUAACUGAUGCGCCCAAAUUACACCUCUCUUACGAGAGAGUAAGUGGUCGCUGUCAAAUAUAGAACCCCACUUGGUUGGGUGUCGAAUCCCACAGGGAAUACAGUGUUCACUAAGUAUUGUGAUUGUUAUUAGACUGUUGAUCUAAGGUUUCGAAAUAAAGGGGGUUUGGAAGUGUUAACGGUAUUCUUUUGUAUUUGUGUUAAAAGUCCAGAUACUGAGAAUAAAUGUAGAUGUAAUUUCAAUGAAAAUGAAUUAACUAGAGUUAUGCUCACCAAGAUGUUCAAACAAUUAUGGUUGCGAGUUUGUGUUCGAAAUCUAACUUAUGUAUUCAAUUGCAAGAAUUAUUGAAUUCUAAGGAUUACCCAUAUGUUUCUCAACCUAAUGAGUAUUUCACCCUUUACUUCUCUCGAACUUAAAGGAUUCAUGCAUUAUUCAAUAACACUCUCAUGAGGGUGAUCCUGUUAAGGCAUCAACCCGUUAACCCAAAGCGUAAACCUAUGGAGUUCAUGUGAAUCACUUCUUUUCCCAACAUCCACUUUCUUGUCAGACAAGUGGAGUUUAUGGGCUCACUUCUCAAGUUUGCAACCAAGAGAUAUCAUUAAGAUGAAGAAAGAUUCAUGCAAUUUCGAUAGAUGUUAGAAAUCAAACACAUUCACAACCCCAAAAUAGUUCUCUGCAUCAAGGCUCCCAUAACCCUAGUUAUGGGAGUUUAGCUACUCAUCUCCAUAUAAGAAAUCAAAGUUAUAUUGAUGUUCAUAAAUAGCUUCAGAAAAGUACUUACAAAAGUCACAAUAUUGUUCUUCACAAUCUUUGAUGGAAAAUAUGAAAACUAAUAAUCAACUCUCAAUCUCUCGAUUCAAAUCCUAAUGAAAGGUAAUACAAAGUUCUCAAUAGAGGAGAAACUAUGAAACCGAAGACAAAGGAUCAGAUCGGAAUAAACCCUAAUACUCGGUAUUUAUAUGAUUCCAGCACUGGGGUUUUAAAAUUCAAACUCAGAUUCUCCGCGUUUUGGUCGACCGGUCAAGCGACGGUUCGUCGCUGGGUGUCUAGUGACUCCAUGUUCUGCUUCUGGGCAACGGGUAGUGCGAUGACCCGUUGCAAGGUCGACGGUCUGUCGCCUGGACCGUUGCAGGACUUCUAGUGAUGAUGCAUUAUGUAUUAUGGCGACGGUUCACACCGACGGUUCAUUGCAGGGCCGACGGUCCGUCGCCUGGACGUCCAGAGUCUGUGCCUUCUGCUUUUUUUGUCGACUGUUUAGACCGACGGAUCGUCGCAAGGUCGACGGUCCGUCGCCUGAGUCGUCAAUGCUCAAUUUGCCUUUGUUUUGUGCAGAUUGUCCAAGUUAUCCUUCACACUUAGUCCUUAUCCUGAAAGCACUAAAAUGCCACACUCAGUCCUUAUCCUGAAAGCACUAAAAUACCAUGUUAAAUACAACCAUGGUUGCUUGAAAACACACAAUUAUCCUAAGGAAAAGGCCAAAAAUGUUCCGUCAAAACCCGGAACAUCAACAUCCUCAACUUAAGGCAAUUGCUUGUCCUCAAGCAACUCAACACCAGGAUACAUAUAUGAACAACAUCAUGAUGAGCAUUUCAUAGUAAAACCAACACAAUCAUACAAUCAUUCCACUACCCAUUUGGUUAUGCCAUCUCAACACACAUGGGUCCACUACUGGCAUUAACUACUAAUCAACACAUUCAUAGCUAUAGAUACAACACCUCAAAGAACUAAAUAGAACAGAUAUAACUCAACAUGCCCUCACAGCCAAAGAAGUCCACCUCACAUCACAGUUCAAUCGUGGACAAAACUAAGCUUCUCACUUUCAGAAAAGAAGUUGCCAACACAGUGUACACCUAUAAGCUUGCCCUUAUCAUCUAAUGUUCUCUUAUGAUUGGCUCGCUAAGAUAAGUAGGACUUGCUAAGAAAGUUAUUCAUUUGGGUAAGUGGCUUAAAAGUACAAGAAUUUCACUCUCUUUACCCUUUUUGGUAGCUACUUACCAGAAUUAAGGACCCUCUCUUUCAUUUGCAGUUAUUUAUCAGUGCUCUUGCCAUACCCAGACUCCCUCCCCUCCCCCUCCUUUUCUUAUUGAGAACACAACAUCAGCCACCCUCAACUUAUGCUGAUGCAGAAGAUUGAGGUGCACAAUAUCUAUUUAGAUUGCUAACUAGACCAGGGCCGGAUGCUACCUCUCAAAUUACUUUCAACUCAACCUCCUAGGCUGUUAACAAUCCAGCAGUAGCCACCCUCAACUUAGGCGAUUUACCUAAGUUAAAGUGCAUAAUGUCCAUAAUUGGACCAGGGCUAAAGCUAAAUGCUUAACACCUUCUAGAAAGUGAAUCAAACUUAUUUGGACAGAAAAAACACUACCAUAACUCAAAAGGGUUGACAAAGGGAACACAAUGUUUUUUGGUGGGUCAAUCAUUUCGCUAAGUGGACUAACAAUACAAGAAGGCCUACUAUCCUCUCUUAUUGAGUCAAAACACACGACAACAUUUGAUGAACCGGGCAAGUUCUAGGUGUAACACUUAUGUCAGAACUACACAAAUACUCACCCAUACAGGCACUGAGUUAACUUCUAUCCUACUAAUUUUCGGGAUCCAGAUCACAUAGCUAUGCUUUGCCUUAUUACUAACUUCUAAUGCCAUUAACAGAGUCACACAUGGUUGCACAACACUUUGCCACUUGGUAGGAGGAAUUAAUUAUACGAAAAAUGUAAAACACAAUUUUGCCACCAUCAGUUGUCAUCCUCAUAUGUACAACAAGGUGCCAACGGGAAUGGAACUUUUAUUUCAUGCAAUCAUAUUACCAACAAAACAUGAAAAUGAAAAUUCAACAAACAGAACAUGAAAAUGAAAAUUUAACACUUAGACAUGCUAAUAAUACGGCAACACAGCCCCCCCAACAAGCACAUCCCACCACCACAAAAAAAUGCUUUGUCCUCAAAUGCAUAAAAUUUUAAGUACAAAGGGGAAAAUACUUAUCGUGCCUCUUAUUCAAUCUGAAGCAUCAGUGAAGUGUGGGGUGGCGCCAGCGUCCUCACCAGGUGCAAUGUUGACUCCCAUGGUGGUGGGAGUACUCAAAAUCUCUCCCUCCAGAGUCGGAGGUAGCACAUCUCUGACAGGGUCUGAAAUUUGCCUCCUGACUGAGGCCGAACUAGUGAAUACUCCAGCUGCUUCAUCUUGAAGCCUUUUCUACUGCUUCUCUGCCUCUCUCCUUGAUUUUUUUACUGCCCGCCGCAUCUGGUAAUCUUCGAAUUGUUCAAGUGACAUGGCUGCUAGUCUUCGCUUCUUCUCUUUUUUCUUAGCAGCUUUCUCAGUCUUCUUGUCUGCUUCUGCCACUUUCUUAUCGGACACCCAAAUAAGUCAACAAGACCCUCGUCCUCAUCACUAGCAAUCUGGACUGGAUCAAAGAUGGUCUGCUGUGGCUGCUGAUUUAUCUUGUCUACAUCUGCCCGGAGCCGUCUAACCUCUUCUAUCACUUUAGCAAAAUCUGGGAUGGACAUUGUAUCCAACUUCUUGUUGAUUCGCUCCUUCAUUUUGUCCAUUCGCGGCUGGAUGUUUCUGAAAGGGUGCAAUGCUUUCCUCUACAAUCCGCUCAACAAAGGGUUUGAAAUCUUUCCCCCAUAUUGCCAUCUGCUUUUCAAUCUUUUUGAUAGCCCGUACAGUCUUUGCAAAGUUUUCAUGGUUCAGCCUGUACUCAGAAUAUUGGGGUGGGAUAGACGCAGAGUUUGGAAUCCCACCCGUAGGCAUCGAAUUUGAACCUGUAGACGUAGUAGGAGGCACAUACGUAGUAAGUGGCAAUGGCAUACAUGCAAAACCCUUUGACGAUUCAGGAACUGGCGCUGACUAAGUCUGAUGAGCUGGAGGUCUGCUGACUCUCAUAUCAAACCUCGAUUCAUCCCUCGUCUUUUCAAUGUCCUGUUUGUGCAGUGCUGGGACCUCAAUAUCAACCCCACUAAUCAAAGGAAUAUUUGCUUGCCUGCACAAGUCAGUGAUACGCCGUCUGAGUCUUGUGAGCACGGAAGAACAACUCAUCAGAGAUAAUGUGACCAAAAUCUACGGUCAACCCUUUAAUCAAGCAGCCACAACCACAGCUCUAGUAAGUUCCAAACGAUCAUCGCCUCUAGGGGGCAUGAGCCUCAGUCGCACAUCGCCCACCAAAACUUGGCUCUGAAGCUGAGGGAUUUCUUCGAUAUUCGUUCAUUGAGAUCGUGUAACCAUGUAGGCUCGCCCCCGUCUGUCAGGAUCCUCGCUAACCAGGGCCUUUGUGUAGCCCGUGUGAAUAAUCGAUGCUCCAACUCAGGAAUUGCCCCUGGUAUCUGGUAAUCGAGCCCAAAUAAGAACCUGUUCAAAGUCCGCUCUGAAAUGUCGAUGUCAACUCCACGGACAGGAACUAUCUCCAGCUUGUUCAUGUCGGCAACUGAUGCUCCUGCGAGACAGUCCUUUUUCAGCAAUGCCAAAUAGUUGGCAAAAAACUCGCGAACUAAGGUAGGUUGGUAGGAUCCAAGUGGCUUACUCAUCCAAGCCAACUCAUACUCAUUGAAUCGCCGCUCGAGUUCAGGAUACUCGUGCAGUUUGGUUGUUAUGAUCUGAUACUCAGAAAUUGCCUUUUUGAUUGGUAACCUAUCCGUUGGUGCCAACCCUUUGUAGAAGAUAUCUCGAGCACCCACCACUUGCCAUCUUAUGGCUUCCCGUACUUGAGGGUCCUUGCGUCGGAUUAAGUUAGGAUCCUCCUGUUGGGGAGCCUCCUCUUGAACGGGUUAGAAGUUUUCAAUCCCCACCUCAACUGGAAUCGAACUGGAGCUGCUGCUGCUACUGUCUUCAACCUCCUCCUCAGACGAGGAGGAUGAAGAAACCACUUGAUGACUUCGCCGAGUGUUAUGGGCUGGUGCGUCAGACCUGGUUGCUUGGCCUCUACCCUGGCCUCUGGUUUGUGGUAAUUUGGGAGCCAUGAUACCUUAGCGUUGCUGCACGUGAUUCUAACCUCGAAUUGCACUCAAAACACAUGAUGCAGUAUGACAAUUUACUUUUGUGGAGAACUUUUGUUGUUUGCAAGUGAGAGAACAAUGAGGGGAUGAAGUUUAAAUAGAAGAGGGAAAAGGGAAAUGGAAGGUCUUCAGAGAGAAUGAACGGUUACAGGUGCUUUGAAUAAUACGGGGGUUACUCAAUCGCUUCAAAUUAUCUAUUUAAAACCGUUUGGGUCGGAUAAGAAUGAAAGAGUUGCUAUUUAAAUCGAUCCGAUCCGACCCGCUGAAAUAGGGUUAAAUGCGAGGUUCGUUCGACGGUCCGUCGAAUAUGUGACGGUUCGUCGAUCGACCCGUCGUCCUAAUCUUGUGAACAUACCUUGUGACUCAUUAGUGACGAUUCGUUUGACGGUCCGUCGAACUUGCGACGGUCCGUCGAUUAAACCGUCGCUCCUUUUCCAGUUUCUUGGUUUCUGGACAUUGUCGCGACGAUAACCACGACAGUACGUCGAGCCCACGACGGUCUGUCAGGUGACCCGUCGGUCACCUGAAACUUCUUCUGUUUUUGUUUUCCCUGCUCUGUUAUACCUGCACAUUUCUUCCACACACCCUUCAACUUGCAUAAAUAAACAAAACAAACAGCAAUAACCUAAAUUAAUGGUACACAACAACACAAUGUGGGUUGCCUCCCACUAGCGCCUGAUUUAUCGUCGCAGCACGACUUAGUUAUCUCGAUUACUCAGACUUCAUCGAGAUAGAGAGUAGUAGCACUACUUUUUAUCGAGUCUUUUUGACUGAUAUAAAGUUUGACUCGUUGCCCGUUGACUUUGAAGACACUUCCAUCUUCAUUUUCAAGUUCAACUACUCCAAAUGAAUAAACUUGACUCACUUUAAACGGGCCUGACCACUUGGACUUAAGUUUACCUGGAAUAGUUUGAGUCUGGAGUUGAACAGAAGCACCAAGUCACCUUUUUGAAAAUCUCGUUUUUCAAUCCUCCGAUCAUGAUACUUCAUCUUUUCCUUGUAUAGGUCUGCCCUUUCAUAAGCCCCGAGAUGGAAUUCAUCCAUCUCAUUUAGUUGCUCCUGUCUUAGCUUUGCUGCCUCCUUCCAAUUCAGAUUUAAUCUUUUGAGUGCUCAUAAAAUCCUUGUGCUCCAGCUCUAUCAGUAAGUGACAUGCUUUGCCAUAGACUAACUAAUACGGUGACAUGCCGAUGGGUGUCUUGAAAGCAGUCCGAUACGCCCACAAGGCAUCAUCGAGCUUUCGAGACCAAUCUUGCCUACUAGCGUUCACCGUUUUGGUUAGGAUGGCUUUAAUCUCCCGAUUCGAAACCUCCAUUUGCCCACUAGUUUGUGGGUGAUAUGGAGUUGCUACUCUAUGCUGUUUUACCCCAUAUUUCGCCAAGGCAGCUCGAAACACCUUGUUGCAAAAAUGAGAUCCUCCAUCGCUUAUUAGUACGUGGUACUCCAAAGCGAGAGAAGAUGUUCUUUUUGAGAAAUGCAACAACUCUCUUUCCUUCAUUAUCAGCCAAGGCGACGACUUCAACCCAUUUCGAUACAUAAUCAGCAGCAACUAGAAUGAAUCUCCAACCACAGAAAAAUCAUCCAUGAACACCUCCAAGGUGUCCUCAACCAUAUCCGAGAAAAUAGACAUCAUAAACCUUUAGAAGGUAGCGGGUGCAUUACAUAACCCAAACGACAUCCGCUUGAAUGCAAACGUGCCAUACGGGCAUGUGAACGUCGUCUUCUCCUGAUCUUCAGGAGCAAUACACAGAUCUGAUUGUAGCCAGAAUAUCCAUCCAAAAAGCAAUACCACCCCCUUCCUGCCAAUCGAUCAAACAUUUGAUCCAUGAAGGGCAUUGGGAAGUGGUCCUUUAAAGUCAUGAGUUCAGUUUGCGGUAGUCCAUGCAAACUCUCCAAUCAGUCACACGCCUGAGAGGAAUCAACUCGUUCUUUUCAUUUGCGACAACAGUCAUGCCCUCUUUCUUGGGCACACAUUGAACUGGGCUUACCUAUUUACUGUCGGAAAUAGGAUAAACCACUCCUGCGUCUAGCCACUUAAUAAUUUCCUUCUUAACCACCUCUUGCAUUGGUAGGUUAAGUCGGCGUUGAUGCUCGAUGGUUGGAGUACAGUCUUCCUCAAGUUGUAUCUUAUGAGUGUAGAUGUCAGGGGGAAUGCCAAUAAUAUCAGCAAUAGUCUAGCCUAUUGCUUUUUUGUACUUUUGAAGCACCGAAAUAAGUGCUUCCACCUGCUGCGCGCUCAAAUCAGCUGCAAUAAUAACAGGUAGCGUGUUUCCAUUUCCCAGAAACAUGUACCUUAAAUGUCCGAGCAGCUCUUUCAAUUCCAACACCGGCGGCUCUUCAACGGAUGGCUUCGUCGGUGGUGUUGGUCGAUUCUUAAGAUCAAGAUCUAGCUUCUUAGGAGCAUAAGAGUAUGAUCCCAUUCCUGUCAAAGCACAAACAGUCUCUUCAUACUCCUUAAUGCCUUCACAAUCAAAAUUCAUAAGCACUGCAGCUAAAGGCUCGAUAGAAAACUUCUCCUCUAUUGGCACCUCCUGCUCAUUCUCAUAAUAUACAUCAACAAUUGAGAACACACUUAUUUCUUUAUGCUGCUUCAUUGAUUGACACACAUCAAAGUGCACCAAUUCAUCAUUCAUCCUAAAUCAGAGCUCAUUAGCUUGCAAAUCAAUCAGCACACUUCCGGUUGCGAGGAAAGGUCGACCCAAGAUUAUGGGCACCUUGAAGUCCACCUCGCAAUCCAGAAUUACGAAAUCUGCAGGAAAUAUAAAGCUAGCCACCUUCACCAGCACAUCAUACAAAAUACCAACAGGCCGUUUUACCGACCUAUCCACCAUCACAAGUCGCAUGUUGGUGGGUGUGAGAUCUCCCAAACCCAACUUUUUAUAAACAGCUAGCGGCAUCAGAUUAAUGCUCGCUCCCAGAUCACAUAAGGCCUUAGCAAAUUCCAGAGACCCAAUCGUACAAGGAAUAGUGAAUGCUCCUGGGUCUGCCUUCUUUUACACCAAGGACCUUGUGGAAAUAACACUACAAUGAUGGAGAUUAUCCACCGGUUCAUAACUCACCGCUAUUUUCUUCGUCACAAGAUCCUUCAUUAAUUUAGCAUAUGCGUUUGCUCAAGUGCCUCUACCAAAGGCACAUUUACUGUCAACUGCUUAAACAUUGCCAUGAAUUUACUAAACUUCGUGUCAUCAGCCUUCUUCUUCAAUCUCUGAGGGAAGGGAGGUGGUGGUUUUCGGAAAGUAUUCACCACUACUUUCUUUUCCUUCUCUUUCUCUUUUUCCAACUUAUCAACCUGCUGAUGAUUAGAAGGGGUAUCAAUGCCAUCUAGCUUUUCAGUCUCCAUUGGAUUACCUUCUUCAAGAUCAACAUUUUCAUUCAUAGCUUUGGCCAAAGAAGGGCCUGAUAAAAUCUUACCACUCCAUGUGGUAAUAGCCAUGCAUGACCCAUCAUUCCGAGGGUUCUGGAUUGUAUCACUUGGUAGUGUUCCCACUCUUCCUCUGAUUCAAUACUGUCGAAAGCUGGCUCAUUUGUUGCUCCAACUGCUUGAUAGAGGUACAGUGCGAGUUUACCGACUCAUAGAAGAUAAAUCGCUCUUAAUGGUAGUCACUCCAGAGUUGGUAGAUUCAACUCCCUUUAAUAAUUUCUCCAUCAUGUCCUCCAUGGACAUCUUACCAGAGCUAGUUGCAGCACUAUCUCUGCUUCCGGGCAGUACAUAUAGCCCACUCCUAUCAUUCUUACCUUUUCAAUUUCCUUGCUCCCUAUCCUUGUAACCAGCCUUGUCGUAGUAGUUCCGACCUUGAUUUUCUUGGCUAUUGCCUCGGAAACCCCCCUGAUUAUUCAAAUAGUUAGCCUUUUCUUUCGAAUCAGAAUCAUCUCUACCUUUGGCUACAACAACUUUCAUUUUUUCAGUCUUUGCAGAUAAUAAAUGCUUGGUCAACAGAUCCAUUUGCGUUUUCAAGUGUGCCAUUUCUUGAUCACGUUCUUUCUUUUUCUUACGUUGCUCCGCAGUCAUGCCAAUGGACUCAACAGGGCUUGCUACCACAGAAUCCUUGGUAUGCCAAGCUCUUCUUUGUUNNNNNNNNNNNNNNNNNNNNNNNNNNNNNNNNNNNNNNNNNNNNNNNNNNNNAUCCCCCUUUAACAUUAUCAACUACUGGCUUCGUAAUAGAGUUCAAACCCCGAUAAAGAGUCUCCAUCAGAUGAAUAUCUGUCAUAUUAUGGUUCGGACACUGCGUCAGCUUCUUUUUGAACCUCUCCCAUGUCUCAUGAAGGGCUUCGGCUGGAAACUGCCUAAAGUUGCUGAUCUUAUCCCUCAACUUACCCUUCUGGAAGACGGAAAAAACCUUUCUAGGAAAGCCUCUUUCAAUUGCCUCCAGUUGGUUAUAGAAUCGGGCGUUAGCUCAUUAAGCCACAAUGUUGCCUCCCCAAACAGAGACAACGGAAAUAAACGCAGGCGGAUAGCAUUCUGUCCCACUCUCGGGUUAUCAAAGGACUUGCAAAUAGUGACAAAAUUCACUAAAUGCAUAUUGGGAUCAUUUUACUGGUAAUAUUGAACUUUGCUCCUGGUGCUAGAGGUGGAGGAAUAGUAGCUCCAGUGGCACCAGCCCCGUCCAUUCCAUCUUCUUCAUCAUUAAGAUCAAAUUGAACAGCUUGACAAUUAGGUCUCGCCUUGAGAGGACGGUUUCUGUUCACAUUUCUGUUCACUGGUGCAGCUACAUUCUCUGCACGCCUUCGAUUAGCAGGAUCUAACAAGUCAUCAUCUCCCAAAUCAUCAUCACCAGGAUUAGGAUGCUGUGCGUGCUGACCAUCAUUCUGCUGAUUUAGUUGAGCUCUAGCCAACGCGGCUAGUCUCUCAACAUCUUGGAGUUCUGUCAUUCUGCCAAUAAGUUGCGGUUCCGGAUGUAUUGGUAAUAACGGUGCACUCGAUCUCCGUGUACUUGACAUACACAACAACUCCCCUGCACAAACAAAAACAACAAACACAACAACUCCCCUGCACAAACAAAAACAACAAACAAGAAGUAUAAUUUGGGAAACUUGAGCAAAGGUCAAUUAACAAACACAAACUCAAUUGACAAUCGUAAUCCCUGGCAACGGCGCCAAAAUUUGAUGCGCCCAAAUUACACCUCUCUUACGAGAGAGUAAGCGGUCGCUGUCAAAUAUAAAACCCAACGGGGUUGGGUGUCGAAUCCCACAGGGAAUACAGUGUUCACUAAGUAUUGUGAUUAUUAUUAGACUGUUGAUCUAAGGUUCCGAAACAAAGGGGGUUUGGAAGUGUUAACGGUAUUCUUUUGUAUUUGUGUUACACAAAAGUCCAGAUACUGAGAGAAAAUGUAGAUGUAAUUUCAAUGAGAAUGAAUUAACUAGAGUUAUGCUCACUAAGAUGUUCAAACAAUUAGGGUUGCGAGUUUGUGUUCAAAAUCUAACUUAUGUAUUCAAUUGCAAGAAUUAUUGAAUUCUAAGGAUUACCCAUAUGUUUCUCAACCCGUUAAGGCAUCAACCCGUUAACCCAAAGGGUAAACCUAUGGAGUUCAUGUGAAUCACUUCUUUUCCCAACAUCCACUUUCUUGUCAGACAAGUGGAGUUUAUGGGCUCACUUCUCAAGUUUGCAACCAAGAGAUGUCAUUAAGAUGAAGAAAGAUUCAUGCAAUUUCGAUAGAUGUUAGAAAUCAAACACAUUCACAAUCCCAAAAUAGUUCUCUACAUCAAGGCUCCCAUAACCCUAGUUAUGGGAGUUUAGCUACUCAUCUCCAUAUAAGAAAUCAAAGUUAUAUUGAUGUUCAUAAAUAACUUCAGAAAAGUACUUACAAAAGUCACAAUAUUGUUCUUCACAAUCUUUGAUGGAAAAUAUGAAAACUAAUAAUCAACUUUCAAUCUCUUGAUUCAAAUCCCAAUGAAAAGUAAUACAAAGCUCUCAAUAGAGGAGAAAGUAUGAAACUGAAGACAAAAGAUCAGAUCGGAAUAAACCCUAAUACUCGGUAUUUAUAUGAUUCCAGCACUGGGGUUUUAAAAUUCAAACUCAGAUUCUCCGCGUUUUGGUUGACGAGUCAAGCGACGGUCUGUCGCAGGUCUGGCGGUUCGUCGCCUGCACCGUCGCUGGGUGUCUAGUGACUCCAUGUUCUGCUUCUGGGCGACGGGUAGUGCGACGACCCGUCGCCUGGACCGUCGCAGGACUUCCAGUGAUGAUGCGUUAUGUAUUAUGACGGUUCACACCGACGGUUCGUCGCAGGGCCGAUGGUCCGGCGACGGACCGUCGCAGGACGUCCAGAGUCUGUGCCUUCUGCUUUUUUUGUUGACGGUUUAGACCGACGGAUCGUCGCAAGGUCGAUGGUCCGUUGCCUGAUCCGUUGCUGCUCAAUUUGCCUUUUUUUUUGCUCAGAUUGUCCAAGUUAUCCUUCACACUCGGUCCUUAUCCUGAAAGCACUAAAAUGUCAUGUUAAAUACAACCAUGGUUGCUUGAAAACACACAAUUAUCCUAAGGAAAAGGCCUAAAAUGUUCCGUCAAAACCCGGAACAUCAUGAACAUCUUCAAGGUGUUAAAAGGAUCCUCAGGUACAUCAAAGGAACUUCACAUCAUGGGCUCAGAAUUAUCUCACAAUCACCCUGCAGUUUAUAUGGCCAUUCGGAUGCUGAUUGGGGAGGCUGCACUACAACUAGGAGGUCAACUACAGGUUAUAUCAUCUAUUUAGGUGCAAAUUGUAUCUCUUGGACCUCGAAGAAACAAACCACAGUAGCAAGGUCCAGUGCUGAAGCUGAAUAUAGAGCCUUAGCUUCUACUAAAGCUGAGAUGACAUGGAUCCUUUACCUUCUUCAUGACAUUGGAGUAUAUCUCAAGACAAUGCCAAUACUGUAUUGUGACAAUUUAAGUGCCUUAUACUUGACAUUUAAUCCAGUGAUGCAUGCCAGAACAAAGCAUGUAGAAAUGGACUACCAUUUUGUUUGAGAAAAAGUGGCGAGAGGACAGCUAGUCACACAGUUCGUAAAGUCUAGAGAUCAGCUAGCUGACAUUCAUACAAAGGCCUUGACAAAGCAGGCGUUUGCUAAUUUCAGAAGCAAGCUAGGAGUGAGUGUUCCACCACUCACUAGCUUGAGGGGAAGUGUUGAAGAUACUGAUCAAAUAGAAGAUAAAGAGAGUGUACGAUUCUGUUAGGGUAGCUGAUUCUGUUAGAGUUAUCCUAUGCUUUGCAUCUAUAAUUGUACUAGUAUUGUAGUAGUAGUAAACAUCUACUUGUAUAUGUAGUUGCCUAGUGAUACAACUCUAAGUCUUCAAUAUUGGCAUAACUAGGACUCUUGUAAGUAGUCUAGGACUCUACAACUCCGUAGUAUUCAACUCCUAUAAGUAGGAGCAUGCAGUCAACUCCUUAAUCAUCAGAAAUAUACUUUGAUUCUCUUCACUGUGCUUGAGAAUUCUACACAGACAUCACCAUUAUAAAGUAAAAAUAAAACUACCUAGCCUUAUGACUUAUUCCUUAAUCUACAGUUUGCGUAGUGAUUCAUUAAUAUCUUUUACAAGCUCAAUGUCCUUAGGAGACUGUAGUCCUUGGAAUAAUGUAGAGUCUGUAGUAGCGAUGGCAAUAAUUCUGAAUUUUAAAUGAUUUAGAUGGAAAGACAAACUUGGCAUUGUGCAUGUGGUAUUAGAACUAACUUUUUUAGAACCAUGGGGAGAACAUGGCAUGUUUUACUUGCUAGGACUUGCAUGAAAACCAUGCUGUUGGCUAUCUCUUGGCUGUGUUAUUUGUUUUUUUUCUACUAUCUGCUAUAUCCUGCAUGUGUUUAUGUUGCUUUAUCAAUUCAGCCCUACUGAAUCUUUUUUUCGUGGUCUGUUAAUUGUUUUCUAGUAAAUAUUUUGACUUGAUAUGUCAGUGACUUACAUGUUCUUGUUUACUUUUAUAUUUAUAUAGAUAGAUAUUCCCUCUGAACGAGGGUUGCAGAAUAACCUACUUGGAUGUGCUAGCUUUCCCCCUGGAUGCUGAUUUGAAAUUUUGCAGAUUGUACUGGGCAUUAAGUCGGGGAUGGAACCUCAGGAAGCAAUAUGUAGUGUAAAAACUCUUUCUGAUGUUGAAGGGUUGUGUGUAUCAUUCGCUGGUACACACGGUUCUUCUGACCCUGUUUUUGCUGUCAAGGUGUAUACUCUUACUCUCAGUUCACUCCUUUCCUGCCUGACACCUCUCUGUCCGACGCAGUUUCAUUAUUUUAGGAUCUAGUUUGGCUCCCCACCCAUUGGGUGAAAAUUUGUGAUUGCCAUUUUCUGGAAGUUGAAUAAUUAUGCGUGGGUGGAUAUUGUGGUUGGAUUUUCAGUUAGUUUUUCUUUUUCUUUCUAUCAGUAUUAGCUUUUCGUUGUGGUUCAUGUUAUGGUCCUAUUCAAAGAGGGGUUUGUGCUUUUACUCUUGUUGUUUACCUGUGUUACAUUCAGCUGUAACAAUCCCACCACUGCUACAGGUGCUAUUGCAUGAGGAACCAUAUACUAACGAAGAGAUUGAGAAUAUCACCAAGGAAAAGUUGGAAACAAUAUUUGCCACUUCACCAACUUCUUUAGAUGUGCUUCGUGCUGCUAAGUGUUACAAGUUGCAUCAGGUCAGUAUAUGCUUUUUUGUGUGGGUGUUUCAUCUACUUACUGGGCCUUCACCUGUUUCAAAUUGAUUUGCUUCAAAUCCUUUGUCCAUUUCAUUCCUUAGAAAGAUGUUGGCAAUUAAUAAGUUCUCUUCCAUAGGCCUUUAAUUAUUUUCACACAUUCUUGCUUGUACUUAUUUCUUUAAAAGAAUAUUGUAGGUGUUUGCCUUAAGUCAUCUUGCUUAUAUUGAUAUAUGAUCAAAGAGUCAUUUCUUAUUACAUAAUAUCAGUUUCUUUUGCUCCAUUUGAACUUUCACAAAAUAGUGCUCUGCUUUUACUUUUCAGAGAGCUGCCCAUGUAUUUUCUGAAGCCAAACGUGUCCAUGCUUUUAAAGACACCGUAUCAUCAGAUUUAAGGUUUGUCGUGGAAGAUGCGCUUUUCAUCGUUUUUUCGCCUGCUUUUUUUUUUUUGAAAUACUUAAAAACAUAACAAGUUGGUCAUUGCAGUGAUGAAGACAUGCUGAAGAAGUUAGGUGACCUUAUGAACGAGAGUCACCAUAGCUGCAGUGUCCUUUAUGAGUGCAGUUGUCUAGAAUUAGAAGAACUUGUGAAGAUUUGUCGAGAUAAUGGUGCUCUUGGAGCUAGGCUUACCGGAGCUGGAUGGGGUGGAUGCGCAGUGGCUUUGGUGAAAGAGAGUCUUGUUCCACAAUUUAUACUCAAUUUGAAGGUUAAUUUUCAUUGUCAUCUAGCAAGUCAUGAAUAUUUUAAUCCUUAUGCUCUAACCAAAAUGGUGGUUUAUUAUGGUUUCAGGAGCAAUUUUAUCAAUCUAGGAUUGACAAAGGAACCAUCAGUAAGAAUGACCUUGGCUUGUACAUUUUUGCAUCGAAGCCCUCAAGUGGGGCUGCCAUUUUCAAAUUUUAGGUCUUGUUACAUUAGUUACCUCCAACAUUUUCAAUCCAAAAAUAAAGGUGAAUUAGAAAUGAGAUUGUUCGUCUUCUUCUCUCAACCGUAGGACAUUAUUAUAUUGUAACCAUCAGUAAAAAUGACCUUGGCUUGUACAUUUUUGCAUCGAAGCCCUCAAGUGGGGCUGCCAUUUUCAAAUUUUAGGUCUUGUUACAUUAGUUACCUCCAACAUUUUCAAUCCAAAAAUAAAGGUGAAUUAGAAAUGAGAUUGUUCGUCUUCUUCUCUCAACCGUAGGACAUUAUUAUAUUGUUAAACUCAAUGUUAGGUAACAGUGAAAAUAAUUAUGUUAUGUAACACCUAGUUUGGCGUGUUUGCAUCUUUAUUUAUUUUUCUUCCUAUUAUAGUUUUUAUUUAUUAUUUAAUAAUCCUAAUUAGUUCUUUGUUCUAUUUUUUAUUAGCUGUAACCUCUGUCUUACUUUUUCUUUCUAAUUUUGCCAAGUAUUUUGCUGGUUUUGUGGUUUCACUGUACCCUCUGUCUUACUUUUUCUUUCUAAAUUUGCCGAGUAUUUUGCUGGUUUUGUGGUUCUACCCUUUUCCAUCUCCUGCCGUUUCUUAGAACCGUAGCAUUCUUCAAUUUCAUAUCGUUUGUUCUACCCUUUUCUAUCUCCUGCCCUUUCUUAGAACCGUAGCAUUCUUCAAUUUCAUAUGCUAUGCAUUAAUUUCUUAUUUCGCGAUUCUUUUUCUGUCUUCUUAUUGUGUUAUUUCGCGAUUCUUUUUCUGUCUUCUUAUUGUGUUAUAUGAUUUGUUUUCCUCAUUGUUUGUAACGAUUAUCUGUCAUGAUGACUUUUAUUUUUCUUAUUUUUUAUGAGUAAUUAUUAAUAAAUUUAGUAAUUAUUGAGGCAUUUAAUGAAGUUAUUAGCUAUAGGGGUGGGCAUGGUAUUGUAUAUACCGAAUUAUCAUAUUGAACCGAAAUUUUUGAUACUGUGGUUUUUGGUAUUAUGGUAUUUGGUAUGGUAUAUGAUAUAGAUUUUAAAUUUUUUUGGUAUAUGGUAUGGUAUUCGGUAUUUACAAAUGACAUCGAAAUACCGAAUAUCAUAUCGAAGUAUAUAUAUUUACAUAAGUAACUUUUUGGUAUAUUUAAAUUUUUUUGGUAUAUGGUAUGAUAUAUAUAUAUAUAUAUAUAUAUAUAUUCCUGAGUAAUCGUCUUCAUAUGGAUUCUGAGCGUCCUGGAACUGUGCAAUACUAUCUUCUUCGUCUGAUCUUGCUGAAUUAUUAUCUGUAUUAUUUAUCUCUGGGACAGUUCUGUCUAAAUUAGUGGGUUGUUCGUCUGGCUGUCCAUUCAUAUGUUUAUCUUGUGUCUGGUUGCUGAAGAAUCUGUCUAAAGUCUGUUUAAUUAUAGUCUCUAUUGUUUCAUUUUUUCUUUUAGAUAUUAAAGUAUAUAUAUAUAUAUAUAUAUAUAUAUAAUACUAUGUAUUAGUAUAAAAAUAUUUAGACAUUGAACUUUCGCUAUUCUAUCUUGAUUGAAAUGUCUUUUUGGUGUAUUUGACUUAUAAAAGAAAUUGUUUGUACUUCUUUUUUAAUAUUUCUACAUGUGUAAUGUGUAUUUAUGAUAUAAUUAAGGCAUGCUUUUGAAAAGUCGAAGUAAUAAUACUCUAGUAUACGAGUAUAUAUUGUUAAAGUUAAACAAACUAUGGUUACUGAUUGUCAUACUGCAAAAUACCGAGAUCAAACGUCAAAAUAUCGAAUCAUACCGAAUUAAUAUGGUAUGAUAAUGGUAUAAUCUUUUUAAAAAUUGAAUACCGAAAUUAUUGUAUCGAAAUUUCAAAUACUGUAUCAUACAAUACCAUGCCCACCCCUAAAUAAUUAUCAAGUUUUGAAUAUUUUCUUCAAAUAUCACUUAUGUUUCGCUCAACUCUUUUUUUUUUUUUUUUUUAAAAAAGCUAAAUGCCUCAAAAACCUUCUUCUCUCUUAAUUGACAUGUCAUGUUAUUAAAAUUCUUUUUUAAAAAAUACCAAAAUUAUUAACUCAUCAGACUCAUAUAAUCAAAGCAUAGUUAUAUAUAUAUAUAUAUAUAUAUAUAUAUUAUUUUUCUGAAUGAUUGCUCAUAUUUUUUAAUUGCCUAUAACAAUUACUUUUAUUUUUUUGUAGAGAUAAUAAUAUGACUCAAUUAUCACUUUUAUUCGAAAGAAAAGAAUAUAUAUCUCAUACGUUUGUGGCAACAAAAUUUUAUUAAAUUAAAAUUCGUACAAAUUCGAAUUAUAUUAAAUUCAAAAUAAAUUAGUCUCAAAUAAAUAUUGCGGAUUAAUAUAAUUGAAUUAAUUAUUUAAGUUUAAACAUGUAUGGAUUUAAUUACGUGAAAAUUAUUCCCUAUACAUUUAUUAGAUUGAAAAUUACAAGCUAUAACAAUACUUUUUGAUAAUUGUUUUUUUUAGCUAUUUUAAUUGCAAGUUGUAGCAACUUUUUAAAAAACUAAUUUAUUUUUUUAAAAAAUCGAUUAAAUAAUUUCAAGUAAAAGUAACUCCUUUUUUUAGGGUUUAGUAUCCAAUUCCUCCCUAAUAACUAUAUGAAUAAUUAUGGAAGGAGUAAAAUCUGUUCAGUAUUAUAUCUUUAUAUAUUAUCAUUCUUAACUAUUUAAAAAAACUCCAAAUUUAUUAUUCUCUCUUAUAAAUUACAUGAUUCUUUCUUCCUCUUUUCACUCCAUUUUACUCUAUACGUUUUUCACAUAUAUUUUCUCAAAAUCAAUCAAAAUCCUUCAUAGAUAAUCACAUAUUUCAUUUUUUUACCACAAUAUUUUUAAAUUCUUCCAUUACUGAAGAAUUAGAUGUACUACAAUUUUUUGAUUAAUCUUUAUCCUUUUUUUUUUCAGUAUGAAAGAAUGACAAUGUUUAUUGAAUCUUAAUUUAGUAGAAAAGUAGAUGAGAUUAAAUCUUGAUUCAAAGAGAUAAACAUGCAGUAUAUGAAAUAGAUAUAUAAAUCGGUAUCACCAAUUGAGUAUCACAAUCCAUAAAAUAUCAAUUUAUAUAUCUAUAUCAUACACAUUUCAUACUAACAUGACAUGUAAGAAAUCACUUUUACAAACUAAUUCCAUUCAAUUUAUAAUCUUAGGAGUAUAUCUUCUAAUUGAAUAUCACAAUCACAUUAUGCUCAUUCCAUAUAAAUAUCAUGUAAGAAACUAUUUUAUAAACCUUGAAUUUAAUAUUGAUAUUAUACAUAUUUCAUACACGAAAUAGUUCAAAAAUACAAGUUUGUAUAUUUAUUCCAUACUCUAAAAUAAAUAAUAACGUAUAAUAUUUGGCGAAAGUCGAUUUCUAUAUCAACAUCUGCGAUCAUUACUCAAUCCAUAUAAAUAUAACACGUUAGAGAACGGAAUUUUGAAAUUUCAAACUGAUUUUAUACACGAAAUAGUCUAAUAAGUAUAUACAAAAUAAUUUUCACUAUAUCAUUCUUAUGGAAGAUUUUGAUCUAUAUUCAAAUCCUUAUUUAUGUUGUUACCAAUACAAAUAACAGAUUGUGCAGUAUUUUCUCUAAUAUCCAUUGACAUAUAUGCUGUUGUUACAUACAAUGGAUAUUUAACAAGGAAAUUGACAAUACUCCUUAUAUUAGAUUUUUAUUUAAAGACAAAGAGAAAAUUAGAAGAAAGAGAAUUUCUGAAAUUAGAAGAAAGAGAAUUUUUGAUGAAGGAGAAGAAAUUGUUGGUUGAAUAAUGAUUUUAAAAAUAUGAAAUCGUUUAGAUGUUAAUGAAGUAGGAGUAAAACCGUUUCAGAGAGAAUUACGGGGAUGAUUGAUAUCCUGAAAAUAACUGUCAUUCUUUUUUAUGGGUAUGAAAUUCUUUUUUUCCAUAUAUAAAAAUGUAUUUUUUUAUAUUAUUAGAAAACAUAUUUUUUUGUUUUUUUUUAUACCUUUUUUGCUGCAACUUGCAAAGAUGAAAAUUAUGCUAUAAGUUGCAAUUAACCAUCUAAGGAAGGUUAUUUAAAUUUUUUUCCCUUUAAUUAAAGUCCAAUUUUUAAUGGGCUAGCCCUUUGAUUUGGGCUACAAAUGAUGAACCCACUUUGUUAAGUUCAAGCUAUUGUCAUAUUUUAGAAGCCUAAAUGAGUGCCAUGUAUCGAAGGACGUGGUAUGCCAAGUCAAGUUAAAGAGCCAAUAGGACCAUGCCAUAUGCCAAAAUGAUGUAGCAGACCUAGUGGAAUCAAAAGCCCAUAAAAGGCGCCAUGUCGCUUAUAUCUAAUUGGUCAAAAGAAGUUCAUAUUCACGAUGACUCUUUACUUCCUACAAGUAAAUAGGGGUAUCAUAAUUCAGAAAAGGGACAACAAUUCUAGCAAGAAGCAAGAGAGAAUCGUGAAUCAAACGCCGCAGAUUUCUCUACAAAUUCAAACAUUCAAGAUCAGUUCAUCAAGAUUCAAGAUCAUGAUCGCAAGAUUCAAGAACAAGCUCCAAAACCCUUAGAUUUAAGCACAAGUCAAGAUCAAAUCCAUUAAGUUCACAAAUCAAGUUCAAAAUUAAGAUAAAGCUCAAAGCCCUUGAAUUUAUAUCUGAAAAGGUAAGUCAGAGGAUUCAUAGAGAUUGCAACACUCACUAAUUGAAAUCAAUAAAAUGACUAUUGUAAUAUUUUUCUUGUCUCGAUUGUUUAUUAUUCGAUCUCAAAAUUUUAUUAUCCAACAAAUUUUGGUACGCCCAGUAGGACGAUCUAUACCUCUCAUUUCAACGUUUCUAACAUCAAAGUUUAAGAAAACAAAAUGACUUCAAGGAAGGUCAAUUCUCAAUCAACUACUUCCAAAGUUGCUGAUUCCAAAUUCUCUGCUGAAGUAGAAAGCAACCUCGGUGUUAUUUUUGGAAGCCUUGGAGCUAUCACAGGGAGCAAGACCAGUAUUCUAGGACAAUAAACACAUCAAGUGUCGUCCGUGCCAACUCCAAUCUUUGGAUCUUCAACCCCGCAAGGAGAAAGGUCAUGCACAAGUGCUUCAGAAUUGACACCUCCAAUUCGUAUCUCCAUAAAAAAGGUGGUCAGUAACUAUAUCACUAUAGAAGAGGAGUCUACUGCGCCCAAUAAAAUGCCUUCUGUCUUUGAUCAACUGGGAGAACCAACUAUAAGAAAUUUUAUUUUUGAGAGCUUGGGUCCACUAUAUACCAAGAAAAUCAACAAUCACUGGAGAAGUUGUCUAAACACAGAAAAACAAUCUUCACCUAAGAUCCAGAAAGAUUUCAAAAGUUUGAUUUCUUUUAGAAUGAGGCGACGGAUGGAACUUAUGGUUUCAUGAAAGGAGGUGUUAAAAGUAAAGACGCAUGCUAUGGUUUAUACCAAGAAGCGUGAGGAAGAUGAAUAAAAUGUUGGCCCCUCAUAUCAUGUUACAAUCCAAAAUGAGAACAAUGUCUCAACUCAAAUGAAGGUUGAUAAAGAGAUGGAAGAUACUUUUUUGUAUUACCACAUGUCCAUCAACAACGAUGAUUCUCAAGAGAAGAAAGAUCCUGGAGAUGCUCCAUCACAACUUGAAGAAGGAGUGAAGGCCAUAAUAGAUCUCUUGAAGAAAGUUAAUCUUUGAACCAAUGAAGACCCAAGACCAACUUACUUGAGCGAGUUUUUAUAAAUAGAGGAGAAAAUGACUUAUAUAGACAUACAAAGAACAUAGGGAUGUCUUUGCUUGGAGUUGUAAGAAAAUUUCUAUCUUAGAUCCAAAAGUAGCAGUCUAUCAGUUAGAAGUCAAAAAUGGUGCUCGUCCUAUUUACUUCGAAGAUAUCAACUUAGGAUUGAUCCAUUAGAAUGUGCCUUUGGAGUUACUUCUGGAAAGUUCCUUGGCUUCAUUUUACGACACCGAGGAAUUAAAAUUGAUCAGGACAAGGUUAAUGCAAUUUUGAACAUGUUCGAGCCUCAAAACGUUCAUGAGUUAAAAAGCCUUAAAGGAACGCUAGAAUAUUUAAGAAGGUUUAUCUCGAACCUGGCCAAAAAAUGUCAACCAUUUAUCCAUCUAAUAAAGAUGGAUGCUCCAUUCAAAUGGGACCAAGCUUGUAACAAGGCCUUUGAGAGAAUCAAAUCAUACUUGAGAAAACCUCCAGUUCUUGUGGCACCCAUACCUGGGAAACCAUUGAUACUCUAUAUUGCAAUACAAGAGAGGUCAGUUGGAGCACUACUGGCUUAAGAAAAUAGUGAAGGUAAAAAAAACUUCUCAAUUAAAAUGAUAAAACACUACUUUCAAGCUCAUGUCAUUUGUCUUGUGUCUAGGGAAAAUCCCAUUAAGUUUGUAAUGUCGAAAUCAGUCUUAGUGACCGACUAGCAAGGUGGUACCUUUAAUUUUAAUAGUUUGAGAUUGUGUACAUCCCUCAAAAGGCCAUAAAAUACAAGCAUUAGUGAACUUCUUGGUAGACCACCCAAUUCUCGAUGAUUGAGAAUUGACUGAUGAGCUUUUUGAUGAAGAUACAAUAGUGGUUGAAGUUAGAUCUCCAUGAAAGAUGUACUAUGAUGGUGCCACACAUCUAGAUGAAGCUGAUGCUGGCAUAAUAUUUGUUACUCCACAAGGAGAGGUCAUCCCAUACUCUUUUACCUUGAUAAAUCAUUGCUCCAAUAAUGUUGCUAAAUAUCAAGUUCUAAAACUCAGACUUGAGAUGGCUGUACACAUAAAACAAAUAUAAUUACAAGUAUUUGGUGACUCCCAAUUGGUGAUCAAGAAGCUUUUGGGAAGCUAUGAAGUCAGAAAGCCUGAGCUUACACCAUAUUAUGAUUAUGCGUAGAAGUUAAUAGGAUGGAUUAGAGAAGUAACCCUCUAGUAUGUGCUAAGGAAAAAAAAGCAAGUUGAUGUCCUAGCUGCUUUGGCCUCAACCCUAACUUUUUCGAAUCAGGCACGAGUUACUAUCUACUAAGAAUGAGUAGUACCUCCAUCGAAUGAAGAUGGGAUAUGGAAAAUAAGGUUGAACACCUCUUCGUCAUGUAUAAAGCUAUAAAGGAAAAUUGGUGAAAACCUAUCAUUAACUACUUGUGUUAUGUGAUACUUCUAGAGGAUCUAAGAAGAAGGACUAACAUUCGUCGCUGUGCACCUCACUUUCUUUACUACAAAGAUAUGUUAUACAGAAGAUCAUUUUUGUGGUGUUUGAGAGAGAAAAAAGUAGUCCAUAAGAAAAACACUCGGGAGUUUGUUGAUAUCAACAGUCGAGAUCAAAGCUUCAUUUUCAUAUUACAAGAAUGGGGUAUUAUUGGCCAAUGAUGGUGAAAUACUGCUUGGACUUUGCUAGAAUAUGCAAAACUUGCCAAUUUCAUAGAAAUUUCAUACAACAAUAUGCUAAAGUAUUUCACCCAACUAUAACAUCCUGGACAUUCAACGCUUGGGAAAUGGAUGUUGUUCGACAUUGCCAAAAUCUUUUGGUGGAAACUUGUACAUCUUGUCCGUGACAGAUUAUUUCUUAAAGUGGGUCGAAGCUGUUGCUCUCAAGGAAGUAAAGUAAGAAAAUAUUGCAAACUUUAUCUAAGUAAAUAUCAUCAAUCACUUUGGAAUCCAUCAGUGCUUCAUAACCGAUAACAGCAAACCAUUUAACAGUAAGAUAAUAAACAAGAUUUGUGAUUUCUUUGGUUUUAAGAAGCGUAAAUCUUUUGUGGACCAUGUUGCCGCUAAUGGUCUAGCCAAAGCAGUCAAUAAAAUAUCAUGCAAACUGUUAAAUAAAGUCAUCUCUAAAUCCAAAUGAGAUUGACAUGAAUUAAUGGAAGAAGCUUUGUGGGAAUAUAGAACAACGUACUACACACCAACGUGAGCAAUCCUAUAUUUAUUUGCUUUUGAAGUUGAAGUAGUGCUGCCACUUGAGCGUCAAAUACCUUCUUUGAGAUUAGCUAUUCAAUAAAGGCUCACUGAUAUAAAAAAUUCUAAGUUGUGUCUUGAGGAGUUAGAAAAUCUUGAUGAGAAGAGGCUGGUGGCUCAGCAAAAUCUUGAAUCCUAUCAAGCUCGUCUAUCUCUUUCUUUCAACAAAAGAGUCUGCUUUAGGUGCUUUUAAGUUGGAGAUUAAGUUCUUACAAUAAGAAGACCCAUUAUUACUUCUUGCAAGUCUGGAGGAAAAUUCAUACCAAAGUGGGAUGAACCAUAUGUCGUACAAGAGGCAUAUUCAAAUGGUGAUUACAAGCUUGUCGAUGCAGAUUGCAUGAAAAUUGGCCAUAUUAAUGCCAAGUUCUUGAAGAAGUACUAUCCUUAAAGAAAUCUGACACUCCUUGAGGCACGAGUAUAAACUGUAUGUUCACUCUUGGCCUGCAAGAGUAUAAAUUGUGUACGAAUUAAUAAAAAAAAGUUUGCUAGGUUGAAAACCUCGAAAGAUGCGGCCUAGGCAAAAGUUAGGACUCUAAAAAAUAACACUCACCCAAAACUACGUUGUGACUUGAUACUCUUCACUGAGGUACGUAUGCGCUUGGUAUUUCAUUCUGAGUUCAGUUGCACAAGAUUCAAAAAAACAUAUAUGUUCUUGCUCAUAUAAAAAGUCAAUCUUCAUGAGAUUUUUUUUUCAUCAAUCUUCAGACUUGCACCAAGUGUUGGUGGAUCAAUGGGGCAAAUCCCUAUGAAAUAUGAGCUCCUUUGCCAUAAUUUUAAGUCUUUAAAUUCACUAAGUCUUCAUAUUGAAGCUUUCAAAUUCAUCAUAUUGAAGCCUAUAAGUUUAUGAAGUCUGAUAGUUGAAGUCUUCAGGUGAUCUAUAUUUAUAAGUUGAUGUCUUUGAAUUACUAAGUCUUCAUGUUGAAGUUUUCAAAUUAACCAUAAUAAAUCUUGUAAAUUCAUGAAGUCUUCAAGUUGAAGUCUUCAUAUGCUCUAUGUCUAUAAGUUGAGUCUCCAAAUUCACUAUGUCUUCAAGUUGAAGCCCUCAAAUCUACUGUAUUGAAGCCUUCAAAGUCUUAAAGUUGGAUUCGUCAGAUGCUCUGUGUCUAUAAGUUGAAGUCUUUAAAUCCUUCAAUCCUUCUUGAGUUUACCUUCUUUGGGCGAGGAUGAUUAUCCAUCCCUAUGUGCCGUAAAAGUACCCGUAGAAUUACCUUUCAUAGGACGGGGACGAGUAGUCAUCCCUAUGCAUAGUAAGAUUACCCAUAGAAUUAUCUUUCUUACGGAAGGGACGAGUAUCAUCCCUAUGCGCUGUAAGAUUACCCGUAGAAUUACCUUUCAGGGCGGAGACGAGUAUCCAUCUCUGUGCGUCAUAAGAUUACUCAUAGAAUUAUCUUUCAUAGGGUGGGACGAGUAUCCAUCCCUUUUCAUUAUAAGAUUAUCCUUUGCGUAAAAGACAUUAUCUUGAGCAAGAACUUGUCAUUCACCUACAAAAAUAAAAAGGGAAAGACAACACAAAAAAAACACUAAUAAAAGAGAGUUUGUUAUUUGUCAAGACGUUUCGAGCUCGAAAGUCAUAUAUCACCAACUUGGAUGGGCUUGAGACAAGAUAUUUUAGUGAUGAUAAAGCCAUUAAAGAAUGAUUUAUAGCAAUCAAAACACCUUUUGAUGGUGAUGGUGAUGGUGAUGUUUCCACAUAAAGAUAUAAUUAUUUGGUGAGGCGAAACAAAUAUGAAAUUCUUUUGCUGGACAGAAUCUAGAUCAAUUUUAAAAAUUUAUAUAGAACGAUCCAAGAGGUUUUAAAUUCUAAAUCUUGUAUAUGUCAUGUACGCAUGUUUCGAGUAUCUAUAGAAUCAAACAGAUCAUAAUUUUGAUACUCCAUAUUGAGAUAUAGAUUUUUUGGUGUCAUUACGCAAAUCUGAAAUUGAUGGUGCACCAAAAUCCAAUGUUGACUUCGGGAUAACACCUGAAAAGAUCUCAAAGGUAUUAAAUUAUGAAUUUUGAAUAUGUUUUAGAUAUUUGUGUCUAGCUUCACAAAAUUUAAGCAACUUAUGAUUUGGUCCUUCCUACUUCAAGAUAUGAAAGUUUUGGCCAAGAUGCGCAGAUCUAAAAUUUUCAUCAUGAUAAAAUGUAGGGCUAACUUCAAAAAAUUGUUGAGAAUUAUAUUGAAGGAUUUUAAAUCUGAAUUUUAGAUAUGUCAUAGAUGUUGAAGUCUAUUUUCUAGAGUAUCAAAUGUUUCAUGAUUUCUAUAUUUUUACAAUGAGAUAUGAAUUUUCUACCACUAACAUGCUGGGCUGAAAAAAUGUGACGAAAAUAAAAGAAAAGUAGAAGAAAAAGAAAUUAUUUCAACAUCUUCAUAGAUUGAAAAUUCCAAAAUUGAUAUUGGAAAAGUGAAAAACAUACAUCCUUUUUAUAGAGUUGUAGGGGUGAUUGUUUCCUUCAAUAUAAAUUUAAUUUGAAAGUGUUUUCAUCUCCAAUAUAAAUUCAAAUUGGAGGUUGUUUCCUUCUUCAAUAUAAAUUCAAAUUUGGGAUUGUUUCCUUAUCCAAUAUAAAUUCAAUUUGGAAGGAUUUUCAUCUCCAAUAUAAAUUCAAAUUGGAAAAUUUUUAUUCCUGAUUAAGCAUGCCAGUGAAGAGUUUUCCAAAAUUUAUUUUGAAUUUGAUAAAGUCAAGAUAUCCUAGUGGAAGUGGACAUCAUUAAGAAAUUCAUUAUUGGAGUUGGCUAUCAUGUCUCACCAAAAGGUGCGGAUAACUUGAGUAAUUUGUAGGGGGUGCGGAUAACUUGGGUAAUUUGUAGAAGCAUUUGCUAAGUUAAGGUAAACUUUCUACACGAAAAGCAAGCCUUCUUGUACACAAUAAAAUUUUCUCUCAUAUAAUCAAUAAAGAUAUUCAGUUUUACACUAAGCUAUGGCUGAGCAAAGCACAGAUUUAUCAAAUCUACCAGAACAUAUAUUUUCAUUUAUAAUUAUGAAUAGCUAAAUUCAUAAAUUCCUGACAAUCAUAAGUAAAUAAAAUAAGCUCAUGUUAGUUACUUUAUAGUAGAAUUAUUCCAAGAAUAGUAUGUUAAGAAGUUUAUUAGCAAAGUGGAAAAGGAGAAAAAUUUCUAGAACUAUACCAUCCUAAAGGUGAAAUCAGUGAGGCAAAGAAGCCGUGAUAGGGGAGUAACCAGAGUAGUGGCGUUGUUUAGGGAAAAAGUAUCCAGAUUACCAUGCAAUAGUGACCGAAGAACAUGUUAUUUAAGAAUAAUCUAGUAUAUAGUGAUCUAAGAUGAUCAUAUUUUGUUAUGUAUAUGAUUGGAGGGAAUAUUUUGAAAAAUAGCAUCAUAUGAAAAAUGAAUAAUUAUUUCACUGAUGAAAUGAUAGAUGAAUUUAAGAUACUUGUUUUAUAUGUACUUAAGGAUAUCGAGAUAGUAGAUAUAAAGAAAAUUAUAUGGGAAAAGGUAUUUAAUUUUGAAGAUGAGUUACUAAGUACUGAAUGGAUAGAACAAGAGUUAGAAAAUAUAGAUUUUGAUGGUAGAUAUUAUUAUUCAGAUUGGUAUUACUCAGACUAAAAUGAUAAAUUACGAAUAUUUAGAAUAUUGGAGGAAAGAUAUGAAGCAAAUAAGAUUAAUAGAAAUACUUAUGAAAAAGAAUCUACUCGACCACAUAAAAACUAGUAACAUGAAGCAUAUAACAUACCUUAAAAAUAAUAUAGAAGAAUUAAUAAGGUUAAAACAAAUAACUAAGGAAUGCUAUGACAUAGCAUUUCAACAAACAUGAUAGAACUAGUAAGUUAUCCACACCCCCUACAAUAUGGAAGGAAUAAAAUUAUUAGAAAUAUUACCACAUUACCUAAGUUAUCCGCACCCCCCUACAAUUGGUAUCAGUGCAAUGGAAUGUAUGUAUUUAUUUAAGGAAUGCAUAUUAUGAUAGAACUAAAUUUAGAAAUUCACCAAAAUAUUAUAAAUACUAAUGAAUAAUAUAGAUCAAUCCCAAAAAUACAAAGAACUAAAACAAAUAUUAUCCGAGAAACGAAUAGAAUUAAAAAUAAGAAAAGGAAGACUACAAUGUAACAUAAUUGUUGGAGUAUGUCAAAAAUCAAUAAAAGCACAAAAAGAAGAAAUAUCAUAUUUAGAAUAUCUAAUAAAUAACCUAGAAUACAUAUAUCAACAUGAUUUAUAUACCAUUAAAUAGAUAAAGUGAAUAAAGAAGAAUUCAUAAUAGAUGAAAAAAUAGAUGAAAAUCUUGAAGGAUUAAAAGUAAGAAUAGUAUUUUCUAAUUUAGGAAGAAGAUAUAAAAAAAUAGGUGAACAUUUAUAUUUAAUGUUAGAAAAAGAAGAAUUAAAAUUAGAAGAUAAAUUAACAGCUAUGGUAAGAAUAACAAAAGAAAAUGAAGAAAUCGACAGAAAAAAGGAAAUAAAAAAAAUAAAACAACAAACUACAAAUGAAAUAUGGAAAAUAGAAGAAAUUAAAAACAAUAGGACUGCUGAGUUAGAAAAAGAAUUACAAAUACUAAGAGACUUAUAUGGAAAAAUAAAAAAAGAAAAGGAAAAAGAUAAAGAACAAAGAUUAUUAGAUGAAAUAAACCAAUUCAAAGAAAAAUUAGAAAUAAAAAAUGAAGACUUGGAAACCAAAGAAUUAGAAGUAAACACAAUAGACACUAAAGAAACAAACGAUUAUGAUUCAGAANNNNNNNNNNNNNNNNNNNNNNNNNNNNNNNNNNNNNNNNNNNNNNNNNNNNNNNNNNNNNNNNNNNNNNNNNNNNNNNNNNNNNNNNNNNNNNNNNNNNNNNNNNNNNNNNNNNNNNNNNNNNNNNNNNNNNNNNNNNNNNNNNNNNNNNNNNNNNNNNNNNNNNNNNNNNNNNNNNNNNNNNNAGAAUAUAUAGAAAGAACACUAAUAGGAACAACAAAAUUAUGGUUUUUAAAUUUAAUUGAAGAUAGUAAAAAAGUAUUAAGGGCUGAUAAAAAAACAGAAGGAACAACAGUAAUUAAACUAACACCUAUAGACAUAUUGAAAAAAUAUGAAAUAACUAUAAGAGAUGAAUUUAGUAGUAUGACAACAUAAGAAGAAGAACAAAACAAAGAAAAAGAUACAAAUAAGAAUUUAAUGUUAAAACCAGCAAUAUGUUAUAUGUGCUAUAUAGAUGAAUAUACGUGUGCAGUUAAAAAAUACUACUAUAAGGGAACAUAAAACAUAGAAAAAAGUAAAGAAGUAAGAAGAUUAUAUUUAAAUUACCUGAACCAUUUAGUUCAAAAAUAAUAAAGAGGUGGGAUGAAGCAAAAAUAGUCGAUACCCUAGGAGCAAGAAUAAAAUUUCUACAACAAUGGUAUAGAAAUAUAUGUGAAAAAUACAGAAAAGAAACAAAAGUGGAAAAAACAUUAAGAAGAAAUUUAGCAUGUUGCACGGAUAGAAUAGCAACCCAGUUUGGAUGUGAAGAAAAAUAAUAUAAGAAAAGAAAAAGACAUAAGAAAUAUAAGAAGUACAGAAAGUCACAAUAUAAGUAUAAGAAACCAAGAAAAAGAUAUUAUAUAAAAAAUUAUAAAUAUAAAAGACCAUAUAGGAAAAAGAAAUCUAUAAAAGAAUGUACUUGUUAUAAUUGUAGAAAACUAGGACAUUUAGCUAGAGAUUGUAAAAUGCUCAAAGACACAAAAAAGAACAUAUAUCAGAAAUAAAGAUAGAAAAUGCAGAAUAUAUGCAAAUAGAUUAUACAGAUUACGAAUUAGAAAGUGAGGAUAGUAUAUAUGAAAUUUUGGAAAAUAAAACAGAUAAUGAAAUAGAUAGUGAAUCAGAUGAAUCAAAUGACUGAAGAAGAUAUAAAAAUAAUAACGAAGGAAAAAUAUUUAAAUGAAGAAGGAACAAAUCAGAAAAUAAUAUUUGAUGAUAAUAUAUUUGACGAGAUAAAAGGAAAUGAAUCAGAUUUUAGUGUAGAAAAGAUAUUUAAAAUACCAACAAUAAAAAAAAUAUUUAGUAGACAAAAAAAAGAAUACUACGUAGUAAGUUAAAAAGAACAUGUAACAGACUGUAGCUAUACAAAAGGUAAAACUAGUAUAUCAUUAGUAAUAAAAAGAAUAAUUAAUAAAGAAAUAAACGAUAUAAAAAGUAAAGACCCAAUAAAAUACGUACAUCUUGGAGGAAAGGAAAUAUUAAUAAAAGCAUGUUUUAGAGAAGGAAUAGAUACACCAAUAGAAUUAUAUUUAGCAGAUGAUAGAAUUAUAAAACUUAUAGAAAAAAGUAUAAUAACUGCUAUAAGAGGAAAUCUAAUAUACCAAAAAUUUAAAUUUAUAAUAGUGCAAAUUAUUCAGUAGCAACAACAGAUAAAAAUAUAGAUAAGUCAUUAGUGAUAAGCAGAAGAAAAAGAAUAACUUUUGAAAAACCAGAAUCAUCAGGAUCAUCGAAAAGAACAAAUUAUGAAAUAACUUCAAUAGUUAAUUUAACUCAAUAUUAUUUAACGGGAAUAAUAAAUGAAAAAGAAUAUUUAAUACUCCUAAAUACAGGAAAAGAAGAAAACCAUAUAGCAAAAUACCUAGUGAAAAAUGAAGAAAUAAAAUCUAAUAGUAAUAUAUGCCUAGAUCUACCAAAAAGUUUAAUAACUAUUAAAGAUACAACUGAAAAAGAAAUAACAAUAGGAGUUACAAAAAUAAAAAUAGAAUUUGAAAUAAAAGAAGAUAUGCAAAAAACAAACAUAAUAUUAGGGAUAAAAUGGUUAGAACAAGUGAAACCCUACAAUAUAGAACAUACACAAUUAACCAUAAUAUAAAUAAGGAAAAAUUAUUAAUAAAGAGAGCUUUAACAUGAACAUAUAUGUACUUAUGAAAAUAAUAGUAGAAGGAUACUAUAAUAGCUAUUAUACACCUAUGAUAGAUACAGGAGCAGAAGCCAACUUAUGUAGAUAUAACUGUUUGCCAGAAGACAAAUGGGAUAAGCUAAAAACACCAAUAGUAGUCAAAGGAUUCAAUAAUGAAGGAAGCUUAAUUGCCUAUAAAGCUAGAAAUAUAAAAAUAAAAGUAUGGGGUAAGAUAUUAACAAUAGAAGAAAUCUAUAAUUAUGAACUAACAUCAAAAGAUAUGCUUUUAGGAAUNNNNNNNNNNNNNNNNNNNNNNNNNNNNNNNNNNNNNNNNNNNNNNNNNNNNNNNNNNNNNNNNNNNNNNNNNNNNNNNNNNNNNNNNNNNNNNNNNNNNNNNNNNNNNNNNNNNNNNNNNNNNNNNNNNNNNNNNNNNNNNNNNNNNNNNNNNNNNNNNNNNNNNNNNNNNNNNNNNNNNNNNNNNNNNNNNNNNNNNNNNNNNNNNNNNNNNNNNNNNNNNNNNNNNNNNNNNNNNNNNNNNNNNNNNNNNNNNNNNNNNNNNNNNNNNNNNNNNNNNNNNNNNAAGAUCCGUUAAAAGGAUGGGAAAAACAUAAGACUACUAUAAAAAUUGAGCUAAUAGAUAAAAAUAGUAUAAUAACCCCAAAACCAUUAAUAUAUAACUUUGAUGAUUUAAAAGAAUUAAAAAUGCACAAAGAUGAAUUAUUAGAAAAAUAAUACAUACAAAAAAGUAAUAGUAAACACACUAGCCCAACAUUCAUAGUAAAUAAACACAGUGAACAAAAAAGAGGAAAGAGUAGAAUGGUUAUUGAUUAUAGAAAAAUCUAAAUGCAAAAACUAUGACAUAUAAUUAUCCAAUACCAAAUAAGAUAUUAAAAAUAAGACAAAUACAAGGAUAUAAUUACUUUAGCAAAUUUGACUGUAAAUCAGGAUUUUACCACCUAAAGUUAGACGAAGAUUCUAAGAAACUAACUGUGUUUACAGUGCCAUANNNNNNNNNNNNNNNNNNNNNNNNNNNNNNNNNNNNNNNNNNNNNNNNNNNNNNNNNNNNNNNNNNNNNNNNNNNNNNNNNNNNNNNNNNNNNNNNNNNNNNNNNNNNNNNNNNNNNNNNNNNNNNNNNNNNNNNNNNNNNNNNNNNNNNNNNNNNNNNNNNNNNNNNNNNNNNNNNNNNNNNNNNNNNNNNNNNNNNNNNNNNNNNNNNNNNNNNNNNNNNNNNNNNNNNNNNNNNNNNNNNNNNNNNNNNNNNNNNNNNNNNNNNNNNNNNNNNNNNNNNNNNNNNNNNNNNNNNNNNNNNNNNNNNNNNNNNNNNNNNNNNNNNNNNNNNNNNNNNNNNNNNNNNNNNNNNNNNNNNNNNNNNNNAGAAUUACCAAAAUUAUAAUUUCCAGACGAAAAUAAAAAAUUUACAUAUAUAGUAGAAGCAGAUGCAAGUGAAUAUAGUUAUGGAGGAGUACUUAAAUAUAGAUAUGAAGAAGAAAAAUUAGAACAACAUUGUAGAUACUACUCAGGAACGUUUAAUGAAACAGAAAUAAAAUGGAAAAUAAAUAGAAAAGAAUUAUGCUCAUUAUAUAAAUAUUUAUUAGAAUUUGAGCCAUAUAUUGUAUAUAACAAGUUUAUUAUAUGAAUAGGUAAUACACAGGUACGAUGGUGGUUAAUAAGAAAAUACAAAAUUCAGUUACAACGAAGGAAAUUCGGAGAUUAGUAUUGAAUAUAUUAAAUUUUACAUUUACAAUUGAGGUAAUUAAGACUAACAAGAAUGUUAUUGCAGAUUACAUAUCAAGACAAAGCUACCCAAACUGAUAUUAUAGAAGACGAUACUCUAGAAAAAAUACUCAAAACCCUAACUACGUUUUCAAUGAAAGUGGAUAAUAUGGGAAAUGAUAUAGAAAAGCUAAAGACUAAUGAAGUUAAACUGAAGUCUGAAGUUAUGACUUAGAUAACUCAGCAAUGUGCAGAGAAAUGUCGAUUGGAAGAUAAUAAAAUUUCAGAGAUAAAAGGAGAUGUUAGGACACUCCAAAAAACCCAUAAUGUUUAUCAAUCUACUUCUGCAGGUAUAAGCAAAGGAGUUAGAAGAAAGCCAAAUAUGAACAUUAAUAAAAAAUUUGACAAGCCAUUUAUACCAAAAACACCAAAAGACCAUUUAUUUAUACCUCUACAAACUAUUACAUAUUUAUAUAACCUAAACCAAGACAAAAAAGCUUAUAACCACAUAACCAGAUAAUAUAUUGAAAACAUCCACAAGAUACAAACCUACUUAGACCUUAAACCCAGAGCUACAAGCAUUCAAGAACCAAAUUCAGAUUAUAUAACCCAAAAACUACAAGGAUACAAUAAGUUAAUUGCAUUACCAAGAACUAACCCAAAUCUAGUUAAAACCUGUUUCGGUUAUGGACUACUCAAUACUGUAUAUACCUAAGAUGGAAGUGAAUUAUUACUAUACCGGAAAUAUAUAAAGCAAUUACCACUUAUAAAAGAUAACCAAGGGCAACCUAUUUUUUGUAAAGUUCUAUACGACACCAACAGAGAUAUUGUAUGAUGAAAUUAAACCAGUUAUACAAAUUAUGAAGGUAGGAAUGACACGAGAUAUGAUCAUACCCGAAGAUAUUAAACAACAAGUUAAAAUACCCAAAAUAGAUAUACCAGAUUUUUUAUGCGAAUAAAAGAAUUAUUGGAAUACCCACAAUUAUCCAAGAAUUAGCAAAUAACUACCUAAAAGAGAAUUCAAUAUGGAGUUAUUAUUCAAGAGACCAGCUAAUGAUUUAUUCAAAUUCAAGAGAGUUAAGACAAACAGAAAUAGAGGAAGUGCAAAGAUGGAUUAUAACACUACUUAAUCCAGAGAAACGACCAACUACCAGAGCAAUUAAGGAAAAGUUUAGUUCAGAUGAAUUAUUGAUCAGAUACUGUAAAUUAAUUGGCAUAAAUAUCUAGACCAUCUAUGUUCGAGAUGUAACGGAGAAGAUAACAUUAUUCCAGAAGUUCAACUAGAAUAAAAGAAGAUAAGGACGCUAGCUAAAAGAUAUACAACAAAAGAUAUAAAGCAACACAGACCGAUGGAGAAAUAAAGACAAAGAGAUAAAGCAUUAAAGUUAUGAAAAUGACAUAUGAAUUAGUAAGAUAAUUUUGUGACAUGUGAAUUAUUAGAGUAUGUUUUUUUUAGAAUAGCUUUAGGACUUUUUUUUGUAAAGACACUUUAAGUCUUUUCUACUUUUGUAAAGAUAACAAGUGUAAAGUAGGAAUAGUCUAGAAUAGUAUACGCGUUUUCUCUUUUUAGGUUAUAAAUAGCAGAAAUAUUUGCUAAGUUAAGGCUAGGGUUUCUUCCUACAGUGCAACUUAAAUCGGCAUGAGUAGAAUGAGAACAAUGAAACUAGUACUGCUCGAAUGACAUCCUUGGGAAUUGGAAUUCAAAGGAGUUGUUCAAUUAUCUCUAAGGUUGAACAUUUCAAAUUAAAGUUAUAGUGUGCGGCUAUUCCAAUGAUUUAAUUGUUUUUAUGGAAAACGGUCAAAAAUAUCUUAUUAUUUAAAAUGGAACAUAAAUAUUUUUUAUUUACUUUUUUGGCUAAAAAAUAUCUCCUCUCAUCUAAGUAUUAAUGAUCUUGGACAUCUUUACAUACCUAAACACUAUCUUUUAUCCUUACUUUAGCUAAGUUUGGAGAACAAAUUAUCUUACGUAAGUGUGUUUAGUUGUAAGUUUGAUGUAAAUGGGCUAACCUAAUAAUUAGUUCUAUUCAGGAGUGAAUUAGGCAUAUGGAGACGCAAAAUGGCAAAGGGUUACAAGAGGCGAGGCUAAUUGGGUAAGACGCGAGCAAGCACACACCUCCAGGCAGGCGUUAUGCCACACUCCUUGGGGCUAUGUGAUAGGCUUUGCGCCGCACCCCUUAGAGUCGAGAAAAUUGAAAGAAGUGUGUUAUUUAAGUCUUGAAUGAAAGAUUAGUGACAUGGACCAACUUAAAGGUUCAAACAUAAUUAGAAAACUUGAUUAAGUUAAUUAUGGACUUGAUUAAUAUUUUCAAAAAUACAAAUCAACCCACACCCCUCUCCUUUCCAAAUUAACCAUCUCUCUCUUCUUUCUCUCUCUCUCUCGACAGUCUUUUCAACCCUCUCCCAACUAAUAGUUCUACAAAAUUUCUCCCUUCAAUUCUCGGUGACUUCAAGCUCCGGCGAUAAAUAGUUGGGGGAGUUCCUUUUUGACUUUCAACUGUCAAAUGACGUGACAAACAGUGUUCUCUGGUGAUAACUUUGAGUUCUUCGUCGUCCUAUUUCUUCUUUCACAGGUAAAGAAUUAUGUCUUUUUAGUUAUAAAGAAACAGAAGAACUUGAGUUAUCUUCUUUCUAGUAUUGGUUAACAAUUUCAAUAUUUCUUGCUUAAAUUUGAAAUGUGGACUAAAUAAAACUCUAAUUUCUGGCAUUUCAUCUCUAUUCUUUCCACUAUGAAAUAUAAUUUUUUGUUGUUACUGUAUUUCUUGUUGUCGGACUGUUGAUUUAAUUUUUAUUGAUGAUUUUGGGUCUCCGUUGAUGUUCUUUGUGCUUGUGUGUUGUGUUGGUGUUGCUGGGUUGAAUUGUUGUUUUUAUUAGUAAAAAUAGUGUUGCAACAGAUGAACCAUCUAACGCAAUAAAUAAACUAUCUGACGCAAUAUAUGAACCAUCUGAUACAAUAGAUAGAACAUCUGAUGCAACAUAUGAAACAUCUGAUACAAUAGAUGAAACAUAUGAUGAAACAAAUGGAAAUUUGAUGCAACACAUAAAUAAUCUAACAGAUCAUUCAUCUGUUGCGAUAGAUGACUCUUCUAUUUGGAAGAAAUCUAAACAAUAUUGACCCAAUAUAGAACUCAUUUGUCAACAUAUGAGUGAUCUGGUGCAACAGAUGAGUGAUUUAUUUUUAUUAUUUCCAAUGAUUUACUCAUCCCUUGUAACAGGUUAGUUAAAGGUUGCAACAAAUGUUUGGUCUAUUUUUAUUGUUUCUAACGGAUUACUCAUCCACUGCAACAGGUUGUUUACAGGCUGCAAUAGAUAACCUACCUGGUGAAACAGAUAAGUGAUCUAUUUUUAUUAUUUCCAAUGGAUUACUCAUCCGCUGCAAUAGGUUAUUUAUAAGCUACAACAAAUAACCUACCUGGUGCAAUAAAUGAAUGAUUUAUUUUUAUUAUUUCCAGCAGAUUACUCAUCCGUUACAAUAGAUUGGUUAUAGGCUACAACAAAUAACCUACUUGGUGCAAAAAAUUAGAGAUCUAUUUUUAUUAUUUCUAAUAGAUUACUCAUCCGCUGCAACAGAUUGGUUAUAUACUGCAACAGAUAACUUACCUGGUGCAAUAGAUAACCUACCUAGUGCAACAGAAGAGUGAUCUAUUUUUAUUAUUUUCAAUGGAUUACUCAUCCGCUGCAACAAGUUGGUUAUAUGCUGCAACAGAUAACCUACCUGGUUCAACAGAUUAGUGAUCUAUUUUUAUUGUUUCCAAUGGAUUACUCAUCUGCUACAACAAGUUGGUUAUAUACUGCAAUAGAUAACCUACCCGGUGCAAUAAAUGUGUGGCCUAUUUUUAUUAUUUCCAACAGAUUGAUCAUUUGCUGCAACAGGUUGGUCAUACGCUGCAAUAGAUAUCCUAUUUGGUGCAAUAGAUGUGUGGUCUGUUAGAACUGUUAUUUUAUUAUUCUAUAUAUUUGAUUUACUAUUAUCCAUUAGUCAAUUAUAAUCUAUUUUAUGUUCCUGUUAAUUUUAGAUAAUAUGGCUCCCAAAAAAAAUCAAAUCAAGUCCAAGUAAAGAAACAAGUGAAGCAGCUAGGCUACACCCACCACUCUAUGAGCUUGAUUUACAAGCGUUAUCUCAAUCAGGAUCAGAAAAUGAUGAACAUGGGAGGAUGAAUAUUUUAAAAGAGAAGACCCAAAUGCUAAUCGCUCUUCCACCGGAGAGUUGGUCAAAAUCUUCAACAUUGAUCAUUAUCCUGUGAGAAUGCAGUACGAUGGUGCCACAUAUUCAAUGGGUGAUUUCGUGGUUAAUUCAUCCAUGGGAAAAUAUUUUGAUGCCUUGAAAAGAUACUUCAAAUCUUUGGGCAGUAUCUUGAUUUGCCGGAGGACAACAAUGCUUGUUGCCAAAUGAAAAUGGUAUAUAAUCUUUUCAAGCGUAGGCUUAUAUAUGAAAACAAAGAUAAUAUGGAUGAGGUGUGGAUAAAUUACUGUGGCAUGCCUUUUUGUUUUAGUUGGAAGUAGUUUGCCAUAGUUACUGGAUUAAAAUGUUAUCCUUCUUCUCCUUCUCAAGUUACACCUAUUGUAACCCAAAAAAAGCACCCCGCACACCCAAAAAAGUAAAGGCAAGUCGAGUGAUCGUAAUGACCUGGUGUCCCUUGUUGGUCCAAGCUUCAAAAAGAUAAAUUUGAUAGAAGUGUUGAAAGGUAAAAGACUUUUAAAGAAGCACAAACAAUUAUUAUGCUUGGUUUGGUUUGUACAGAGUGUUCUUUGCGCAAGAGACUUUAACAACAACAUACCACUUGGUUUGAUAAAUCUCUCCGAAGAUCUUGAGGCAUUUACCAACUAUCAUUGAGGUUAUGAAAGCUACAAAAUGAUUGUCAAAUAUUUGUUGACUUCGUUAAUGCCAAGGACAGUCAACUUAUAUGGCUUUUCAUAGACUUUCAUGGUAAAUAUUUCUUUUAUCAUGACAUGAUUCAUUUCUUUUAUUCAAUAAUGCUUUUGAUUUAUGGGCGUUAUUUUAUAUGCUUGGGCAUUUGAAGCCAUUCCUUAUUUAAGACAACACGCGAACUACCAUGAAGAAGUUUUUUGUGUAAGAAUUCUGAGAUGGUUGUCGGUCAAAACUAAUAAAAAUGCAAAAUUUUUUGAUCUCUUCAACCCCCUGAAGGAAGAAUUAAGUCUAAUUCUAAUUAAGGUUUUGUUUUAAUUAAUAAUUUUUUAAAAUAAUUUCGUUAUCAUUCUAAUAUAUGUAUCGAUUUAAUUUAGAUUAUCCAUCCAUGGCUUGUUCUGACCAAUAGAGAGUUGAACAUGCCGGUUUUUCUUACUUUAGGGUCUGUACAAACUUUAUCGGAUCUUAACGUCAUUGAUAGAAUAAAGGAGUAAUUGUUUGGAGCAACAACCAUAACAAGAAAAGUAAUUUAGAAGGUGGACUGGUUGUUGAUGAUGAUGGUAGUGGUGCUCCUCUUACAGUUUUUGAAACAAUAAAUUAUUAUGAUUAUGAUCAUAUCGGUUUUAAAGAAAUUUUCAAGGGAUCAUCAAGCAUUGCAAAAAGAAAAUUUGCAACUCCUCUGUUUUUUUCUUGCACCUUGGAUCAAUGUACAAGGACAAUGGGAAAGCGGCAUGAGCUGAAGAAGGUAAAUGUAUAUCAUCUGUUCAAACAAACGGACACGUCUAUUUCAAUAUUUCUACAUCUGCUAAAAAUUAUCAAACAGAUAUAUACAUCGGCUGUAACUGUUGUAUAACCUGUUGCAUUCGAUGCAUUAUCUGUUGCAAUAUAUGUCCAUCUAUUUUAAAAAUAAAUAGGUCUUAGUACUGUUUUAAUUUAUACCAAUAAAUGAGUCAUAUGUUGCAACAAAUAGGUCAUCUGUUCUAAAUUAUCAUAUAACUCUGUUUUACCUGUUCAAGUUUGUCCCAACAGCUGAUCCAUCUGAUGCAAUAGAUAGAUAAUCUGUUGAAUAUCUGUGAUUAACAUUGAUAAUUCUGACUUUCUAGAAGGAUGUCAUAGUAGAAGCUACUGCUAAACGACAUAAUAGCACAGUUGAUAAUACAUCAACUGCUUCCAAAGAAGAAGAAAAAGUGGAGCCUGUUAGGGCAGGAGAAUGGAAGAAUUACUCAUUUGAAGGGUUCAACAUCUUGGACGAGUCUCCAAAAAAAUAACAAAGUUGAUCAACGACUAUUUGAUAUGGAUUGCCGAUGGGAUGUUAAAGCAUCAUGACGAUAGGUACAUAAAUCAACUUGUAAAGAUAUUGAUCUAUACAAUUUUAUUUGUAAAUAUAUGACACUAACACAUAUAAAUCAUAUCGAAAACAAAAUGAUGAACACUAUAAAGUGAACAAAUCAAGUCUUGGUUUUGAUAUGUUCGACUUUGUUAUUGCACAUCCCAGAAUGAAGGAUUGAUUCUAUUUGAUGUCACAGCCCUAUACUUGCUGGAAUGAUAAGGUUUAAAUGCCAUAUAUAUUACUAUUAAUUAAUACUUUAUUUAAUUACAUCUGCGUAUUAAUUUUAUUAUCACGUAAUCUGAAAUGUUUGAUAAUAUGUGCAACAUAUCGAUGUAAUUUUUUACUACCUCCAAAAGAAGGCCAAGUUGCAAACACAAGAGCAAUACAAAUACACAACAGACAAUUAUUUGUACAAAGUUUACAUCAAUAAGGCCUACGAUAGGUUUUGUCAACAACAGCCGGAAGUUUUCCGAACUGAGGCAUAAUUAAUCAACAUCAUCAAAGGUUUUAGCAUUCCAACUAGCUUACCUUAGUAUUUGGUCGACGAAGUAUAUAUCCCAAUCAAUUGCGGUGACGAGUUCCAUUUGGUGUUGGCUUUCGUCGUUCUAAAAGAGAGGCGCAUAAGGGUUUAUGACUCGAUGUCGGGAAGGAGACGUUCCUCACCAUCAUCGGAGAUACAAAAGCUGGCCAAAAUAUUGCCUACUUACCUUGAUAUGAGUGGCUUUUUGGACCAAAGGUUCAUACUGAUUGGUCGAUGAUUGAAGCAUAUCGGGAUAAAAUGGGUAAUCUAUUUGACGUAGAAUAUGCUGAAAGAAUUGCUCAACAACUCUUUGAUAGCCUGUAAGUAUCAUGAUUUAGUUUUAUUUCAUAAAUUUCGUAACGCUUACAUGAACUGCAAGAUAUGGAUUAUCUAACUUUUUAAAAUGCAGGGAUUGCGGUAUUUUUGUUGCCACUUAUGCUGAGUAUUUGAGCGAUGGAUUACAAGUAUCAAAUGAUGGACUUGAUGCCAGAUUACUCUGCAAAAGAUAUUCUGCUCUUUUAUGAAAAUACGGAGAAGCAAAAGCUAAGAAAUCGUACGCAAACGACAUUAAAGUUUCAUGACGACCAAAGCCGAAUUCCAUAGCAUUGAAUAAAGAGCAACUUGCACAUAUUAAGUAGAUCUUUAUAGCUUGAGUCUGUCAAAGUAAUAACCUCUCCUUGGUAGUUGUUGGCACCAAAGGUUAAAUUGUUGAUUUAUUUGUAGAGUAAAUCAUUUGUACCCAUAAUGAUUUUUUUUACAUUUCAUUUAUUUGUUGAGUUAUUUCAUGUAAUUUUUGAAGGCUUCGAUAUAUUUAAUAUUGUCUGUGAAUAUAAUUUAAUCCUUAGUUUUGAAUAUAUUAAUUGAAAUGGAAUACUAGAUUCAAAUAUCACAACAGAUAAUACAUACGUUUCAACAGACGACAUAUCUAUUGGAAAUUAUCAAACAGAUUUAGACAUAUGUUGCAACAUGUAGGUCAUCUAUUGAAAAUUAUCAAACAAGUCUUCCUAAUUUUUUGAUUUGUUUCAAUAGAUUACCUAUCAGUUACAACAGAUAGACUAUACUGAGAGGCAUCUGCAUAAUGCAAUAGAUGACCAACCUAUUGCAACAGAUAAUCAAUCUGUCACAAUAGAUAUACUAUCUGUUACAAUAGAUAGAUAAUCUAUUGCAUUAUAAAAAAAUCAACUUUCAUCAAACAUAAAAAAUUAUUAUGGUGUUUUUCUUUGUACAUCUUCUUCUUUAUACAUAGGCUACAAGCAUUUAGUUAGUAUCCCAUAAUACCAAACCUCUUGCAUAUUUUCUACAAUGGUGUCACAAAGAUCGGACAUUUCUAUGCCGAUCAACAAACAUUCGAUGUAUGUAAGAGAGUAUGGCCUGCACACGACACCAGUUUUAUUUUUUUGAAGCUGUAUGCCCUUGUUUCGACCUUUCUAAUCCCAUGCUUUAUUCAUCAAGACUUUUGCUGGAAAAUGAUCCAUUAGUUUACUCUUCCUCAAUAAGCUAGGGAGCAACUCCAACAGUGGCUGCACGUGGAUAAAAAAAUUGGUGUCAUUGAAGACAUGUAAGUUGCAGUCAUAAACCUUAAUCUUUCCCUCCCUGAGAGGUAUCGCAAAAAUGAGAAAAUAUUUGACUUCCAUGUUCAUGACUGCAAGAAUUCUCAUUGCCUUAGUCUAGCUCUUGCUGUGUGGAUAUUGCCUCUUCCCUCAAACAUAGUUAAUUUAUCCUCCUCCCAUUCGUAUGUAGAAACUAACAUAUCAAAUCCCAUUCCAUUGGGAUUUGAUGCUAGCUUACGGAGCUUAUUGUACCUAUUCUUGAAAUUAUUGUAGAAGUUGAGGUCCAUUAUCCUACCGGCAGAAUCAUAGGCAUUCGGGUACGCUAAUUUCCUACCCCUCACAAGGAAGAAAAUUUCAUCAACAUACUGUGAUAUAAGAUGAUAAUUUUUAAAUAGGUUAGUAAUUGUAAAGAAGAAAAACAUACUGGAAAGAUACAACGGAUGGUCCAUUUGUUGCAGAGGGUUCUCUGAAUAAGUUCAUAGAUUGCCCAGCUAACGUAACUUAUGAAACAAAUGUUUUAUCUCUUGCAAUAGAACAACCACCAAUUGCACCAGAAUACUCAACUAUUGCAACAGACGACACAUCUAUUACGCAGAUUCUUCUUUAUGGAGUAGAUUAGAAGGUUAGGUUAGGAAAAGUAAACUUACCCUAUCCAUGUACCACUUAUGUAUAACUGUCAUACUCCUAAAGUCUUAGUAGUCAAAUGUAUGCAUGGUGUAUUCUUCUGCAGGUUCCUUCUUCUUGGGAUACUUGGCAUUUCAUAGUUUUAAUUCCUCCGCAGCUUCAGAGAUAGCCUAUAGUUUUUUAAGAAGUUUAUUCUAUCUGUCCUUUCACACAUUACAUUUGCAAUGAGAACAUGAGGGUAAAGAGAGCUGAGAGGGACCACUAUAAGGGUAGGAGGGACGGUAUAUGGGCAAGAGGGACCUGUGUAAGGGGUGAUUUCAAAUGUAUUUGUUUUUUCUUGAGCAUCAACAUACUCAUCAUCACGACUGAAAGAAAAUCAACAUCAGGAUAGUUGCCACCAACAUCAACAACUCCACUAGAAACACCCCAGAAGAAGCACCCCAAUCUGUUGUAGUAGGUUGGUCAUGAAGAACUUCAACAUUAGGCUGACCUUGCCUAAUGAUGUUCCGACUUUUGACAAAAUAUUUUUUGUCAUUUUCUUGGGAAAGUUGCAUGUUUUCAAGUAACCAAGGGUGAAUUUAAUGCUAGUUUUUAGUGUUUUAGGGUAAGGGUCCAGCUCAGGGAAAAAACUCAAAAAAUUAGAAGAAACAUAUUUUUAAUGGUUAAAAUGGUGGACCGUCAGUUUUGCUAUGGACCACCAACUCAACUGUCAGGUCCAAACAGUGUCCAUGACUUCAGAGGCCCCUGCGAUAGUCCAUGCGGUGGAUCAUCAGUCUUGCAACGGACCACCAUGUUGGCCAUCAAUACUAAACAGAACCAGGCACCCUGAAAUGAUCAGGAAGGCCAACAUGGUGGACCAUCAACCUUGCAACGGACCACCACUUCAACCGUUAGGACUAUCCAAAACUUGAAUCUUAAGGAUCAUCAACGAUGGUUAAAAUAAUGGACCGUCAGUCUUGCGACGGACCACCACUUUGACCGUCACUCUUAUCCAAAAAGUGACCUAUUAAGAUUAGCAGUGACAGACUAAAUGGUGGACCAUCAACCUUGCGACGGACCACCACUUUGGCCAUCACUUUGGAUGCGGGUUUUAUAUUUUGAAUUUUAAAUCCUUUUUACCUGGGAACAUAUAAAUACCUAGUUUUAGGUUUUAUUAGGGAUCUUUCAUCCAUUUUUUAUCUUUUAGUAGGGUUUUUCCAUACUUGAAACAUAUUGUACAUAGUUUUUCUCUGAGAUUCAUUUGAGAAUUGUGGAUCUAGAUUCCACUAUCAUUUUCUCCAUUGAAGAUUGAAGAACAAGAAUUGUGACUUUUGUAAGUAAAUUCUGAAUUAAUUUAAGAAUAACACAAUAAUUUCUUCUCUUUCUUUGAUGCAGAUGUAUGACUAAGCUCCCAUAACUAGGGUUAUAGGAUCCUUGAUGCGAAUAGCAGAUUGGGGGUUGUGAAUCUAGGAUAUUUCCAUGAUUAAUUGAAAUUGCAUAAACCCUUCUUCACUUUAAUGACUUUUCUUGGUUGCAAACUUGAAAAGUGAACCCAGGAACAUUAGUUGUUCGAAAAAAAAGUGUUUGUUGGGAAAAGAAGGGUUUACAUAAAUCUAAAGGCUUUAACCUUUAGAUAGAGGGUAGAUGCCUUAACCGGAUCAACCUAUAUGAGAAUAUAGCUGAAUAAAUAAUAUGUUCCUUAAGUUUGAAAGAAUUAAGGGAUAAACUACUCAUUUAGGUUGAGAAACUAAUGGGUAAACGAUAGAAUUCAAUUACUCUUGCAAUUAGAAUUGUUCAUUAGGAAUUCAAAAUAGGUAAGAACCCUAGCUGCUUAUGCAUCUUGGCAACUAUAAAUCUAGUUAAACUACUGUUACUAAAUUACUAUUUGCAACACAACCAACAUUUAGAUCACUUUCUAUGACAAACAUUUGAAUACAAUUGAUGAAUAAAAAAACCACACUUUAUUGUGGAACCUUUAUCAACAGUCUAAUAACAACCACAAUACUUAGUGAGCAUAGUAUUUCCUGCGGGAUUCGACACCCAACCCAGUAAGGUUCUAUAUUUGACAGCGACCGCUACACUUUCUAACGAGAGUUGUAAUUUAGGCGUAUCAAAUUUUAGCACCGUUGUUGGGGAAUAUAGUUUUCAAUUAAGCUUGUGUUUGUUAAUUGACCUUUGGUCAAGUUUUCCAAAUUGUACUUUUAUUUGUUGUUUUUAUUCUAUGCAGGAUAGUUGUUGUAUAUGCAUAGUACACGGAGAUCGGGUACACCAUUAUUACCCAUACAUCUAGAACCACAGUUAAUUGGAAGAAUGACAGAUCCUCAAGAUACUGAAAGACUAGACGCUUUGGCUAGAGCUCAAUUAAAUCAAUAGAAUGACGUCCAGCAGGUGCGUCAUCCUAAUCUUGAUGAUGAUGAUUUGGGGGAUGAUGAUUUGUUAGAUCCUGUUAACCUAAGGCAUGCAGAGAAUAUGGCUACACUAGUGAAUCAGAAUAUAAAUAGGAAUCGCCCCUUUAGGGCAAGGCAAGAGUGUCAACCAGUGCUGUUUGAUCUGAAUGGCAAUGAAGAUGGAAUGGAUGAAGUAGGUGCAACUAGAGAUAUCAUUCCUCCACCUCUAGAACCUAGAGCUAAAUUUAAUAUUACCAGUCCAAUAAUUCAACUCCUUUAUAUUAAGGGGUUGUUCGGUGGUCUUUCCAGAGAUGAUCCAAACAUGAAUUUGGUGAACUUUAUCACCAUUUACAAGUCUUUUGAUAACCCAAGAGUGGGUCAGAAUGCUAUCUACCUACGUCUAUUUCCAUUGUCUCUAUCUGGAGAGGUGACACUAUGGAUAGAUGAACUGACUCCUGACUCUAUAUCUGAGUGGAGGAAGUUGAAAGAGACUUUCCUAGAAAGGUUCUUUUCACCCUCCAAGAGGGUACAGUUGAGGGAUGAAAUCAGUAACUUUUGAUAGCUUCCUAUUAAAGCUCUUCAUAAGACCUGGGAGAGGUUUAAAAAAAAGCUGAUGCAAUGCCCGAACCAUAACAUGUCAACUAUUCAUUUGAUAAAGAAUCUUUAUCGGGUUUUGAAAUCUAUUACGAAGCCAGUCGUGGAUAAUUCUACAGAAGGGUCGUUUGUUGAUCUUACUUUUACAGAGGCUUAGAAGAUGCUUGAUAGGAUGACCAAGUAGAGUAAAGCUUGCAUACUAGGGAUUCUAUGGUAGCAAGCCCUAUUAUGUUUGGUAGUAUGACUGCAGAGCAACACAAGAAGGAGAAAGAACGUGACCAGGACAUGGCAUAUUUAUAAACGCAGAUGGAUUUACUGACUAAGCAUUUAUUAUCUGAAAAAAUGGAGAAGGUAAAAGUUGUUACAUCCCAGGGAAGAGCUGACUCUAAUUCAGAAGUUGAGGAGAACUAUCUAAAUAAUCAGGGGUUUUUUGAGGCAAUAGCUAAGGAAAUUAAGGUCAGAACUAUUACAAUAAGGCUGGUUACAAGAAUAGAGAUCAAGGGAACUGGAAGAGUAAGAAUGAUAGGAGUGGACUAUAUAUACCUCAUAAAAGUAGAGAUAAUGCUGCAACUAGCUCUGUUAAGAUGUCCUUGGAGGAUAUAAAAGGAGAAAUUAUUAAAGGAAGUUGAGGCUACCAACUCUGGGGUGACUACUAUGAAGAGUGAUUUGUCUUUCAUGAGUCAGUUGGUAAACUUACUCUACUAUUAAAUAAUUGGAGCAGCAAAUAAGUUAACUCUCAGUAGUAUUUAAUCAGAAGAAGAGCAAAACUUUUCCAAGUGAUACAGUUCAAAACCCUCAAAAUGAUGGCUCUUACAUGGCAAUUACCACACGAAGUGGCAAGGUAUUACCAAUUCUAUCUGUGGGUAAGGCUAUGGUUGUAGAUGUGAUUGAAAAGGAUAUUGAGCAUGAAUAAAGUUAUUCAGUCAAGUCAGAGAAACUGGAUGAGGUUGUUGAUAAUAUACCAUCCAACCAUUUGCAGGUUGAUGAUUUAAAGAAGAGCAAGGGAAGAGAGACUGAAGUGGUGGUUACUAUGCUUCCAAAACCACCUCUCCCAUUUCCCUAUCAGUUAAAAAAGAAGACCGACGACACAAAGUUACGUAAGUUUAUGGAAAUGCUUAAGCAGUUGACAAUUAAUUUUCCAUUGGUGGAGGCAUUGGAGCAAAUGCCCGGGUAUACAAAAUUUAUGAACGAUCUUGUUAGGAAGAAUCGAAUAGUUAGUUUUGAGUUAAUAGACGAUCUCUAUCAUUAUGGUACUAUUUCCACAAGGUCGUUGGUGGAGAAGAAGGUAUACCUGAGAACAUUUACCAUCCCGUGCACUAUUAGGCCUCUUGAUUUCGUAAAACCUCUAUGUGAUUUGGGAGCCAGUAUAAACUUGAUGCCGCUUUCUGUGUAUAAGAAAUUGGGUUUGGGGGAUCCGUCUCCCACAAACAUAAAAUUAGUUAUGGCGGAUAGAUCUGUGAAGCAGCCCAUGGGGAUUCUAUAUGAUGUAUUAUUUAAGGUGGCCAGCUUUAUAUUUCUGGCUGAUUUUGUCAUUCUCAAUUGUGAGGUGGAUUUCGAGUUGCCCAUAUUCUUGGGUAGACCUUUCCUCGCAACUAGGAGUGUACUUAUUGAUUUGAGGGCAAAUGAGCUACUAUUUAAGUUGAAUGAUGAAGUAGUUCAAUUCGAUGUAUGCCAGUCCAUGAAAUAGCAUAAAUAUAUGAGCAUAUUUUAUAUUGUGGAUAUUUAUUAUGAAGAAGAGUAGGAAGUAGCUAUGGAGGAAAAAUUUGAUGUGGAGAAUUUAGCUGAUUUAUUAAUGUAUUUUGAUCAAAACGGUAUUGAAGAUUAUGAAGAGACUGUGUGUGCCUUGAUAGGCAUGGUGUUUUAUUCUUAUGCACCCAAGAAGCUGGAUUUCGACUUGAAAAUCGUCCAAGCCCACUACCCAAGUCGUCUAUUAAAGAGCCACCUACUUUGGAGCUGAAAGAGCUGCCCUGACAUUUCAGGUAUAUGUUACUGGGUAGCAAGAAUACUCUACCUAUUAUUAUUAUGGCUGACUUAGGUGAGCAACAGGUGAAAGCCCUUAUCUCUGUUCUUAGGAGAUACAAGAGGGCUAUUAGUUGGACGAUAACUGACAUUAUUGGUAUUCCUCUUAGUUUAUACACACAUAAAAUCUAGAUAGAGGAGGAUUGUGUCCCAACUAUUGAGCAUGAACAUCGUCUAAACCUACCCAUGUAAGAGGUGGUGAAGAAAGAAAUCAUUAAGUGGCUAGAUGCAAGAGUGGUGUACCCCAUCUCAGAUAGUAAGUGGGUAAAUCCUAUUCAGUGUGUGCCCAAAAAAAAAGGCAUGACAGUGGUGGAUAACGAGAAGAAUGAGUUGAUUUUACUCAAGCCUAUUACUGGAUGGAGGGUGUGUAUGGAUUACAGAAAACUCAACUCGUGGACAUUGAAGGACCAUUUACCAAUGCCUUUCAUGGAUCAAAUGCUUGAUCGGUUGGCGGGAAGAGGUUGGUAUUAUUUCUUGAAUGGUUAUUCUGGUUAUAAUUAGAUUUCUAUAGCCCUAGAGGAUCAAGAUAAAAUGACAUUCACCAGCCCAUAUGGUACUUUUGCAUUUAAGUGAAUGCUAUUUGGAUUGAGCAAUGCACUCGCUUUCAAUGGUGCAUGAUGUCUAUUUUCUCAGAUAUGGUUUAAGACACCUUGGAGGUUUUUAUGGAUAAUUUUUCUAUGGUAAGAGAUUCGUUUGAGCCGUGUUUGGUAAAUCUGAGUAGGACCUUGCAGCGGUGUGAGAAGUUCAAUCUUGUGCUUAUUUGGGAGAAAUACCACUUCAUGGUGAAGAAGAGCAUUGUUCUCGGACACAAAAUUUCAGCAAAGGGGAUUGAAGUUGAUCGAGCUAAAGUUGAGGUUAUGGAGAAGCUUCCACCUCCUAUUAUAGUAAAUGGGGUGUGUAGUUUCCUUGGCUAUGUUAGCUUCUAUCGGAGGUUUAUAAAGGACUUCUCAAAGAUUGAAAACCCCCUUUGCAAACUUUUGGAGAAGGAAGUCAAAUUCUCCUUUGAUGAUGAUUGCUUGAAGGCAUUUGAAUGCCUUAAAGAGAAGAUGGUUGAUGCUCCUAUUAUUGUUGCACCACAUUGGUCAAAACUAUUUGAGAUCAUGUGUGAUAUAAGCGGUGUUGCCCUUGGAGCUGUGUUGGGAUAAAAGAAGGACAAAUUAUUUUAUCUAAUCUAUUAUACCAGCAAAGCGCUGAAUGGAUCUCAAAAGAACUACACCGUCAUAGAGAAGGAGCUUCUUGCAGUAGUCUAUGCUUCUGAGAAGUUUCGGUCUUAUUUACUAGAAACCAAGGUGGUGGUCCACAUUUACCACACAGCCUUAAGGUAUUUGAUGGCAAAAAAUGAUGCAAAACCAAGAUUGAUUAGAUGGGUGCUACUACUUUAAGAAUUUGAAUUCAAAGUUAAGGAUAGGAAAGGUUGCAAAAACCAAGUGGCAGAUCAUCUGUCUCGGCUGGAAGGUGAUCAAGUAGCUAGAGAUGAAUUUGAGAUCAAUGAUGCAUUUUCGGAUGAGGAAAUAUUGGCUGCUAUUAUGGAGAAAAUACCUUGGUAUGCUCAUUUUGGAAAUUAUGUCGUGAGCAAGGUAAUACCAGAGAAUAUUUCCUUUUAUCAAAGGAAAAAGUUUCUCCAUGAUGUGACCCAUUACUUCAGGGAUGAGCCAUAUUUUUUUCGGCGAUAUGCGGAUGGUAUUAUUAGACGGUGCAUCCUAGAAGUAUAUAUGUUCAGUAUACUGGAAGCGAGUUAUGCUUCCCCAGUUGGAGGUCACCCUACAGGUGAUAGGACAACAAGAAAAGUCUUUUAGAGUGGCUACUAUUGGCCCUCUUUGUUAAAAGAUUCCUACGAGUUCGUGAAGAGGUGUGACCAAUGUCAAAGUCAAGGGUCCAUCUCAAAGCACCAUGAGAUGCCAAUAUCUAAAAUACUGGAGGUAGAAUUAUUUGAUGUCUGGGGUAUUGAUGUCUGGGAUGAAGUAUAUAUUAGUAGCCGUUGACUGCAUGUCAAAAUGGGUUGAGGCAGUUGCUCUAGCAGAUAAUGAAAGGAAUAGAGUUGUUGCAUUCUUAAGGGAAAAUAUCUUUUCUCACUUUGUGGUACCACGUACCAUCAUCAGCGAUAGAGGAUCACACUUUUGCAACAAGAUGUUCAGAGAUUCCUUGCAAAAUAUGGAGUUAAGCAGCAUAAAGUGGCUACACCAUACCACCCGCAAACAGUGGGUAGGUAGAAAUCUCUAAUAGGGAAAUCAAAGCUAUACUUGCCAAAACUGUAAAUGCUAAAAGGAAGGAUUGGUCUAGGAAGCUGGACGAUGCCUUAUGGGCAUAUCGAACGGCUUUCAAGACACCUAUUAGCAUGUCGCCAUACCAAUUGGUGUAUGGAAAGGUAUGUCAUUUGCCGGUUGAGCUAAAGCAUAAAGCAUUGUGGUCAUUGAAACAGCUUAACUUAUUUGGAAUGAGGCAACAAAUAUGAGACUGGGGAAGCUGAAUGAGAUGGACGAGUUCCGUCUUGGAGAUUAUGAUCGGGCUGAUCUAUACAAGGAAAGAAUGAAGAAGUACCAUGAUCAUAGGAUUGAAAAGAGGGAUUUCUAGAAAGGUGACUUGGUGCUUCUGUUCAACUCCAAACUUAAUCUGUUUCUAGGUAAGCUCAAAUCCAAAUGGUCUGGCCCAUUUAAAGUGAGUCAAGUCUACUCAUCUGGAAUAGUGAAACUUAAAAAUGAAGAUGGAAGUGUCUUCAAGGUAAAUGGGCAGUGUGUGAAACUGUAUAUCGGUCCAAUGGACUCGAUAAGAAGUAUUGAUACUAUCUAUCUCGAUAAAGUCUGAGUAAUUGAGAUAAUUGAGUCAUACUGCAACAAUAAAUCAGGCGCUUGUAAGAGGCAACCCACAUUGUGUUGAUGUAAAGUAUUAGUUAAAUUAUUUUGUUGUGUUAGUGCAUUUUUGAUGUGUUUGUGAAGUGAGCAAGAUGUAAAAUGCAGCAAAAAAGAGGAGUAAUUCUUGGAAAAAGGGUGAAAAUCUGAGCUACUGGAACAAAAGUGAUGGACGAAUUGGUGGACCAUUAGUCACCUGACGGACCACCAUUUCAACCAUCACAAAGAAGCUGAAAAAUUCAUUCACUGGAGAAAGUUGACGGCCAAGUGGUGGACCAUCACUAAAUUGGUGGACCACCACACUGACCGAAAAAAUCAAGCUGAGUUGCCUUGGUUCUGAUAAGGUGUGAUGGCCAAAGUGGAGGACCGUCACAAAUUUGGUAGACCGCUACUUGGACCAUCGAAAUUAAGCUAAGUGACUAUGUUCUGGUAAGGUACGAUGGCUGAAAUGGUGGACCAUAAAAAAUUUAGUGGGAUAUCACUAGGACCGUCGAAACCAAUCUAAAUUGAUCAUGUUCUGGUAAGGAGUGACGGCCCAAAUGGUGGUCCUUCGUAUUUCUGACGGACCAUCCUAGUAUCCAUCGCUGUUACCUUAGCACUGAGUUGGGUCGGGUUGAAAUUGUUCUUUUUUUAAGUGACCCGUAUUUGGCCCAAUUGAGUUUAAAAAAGUAAAAGAGUGGUUACUUACGUUGUACGACCCUUUUUAACUUCUUCAACUGAACAAAUUCCUUUGGAUUCAAAGCUUCUAAAGGCAUUUGCUCUUCCUAGGACUCUCUAUUUACCCUCUUUUUCCGUAUUUAAGUGACCACCGCUUUUCUUCAUCUUUAUCUCUCAAACAUUCUUGAAAGUAAAUAUAGAGUUUUAAGUUAAGUUUAUUCUUAAUAUUUGCAAGCAAGUAAAAGAGUAACUUCUGCAACAUCAAGGUAUGAGCAUCUCCACGUCUUUUCUUUUUGAACUGAUACAACAUGAAAUGAAUAAUUGGUUGGUUGAUAAAAGUUCAUCUUGUUUUCUUCUUUUGCUUUAACUUAUUUUGAGUCCGAAAUGAUAAUAUACUCUAUGUGGGUGAAGUCUCAGUAACCCAUAUGCUCAAAAGUGUGGAUUUGUGUGCAUAAAUGUGAAGUUGGUGUCAAUUUUUGCUAAAAAAAAAUUGGGAUUGCAUGCUAAAUGAUUGACAAAAUGCCGAAUUAAAUCCUGAAUUUGAAGAAGGGGCUGUGAUGGUUGAAAUGGUGAGCCAUCAACUUUGCGACUGACCACCAAAUGGACCAUCGCAUGAACCCCAGAAAUGACACCCACUGGUUAAGAUGCGACAGCCAAAGUGGUGGACCAUCAACUUUGCGAUGGACCACCAUAUGAACCGUCACAACUCUUUGAACUUUUAGGUCUUCUGGAUAAGACUUGACGGCCCACCUGGUGGACCACCAAGUACCCGACGGACCACUAGUGUGAAUGUCAAGUCUAAGUUUUUAUUGGUUAGGCUGUUUUUUCAUUAUAAACUAAUUCCUUACUUCUGUUUCAGGCAAUAUAGCUCGUAAACUACCACUAAACAGAGGAGAAAGAUCCUAAAGGGGUAGAGGUGAACCUGCACUUACUUACAACACCAGGCAACGUGAAAGGGAAACUCCCACACUUUCCUACUAUUAAGAGAAGAGCGACUGUAGAACAAGCAGUACUAGCUCAAGUCCAGACGAGGCAGCGAUUGCUACAAAUCAACCCAAGCUUGUUGAGGGUGAAACUGAUGUUGGUAAUGUGGGAGAAAAAUGGGAGCAAUAGAUGUAGAUACUGAACCUCCAGAUGCUAACGUUAUCAAUCAUAAGGAUCCUCAAGUUUGAUAUGGGAAUAGAUGGUAGAUAGAGGGAGCAAGAGAGAAAUUCUAUGACGGAUUGACACCUACAGCAAGAGGGAUAAAAAGGCCAUUCAUGGAGGAACAUCAGAUUGUGAUAGGGACAUCAAUUGCAAGCUUUCCCAACAGAGAGUUCGUACCUAUCCGAAGAGUCACUAUCAAUAUUUAGCUUGAAUAAUUAAUAGGAUGCUGUUCAGGAAAGAGUGCAAGGUUCCCCCUGCUAUACCUGAUCUUGAAUAUAGGUUGAGAAAUAUAUCCACUUAGAGGCCUUGGGUGGCUUCAUUAUUGACUGAUAAUGGUAACCCCUCUUGGUUAACUAAUCAAAGGGAAUGUAUUGUAAAAUAUUCCAUUAGCUUAAAGGCUAUGUUUUGGAGGGCUAUUGUUCGCUUAAGGCUGAUGCCAAUAAAGGGUGACGGAAACUUGGAUAAACACAAAGCUGUAUUAGUGGAAAGUUUGGUUUCAGGGCUGCAAGUUGACUUCGGCCAGAUUAUUAUAGAUAAGAUAUUCAUGAGGGAAUAUAAAACAACAAACAUAUUGCUGUUUCCAUGCUUGAUCACUGAGUUAUACAGACAGGACGGUGUGCCCCUAAUUCAUAGAGUUGACAAUGAAAUACCGGCUACACAUAUCAGGACAUUGAAAAGUCAAAAGCCAUCUUAAAGUUUGAGAUAUAUGUCACCAAGCCUCUAGCUUACCAAACUUAGUCUGCACCAGCUCCCGAUGCUACAGAAAUUCUCGUAGGUAUGCCUUCGCCCAUCACCACUUAUAUUCCACCCGAGUAUGUGCCUCUAAGUACUUCUGCAAAGUUGGGAUCUGCCCAAUCUAUGGGUGGAGCAGACUUUUCUGAAUGCAGGUUGACGCAGGAGAAUUUUUUAAAAUCAGUUAAGCUGCAAAAGAGGUUUCAGAGGCAGUUAGAUAAAGAGGCAUCAAAAUUUAAGCCUUUUAUUCAUGAAAUUGUAGCUGAGGCAAUCCUUCCAUUCCAGACUAUUCAAACUAGGAUGGACAACAUGGAGCACCGCAUCAACAAAAGUCUAGAUACACUGUCCUUUCUUGAUCUUGUAUAGCUCAUGGCUAAAUUUGAGCAGGAAAAGGCCGAUAUACCAGAGUUAAAGGGAAGUCAACCACAUCAGACUAUUUUUAACCCAACCUUAGUGGAAAGUGACGAUGAUGAGAGUAUUGGGGAUCUGAUGGGAAGACCCAUGGAAGACAAAGGAAAGCAACACAUGGAUAAACGAGCUGGAAGAAAAGUUGAAAAAAGGAGAAAGAGAGCACAAAUGAUAUUAGAGCAACAGGAACAACAUGAUCUGAAGAGAACUCAAAAAAAUCAAAGAAAUAUGAAGAAAACAGAAAUAAGAAAAAGAAAGAUGAAAUAGAAGGAGUAUCUACUAGUGUUGCGCCAGCAAGGGGCAAAGUUCAGCAUCAGUCUGAGAGAUGAUUCUUCCAAUCUAGGAGGGUGAGAUUUUGAGUGACCCUACCACUAUAGGGUCCAACAUUGCACCAGGUGAGGACGUUGGGUCCUCACCAUACUUAAAAGACACCUCAGAUGAAUAAGAGGAAAAAUAAGUAUACCUAUUUUUUUGUACUUUAAUUUAAUGCUUUGAGGAUAAUGCAUAUGUUUUUAUGUGGGGGUGGUGUACUUGUAUCAUGGGGGGGUGGGUUGUGUUGCUGAUAUUCUGAACCCUACCAUGGGCUAUCUAGGAGAAUCGGCAUGUCUAGGAUCAUAUUAAGUUUGAAUCUUCAUUCUCUAGGUUUAACUUUAGAUUUGCAUUUUUCUUCUUUUUAAGUCUGGUUAUAUUGUCAAUGUUGAUCCAUGGAAUAAAAGUACUAUUUGUGUUAGUAUCUUGUUGUAAAUAUGGAUGAUGAAUGAUGUUGGCAUAAAGCUAGGACUAUUUCCAUAUGACUAUUUAUUCGUCCCUUAGGAUAUGUGCUCAACUGUUAGUGAAUUUGUAGUUGGCAUUAGCCUGUAAAUAUACUUGGCAUGUGAUGCAAAUCUUAAGAAUAGUAGAAUGAGUGUGACUUAGUUGCCACUGUGCGUGCAAGUAUUUGUAUUAGUCUUACAUAGUAUAGUACCUAGAACUUUCCUGGUUCAAUUGAUAUUGUUUUGUAGUUCAACUACAGAUGAUGCAAUUAUGCAUCUUGCUAAUUUUGUUGGGAUCUGCACUUCCUAUACUAUUUAGGGGGUAGAUCAAGAGGUGUUCAGACUAAGGUUGUUCCCUUUUUCAUUGAUUGAAGAAGAUCCUUUGUGGUUAGGAGAGCUUCCUAGAGGAUGGAUCAUCGUUUAGAAUAAGUUUUGCAGUUAAUUCUAAAACUGUUUCUUUCCUCCAGCUAGAAUAUUGCAGUCAAAAGAAGAGAUAUAUAACUUCAGGUAACUAUAUUCUGAGUCAAUGUAUGAGUCUUGGUUCCAAUUUAAGAAGAAGUUGAUCGUGGUACCCAAUCAUAGUAUUUCAGGGAUGAGUUUAUUGGAGAUAUUUUAUAGAGCCUGAACAUCAGUUCCCGAGAUAUGAAAGACACAAUCACUAGAAGAGCAUUUAUGAGAUUAUGCUGGAAAGCAGUUUCUGAGGUUCUAGACCAAAUCUCUCUCACCAACCAAAGUUGGCAUACGCGAAAGGCCGAGAAGAGUGCUGACAAUUAUGCCAUUAGAGCUUCUGCGACCAUAGAGCAGUUGAUGAUUUUAUUGCAUAAGAGGUUGCUCAGAUGAGGACUAAUAUUAGGUUACUGACUAUGCAGUUUGCAAUAGUGAAUUCUGAGAAGGUGAACACUUUAGGUUCACAGGGUGCAAACUCUAGAGCAUAUGCGUCUGACUUGGAAUAGGAGGCUAAGUAUCUUGAUCGAGAAUUCUCAAGGUUUUAGAGCCAAGGGGAAAGGAAACCAUGGUCAAAACUAUUAUGGAGAUAGAUACAGAGAUUGCAGUAGGGAGCGUGAUGGUGACUGGAGAAGGAAGGAGGACUAAAAGAAAAAGAGAGACAUGUAUGUUCUGUCGAUCAUUCGUGAUUCUGAAUAGAGAAUUGAAGGAAUGCUAACAAAACUGGUCAAGGUCCAAGAAUAUCAGGAAACAUGCCUUAAGGAGAUUAAGGCCGAUAUCUUAGGUAUGACUCAGAAGGUCGAGCCUCAUACGAUUGAAAUCAAGUAGUUAGAGCAGUAGUUUCGGUAGAUGUUGGCUGCUUUAAAUCAGAGACAGCUAGGUACCUGUCAUGAUCUGAACCAGGUCCUAAUUAUGGCGGAUAUCUCAAGUCUUCUGGGACCGAAGAUCACCUUCUUGCACCUAACAAACCAACAGAAGAUCACCCUUGUCGGACAAAUUCCUAACACAAAACAAGAUAGCAUAAAGAUAAGCUUAAAAAUAUUUAAAACAUACAUAUAAUCCAUCAAUCAAAAAUCAGCUGAGUAACAUAGUAACAUCACCCAAGUCCAUAGUAAUCCAACAAAGUCUCUACCAAAAUUGAAUAUCAAUAAAGUGUAGGGACAUGCCCCCGACUAUAGCCAAAAAUAACUCUAAACAGUCAGAUACACAAGGAGCCAAAUUAUGAAAUGUAGACUUCCAAAUUAUGAAAGCUCACCACUUAAUGUCAACUCACAAACUAAUCUCGAAUCCUAAUCAACGAGCAGGAGAAAUAGAAGUAUGGCCAAUUUCUUCAUUGCUUGGGGAUACAACGUCCGAAGAUGGUUAGCAGGGUGAAUGCUCGCAUGAUACUCUGGGAAAAGGGUAACAUAAUGCCAUGAUCAACAGUUUCAAAUCAUUUAUAUCCAAUAUACAUAACCAAAUGCAUAUACAUAUAUAUAUAUAUUACAUGAAAGGAUAGGGAACAAGGCUUAACAUGUAUUUUAUAUAUAUAUAACAUACAAAGGAACCUAAGGGCUAUAUGGUCCAAGCUCUCCCCAGUAGGUAGGGUCCCAGUGUAUGUGGCCACAUGAUCCUAAUUCAUAGAGUUGACAAUGAAAUCCCGGCUACACAUAUCAGGAUAUUGAGAAGUCAAAAGCCGACUUAAAGUUUGAGAUACAUGUCACCAAGCCUCUAGCUUACCAAACUCAGUCUGCGCCAGCUCCCGAUGCUAUAGAAAUUCCUGCAGGUAUGCCUUUGCCCAUCACCACUUAUAUUUCACCCGAGUAUGUGCCUCCAAGCACUUCUACAAAGUCGGGAUCUGCACAAUCUAUGGGUGGAGUAGACUUUUCUGAAUGUAGGUUGACGCAGGAGAAUUUUUCAAAAUCAGUUAAGCUACAAAAGAGGUUUCAAAGGCAGUUAGAUAAAUAGGCAUCAAAAUUUAAGCCUUUUAUUCAUGAAAUUGUAGCUGAGGCAAUCCGUCCAUUCCAGACUGUUCAAACUAGGAUGGACAGCAUGGAGCACCGCAUCAACAAAAGGCUAGAUAUACUGUCCCUCCUUGAUCUUGCAAAGCUCAUGGCUGAAUUUGAGCAGGAAAAGACUGAUAUACCAGAGUUAAAGGGAAGGCAACCACAUCAGACUAUUUUUGACCCAACCUUAAUGGAAAGUGACGAUGAUGAGGGUAUUGUGGAUCUGAUGGGAAGACCCAUGAAAGACAAAGAAAAGCAGCACAUGGGUAAACGAGCUAGAAAAAAGUUAAAAAGAGGAGAAAAAGAGCACAAAUGAUAUUAGAGCAACAGGAACAACAUGAUAUGAAGAGAGAUCAAAAAAAGUUAAAGAAAUAUGAAAAAAAGAGAAAUAAGAAAGAGAAAUAUAAAAUAGAAGGAGUAUCUACUAGUGUUGCGCCAGCAAGGGGCAAAGUUCAGCAUCAGUCUGAGAGAUGAUUCCUCCGAUCUAGGAGGGUGAGAUUUUGAGUGACCCUACCACCAUAGGGUCCAACAUUGCACCAGGUGAGGACGUUGGGUCCUCACUAUACUUCAAAGACACCUCAGAUGAAUAAGAGGAAAAAUAAUUAUACCCAUUCCUUUUUACUUUAAUUUAAUGCUUUGAGGAUAAUGCAUAUGUUUUUAUGUGGGGGUGGUGUACUUGUAUCAUGGGGGGAGGGGGUUGUGUUGCUGAUAUUCUGAACCCUACCAUGUGAUAUCUAGGAAAAUUGGCAUGUCUAGGAUCAUAUUAAGUUUGAAUAUUUAUUCUCUAGGUUUAACUUCAGAUUUGCAUUUUUCUGCUUUUUAAGUCUGGUUAUAUUGUCAAUGUUGAUCCAUGGAAUAAAAGUGCUAUUUGUGUUAGUAUCUUGUUGUAAAUAUGGAUGAUGAAUGAUGUUGGUACAAAGCUAGGACUAUUUCCAUAUGACUAUUUAUUCGUCCCUUAGGAUAUGUGCUCAACUGUUAGUGAAUUUGUAGUUGGCAUUAGCCUGUAAAUAUACUUGGCAUGUGAUGCAAAUCUUAAGAAUAGUAGAAUGAGUGUGACUUAGUUGCCACUGUGCGUGCAAGUAUUUGUAUUAGUCUUACAUAGUAUAGUACCUAGAACUUUUCUGGUUCAAUUGAUAUUGUUUUGUAGUUCAACUACAGAUGAUGGAAUUAUGCAUCUUGCUAAUUUUGUUGGGAUCUGCACUUCCUAUACUAUUUAGGGGGUAGAUCAGGAGGUGUUCAGACUAAGGUUGUUCCCUUUUUCAUUGAUUGAAGAAGAUUCUUUGUGGUUAGGAGAGCUUCCUAGAGGAUGGAUCAUCAUUUAGAAUAAGUUUUGCAGUUAAUUCUAAAACUGUUUCUUUCCUCCAUCUAGAAUACUGCAGUUAAAAGAAGAGAUAUACAAUUUAAGGCAACUAUAUUCUGAGUCAAUGUAUGAGUCAUGGUUCCAAUUUAAGAAGAAGUUGAUCAUGGUACACAAUCAUAGUAUUUCAGGGAUGAGUUUAUUGGAGAUAUUUUAUAGAGCCCUGAACAUCAGUUCCCGAGAUAUGGAAGAUGCAAUCACUAGAAGAGCAUUUAUGAGAUUAUGCUAGAAAGCAGUUUCUGAGGUUCGAGACCAAAUCUCUCUCACCAACCAAAGUUGGCAUACUCGAAAGGCCGAGAAGAGUGCUGACAAUUAUGCCAUUAGAGCUUCCGCGACCAUAGAGCAGUUGAUGAUUUUAUUGUACAAGAGGUUGCUCAGAUGAGGACUAAUAUUAGGUUACUGACUAUGCAGUUUGCAAUAGUGAAUUCUGAGAAGGUGAACACUUUAGGUUCACAGGGUGCAAACUCUAGAGCAUAGCGUCUGACUUGGAAUAGGAGGCUAAGUAUCUUGAUCGAGAAUUCUCAAGGUUUUAGAGCCAAGGGGAAAUGAAACCAUGAUCAAAACUACUAUGGAGAUAGAUACAGAGAUUGCAGUAGGGAGCGUGAUGGUGACUGGAGAAGGAAGGAGGACUAAAAGAAAAAGAGAGACAUGUAUGUUCUGUCGAUCAGCCGUGAUUCUGAAUAGAGAAUUGAAGGAAUGCUAACAAAACUGGUCAAGGUCCAAGAAUAUCAGGAAACAUGCCUUAAGGAGAUUAAGGCCGAUAUCUUAGGUAUGACUCAGAAGGUCUUUCGACAGAUGUUGGCUGCUUUAAAUCAGAGACAGCUAGGUACUUGUCAUGAUCUGAACCAGGUCCUAAUUAUGGCGGAUAUAUCAAGUCUUCUGGGAUCGAAGAUCACUUCCUUGCACCUAACAAACCAACACAGGAUCACCCUUGUCGGACAAAUUCCUAACAUAUAACAAGAUAGCAUAAAGAUAAGCUUAAAAAUAUUUAAAACAUACAUAUAAUCCAUCAAUCAAAAAUCAGCCGAAUAACAUAGUAGCAUCACCCAAGUCCAUAGUAAUCCAACAAAGUCUUUACCAAAAUUGAAUAUCAAUAAAGUGUAGGGACAUGCCCCUGACUAUAGCCAAAAAUAACUCUAAACAGUCAGAGACACAAGGAACCAAAUUAUGAAAUGUAGACUUCCAAAUUAUGAAAGAUCAUCACUUAAUGUUAACUCACAAACUGAUCCCGAAUCCUAAUCAACAAGCAGGAGAAAUAGAAGUAUGGCCAAUUUCUUCAUUGCUUGGGGAUACAAUGUCCGAAGAUGGUUAGCAGGGUGAAUGCUCGCAUAAUACUCAGGGAAAAGGGUAACAUAAUGCCAUAAUCAACAGUUUCAAAUCAUUUAAAUCCAAUAUAUACAACCAAAUGCAUAUACAUAUAUAUAUAUAUAUAUUACAUGAAAGGAUAGGGAACAAGGCUUAACAUGUAUUUUAUAUAUAUAUAACAUACAAAGGAACCUAAGGGCUAUAUGGUCCAAGCUCUCCCCAGUUGGUAGGGUCCCAGUAUAUGUGGCCACAUGAACUAGAGGGUAUACAUAUGCAAUAUUAGGGAAUCAAACCUCCCUGCAUAUCAAGGUGCCACAAGCACAAAAUUAUGUAAUAUAAUGUAGGGGACUCGAACCUCCAAUCAUAUGAUGAUAAUAAGGGGGACUCAAACCUCUCUGGUUAUUUCGACCCCCGCGUCGGCAACUACAGUUUCUAGUAUCUGUUACUUGGACCUCCACUUUUACAACUCAGCUACACAACUCCUUUUUAAGCAAAAUUUAAAACAUUUAUAACACAUUCCCAUUUAUUGAACCAUAUUUCACAUUAUGGCAUACAUUGUUGGUAUCUUCAUACAAACUACACUUGCAAGGUAACAACAACAUGCCACACCAAUUACAUUCACUUGGGAGAAUUCACAACCCCUUGGUUGAAUUUUACAUUAGCAUGGGGAAUUACACAACCCCAUAAGGUUCAAUUCAAAAUCAUAAGGCAACAAUUCAAGAAUAGUCAAUUACCACAUUUCUCAUAAUUUAAAACCAAUUUUAGAAUAUGGGGUUGGGGUCAUAACCACCUUAAAAGUCACAAUUUUUAGGAAAUCACAAUUCCUUAGUUCAUUCACCAUAUCCAUGCACCCACAAGUUCAAAACCAUAUUUAAAGCAUGAAUUAUCAUAUGUACACCAUGGGAGAACAUUGUUCAAUAACACGUAUUAAAAACCCUCAACCCUUGUUUCCAAAAGCAACAUCAAUAUCUCAUGAACAAUACUUUAAAAUAUAUGAUUUUAACAAAUUAAUAAUGAGGGAAGAGUAACAUGCCUGAAAUACCAAGUUUUGCAAAAAGAAUCCAACCCUUGAGUCUUUGGAUUAUCUACUUCUCAGAAACCCUAAGUAUGGCUGCUUGAGAGAAUUUUGAAAGAGCUUAGGAAGUGUUUGAGUACGUUCAAGAGGAAAUAUAACCCCUCUUAAGUGCUUUAUGGAUCUGGGGAUUUAAUUGGUUAAGAGGACAAUGGUCCAAAGUUCCUUUAAAUUAAAAGCUUGAAUUUAUUAUUGUGACUACGAGUCACUGUAUGACUCGUAUAGGAUCAUUAUGACUCAUCUCCUUGAUUCGUAACCAUGGAAGUUCCUAGGAAGCCCACACACUGUUGACCCUAUGACUCAACUAGUACCAUUUGUAAUAGGACCCUACAACUAAUAGGGUCUAGUUGUAGUCAAUGUAGAACCCAAUAUGGUAAACACUUGACAUCCUAUGAUUUUCACCCAAUGACUCGUAACAAGUCCUAUGACUCUUCGCGAGCCACUCAUACUUAGAGAAGAACUUUACCACAUACAUACUAAUUUGGUUAUGAUUAGGUCCCUAGGACCCAUCAAGACUCCCUAUGACUCGUACCCCCAAGUCAUACUCAGGAUAGUAACUCAAGUACUAAUCAUUAGACACCUUACGACUAGGGUUACAUGACUCAUCAAGACACCCUACGACUCAUAGGGUGCAUUUGGAUAAAAUAUUAAAAAAAUUUCAAGGACCAAAAAACUGAGGCAUUACAAUACCCUUCCAAGUAACACAUUAAAAUCCUAAGAAUGAUGGUCACUGUUUUGCUAUCACCACCUGAAGUGGUAAGACUAAUGCCGAUUUUUCAAGGAAUGAUAGAAUUGUGGUUGAUGAUACACCUAUUGUAGAUUUAGAAUUAGCAUUAGGUAUUGAUGUUAGUAUUAAUAGGGAUAGAGGUAAGGUAAAGGCUGAUGAGCCCAUUGUAAAGUAAUUUCCACGACCGCCUCCACCUUUUCCUCAAAGACUGAUAUAGAAGUGGGAGGAAAAAAAGUUCAAGAGAUUAUUGAGAUGAUAAAAGAUCUAAGCUUGAACAACUUUCUAUUUUAGGCUUUGGAGUAGAUUCCUGGAUAUGCCAGGUUUAUGAAAGAAUUUGUGAUGAAAAAAUGAGCAAUUAUUCGGAGGAUGCUAGUGGAUUGCAUUAUUACAAUGUAUUCACUUAUAUCUUUUUGGCCCAAAAGAAGGGUGAUCCUAGAGAAUUCACGAUUCCAUGCACUAUCGAGAUGUCCAAAUUUACCAAAGCAUUAUAUGACUUAGGACCCAAUAUUAAUUUGAUGCUGCUGGCUGUGUUUAAAUAAUUUAACUUAAGACCUCAAGAACCGGCUACUCUGUGAUUGUUAAUGGCUGAUUGCAUAGUAAGAAAAUGCAUGGGCAUAUUGUUUGAUGUGUUGGUAAAAGUUGAUAAGUUUAUCUUUUCAAUUGAUUUUGUCAUUUUUCAUUGUGUGGUUAACUUUGAGAUGCCCAUCAUAUUGGAAAGACCAUUCAUGGAAACAAGUAGAGCAAUGGUUAAUAAAGAGAAGGGGGAGGUCAUGUUUAGGAUCAAUAAUGAAGAAGUCAUAUUCAACAUCUGGAAAACUAUGAAGCAACCUGUCGAUAUGAGUGUAGCGCUAGUUAUUCAUUGUAUUGAUGACCUAGGAUGGAAUUCUCUUAGAUGCCUUGAUGAAUUAUUAGUAAUCAAGGUACCCACAUUAUGCCGUAAUGUUAAAUUUAGCCCUGCAUGGGAGGAAACCCAUGGGCUUGUUGGUAAAGUCUGAAUAACAACAUAGCCACGUCGUGUUUCGAUGUUAAAUCAAGCAUUGAGUGAGAACCAACCCACUAUUUUAGUGUUCUCAUUUUUUUAUUUUUUUUAGGUAAAAUGGAAAAAGGAAUGGCCUGGAUUGAGGUAAAAUUGUAUAAUUCAAAAUAUUCCAGGUAAGGGGACAUUGUGACCAACUCAUGAACGUCACAAGUUCUACGUGUGCCAGGUAAGUUGUGCAUUAAAUGUUAAAAGGAAAUUUUGGGGAUGUUCUGUACUUGAAAAUGUAACACACUUAUAACUAUGUAAAUACCACUUAUGACUUCAUAAGUAGUGCAAUAUGAGUUAGAAAAAAGUUCAGAGAUUUAGAAAAAAAGUAAAAAAAGGGACCCGUCUAUGGUGUCCACCUCUGGUCCAUAGGUGGUGCCAUAGAUGGUAACUCUUUGGGCCUAGUUUUAUUUAAAAAUAUAGGCCUACCCUAACCCUACCUAGCCCUAAACCAACCCUAAGCCUAUUUAAGUCCCAUUUAGCCAAUUGUAACCCCUAAAACUCAAAAUUUCCUUCCUUUCUCUUAAAAUUCAAACUACCCCAUUUUCCUACACUUGAGUAAAGGCAAAUACACUAUUUUUUCUGGAUACCAACUUAUUCAAAAUCACUACAAGGCUUUCAUUUCGUUUUUUAUGCUUCAAUUUUGGUUCCUUGAAUAAAAGGUAACUUUCUUGGCUUCAAUAGUAUUAUCUUGUGCUAAACCUGAAAUAAGUGAAUUAGUUUGUUUAUUUUCAUGCAAAAUACAUAGAAAUCAAUAAAAUUGUAUAUAAGAUCCUUGAAUUUGCCUAAAUAUCCUAAUGUGGGGAAUUUUUCUCAAAUUAAAUCAUAAUAUCAUGCCCUAAAUGAAAGUUAAAGUUGAAAUGGUAAAGGAAUCCCAAAUGUUUCCAUGUUAGUUUGCAUUGAAAAAGUUGAUUCUAGUAGUAUGUGUGCAUAAUGGACUUUUUUGUGCUGAGUAUAAUUUAUAUAGACGUAAAAUUGAGUGAAAAUUGGAAGUUUUCAAAUUUUGAGUUUUUCUUUAAGUUUUGCACUCCCUCACUAUCUUUUGGACACUAACACUUGGUUCUUUAGGUACACAUAGUGGUAAAGACUUAAAAGAAGAAGGUUGUACCUUUAAUAAUAGGCUACACCUUCAAGGCAAAAGAAUGACUCCUCCGAGGGAAGUGUCUCGGUGGAGAAAUACCCAAUUGAUCGGACAAGAGUAACCCCAACUAGAGUGAUAUGGCCAGUGACUACGGGCCAGAAAUAUGAUGCAGAUGAGACUAUAAUUAAGGAGAACUUGGGCGUACCACUUGUAGACCAUUUAUAGUGGCGCAAAAGACCUACUUCUACUCAUACUAGAGCUAAGCCAAAAUCCCACAAACUAAUUUCUUAGCUGAGGAUAAAGAAGGCUAGGAUUUUAUCUGUAUACUCUUCCCAGUCUAUGGAGAGAGAGAAUAAGGACAAGGAUAAUGAUGAUAAGGAGGUGGAGUUUGAGUCACUUAUAGAGGUUACUACAUAGGACCCCUAGUCUUUGGAGGGGUCACAGGAUGCAAACGAGUCUGAGGCUGUAGUUUUAGAGAAGUCAAUAGUACUUUAGUUUGAGGAGGGUACCACAGUUCUGGAGGAGUUAUUAGUUAUACCCUAGUUUGAGUCGGGUAUAAAUCAGGCUACAUAUUAGGUACGGCUACCAUAUAUAAGGCCACCAUCUCAGAUACAUUAGGAUCGAUCGAGCCUAUUUAUGAGGUUAACCCAAGAUGGUGUGUAGAGGGGAUAUAAUUGCUUUAUAAAAGAGACAACCAUGUGACCGAGACAAGCCAACCCAAGAAAGAUAUUUAUGGGUAUAGAUGGAUUGAUUUGUCUGUGUUGGCUGGAGCACCAUUGUCCAGGGCUGUAUUUGGCAAGUAUUAGCUGUGGUGGAUGACUAGACCUUUAAGUUCAUACAAACCGAUAUUAGUAUGGGAGUUAUAUGACUUCUACCACUCUACAGUAUCUUUGUCUACGCCUAGAGGUAGGAGGCAUAUAGAGCAGCCACGGUUAGAGAAACUUUUGUGAGAGGGGUCAAAUUUAAUAUUUCAGUGACAACUAUCCAUCGAGUUUUAUUUGGCCCAGAGUAUGUAGCUCCCAUGUCUAUAGCUGAGUCUGAUCACUAUUUGACAUAGGCAUAUGACAAACACGCCAUUAAAAAAGAUAAGAACUAGAGUGAAAGGGUAGGUUGGUGAGACGAAUCACCAUUUAUAUCUUACCUCUCAAAGUGGAUGCCCCUGAGGUUAAGGGGCAAGAUAUGAAUAAAAAGGUUGCAUUGAACUUCACUUGAUAGUUUUGGUGGCUAUUGGUGUGUUAUUAUUUGUGUAUGACUACCACGAAUAACUUUUUUACUUAGGAUAGUGUAUCAGUGAUUGUGAGUAUGGAAAUUGAUUAUGAUAUUUAUUGUAGCCAUCAUCAAAUAUGAGAUACAUGAGUAGGCAUUUGGGGAGACAACCACACUGCCCCUUCCUAUCCUGGUAGAAUUUUUAUAUAAUGAGAUAAUGUUCUAGAUAUUCCAGGUUUUGAUGUGAUAGUAGAGGUAAUGAACGUGGCCCCGACUUAAUGAUCAAGGACCCAACAAACUCAGUCCUUGCACAGAGGUCUGAUAUGCUUCCGAUAGUGGUUCUAGCCCAAUUUGAGAGCUUAUCAGUUCUUUCUAAGCCAACUAAUAUAAAAGAAGUUGAUGUGGGUAUUAGCAUGGAGUUUGAGAUAGGGAAUAAAAAAGGUCCCUUGAUACGAGCACACAGGGUAAGGGGACACCAACUAUAUCUAGUUUAGUCCUAGAUUUCACUGUAGAGCCAGUUGGGACAUCUAUACUACCCCCUUACCCCUCUACUACAACUAUUGUAUCAGGUAUAGUUUUUCUAUCCCAUGAGUUUUUGCAGAGCAUAAUAGAUAGUCUGAGUGCUACCAUUACCCGUCUUGAGAAUAUUGAGGCUUAGGUUGCAUUUUUGUAUGGUUAGAUCUUGCCUUGGGCCCAGACAAUACUUAAGGCAAUAGAAACUAGACUACAAGCUGCACAUAUGAUUGAGAUGUCAAUAGUUCUAAGCUAAGGUGCUUUCUUGUAUAAAUACCUUUGAGGAUUGAGUGUUGGCUAAGUUUUGUGAUAUUUAGGCACCCAAUUUGAGUUUAAUUUGAGAUUAGGUGGCCACCCUACGGCUAGAGAUAUUCUUUCUCAUUGAAAGCAACAAUACAACCAUCCCUCUAAUUAUACCUCUAGUUGUUCACCAAUACCUCUACAUAGACCUAGACGCUUUGAAUAGUUCACAGAGAAUAAUGAGGCAGUCCCUAUUAUUAGGACUGAGAGAGGUAGAGAGGUAGAGUUUUAGGAUCCUGAUAUACCAUUUGAUCAGGCCCUAAAAUGGUCUAGACAUGAUUCAAGGGAUACUAACUUUGCAUAUAGACAAAGGCAUAUCGAGAUAGCUGCGGGUGCAUCCUCUAGUAAUGAACUAUCAUGACCACCACCUCUGCUAAUUGAGAUACCCUUCCUUAGGGAUGAUCAUGACACUGGUGCCUAGUGCAUCCCAGGUACGUCCUUAUUUCCUUGCUUUAUAUUAUUUAUAAACAGUGGGGACAAUGCAUAGUUUUUAGUUAGGGGUGGGGUAUACUAUAGUCACUGUGGGUUUUUGUUGCCAUGCUUCUUUUCAUAUCAAUCAUGGCAUGAUUGUAUAACUGAUAUGUCUAGGUCAAAGUUUAUGUCGUAUUGUUUUUUGUUUCAUAUUAUGUUUUGGUUAUGUGAAAUUAGGAGAUCUUUGAGUAUUUAGGGUAAUUGAUAUGUUUUUCAUGGAUUUAAGAAAAAUGAUACCCCUCCAAAAAAUUUAUUUUUAGAACUGUGUGAAUUUAUAUAUGUGUGACCAUUAUGGAUCUUAUUAUAGAAUCAGGAUUAGGGACAUCAUAAUCAUUGCUAACAAUUGUAUCAACCAGAUAGGUAGUAGCUUGUGAUGUAACCCUGUGCCAUCUGUGUAAGAUAUUACUUAAUUUUCUUUAUAUGUUGAAUCCAGAAUUUGCCUGAUUAGACUUUCCUUGGUCGUAGGAUAGUUGGUUAGGAAAACAUCAUAGGCCAUUUUUUUUAUGUUAGUCCACUUUUAGCCUAAAUGAUCUUCUAUGUGUGAAUAAGUUUCCCUUGAUCCCUAUUUUUGAGUCUAUAUGCCUAUUUUUCUUGUUACACCUUUCAGCUUCCCAUUUAUUUUACAAUGAGCUUAUUUUGGCCCUGGUCCUCCUAGGAUAUUAUGCACCUCAAGUCAAAAAAAUUGCCUGAGUUUAGGGCGACUAUUAUAAGGGUGCAUAAUUUAAAGUGAGUAUAAAGACUGGUAAAAUAUGAGAAAAAAUAUAGUAAGGUUGGGUAAGGUAGAAAAAGAAAAAGAAAGAAAAGAAAAAUGUGAAAAAUAAAAGAAAAAGAAAAAAAAUGAAUAAAAGAAACCAUACCCAACCUAAAUGUGCAAUAAAUAAUAAAAGUAAAGAAAUAAGGGUGGAAUAAAAGGAAAUUAGUUAAAGUGUGAACCCUAAAGUAAGUGUAGCGCAAAGGAAGCUUAGUCACUUGACAUUACCAUAUCUACCACACCAACCCCUAAACCUACAUUACAAGCUGAAAUAAAGCCCUAUAGUGAUCCUAACUUGACUGUUUGAAAGCUAUGGUGAUGAAAAUAAAGGUAUGCCUAUGGUGUUUGAUGCGUAUUGUUGGAACUUCUCUUGUAAGUGUGAGUGUCUCUUAAUUGUCCCUAUAUUGACAUACAUAAUUUCAUUUGAGUGAGUGGGACUUAUUUGUUGUGAGGGCGUAUGGGUUGUAUUGCUAGCUGUUUACUUGUUUGUGUAGUGUCACUUCUACAUAUGCACGGUUCUCUAUGGAUAAUGUAAUGCCAUAUCUUAAUUCCCUUGUGUCACAUUGUUAUACUUAAUAUACACACACAGUUGGUUUUAAUGUGUCAAAAUAGAAGGGGGUAAUGUAUUUGAGCUUAAAGUUGAUGAUUGACUGCCUUAGAUAGCUUAGAGUUCUCCUAGUUUAGAGUCGUUGCUUUGUUUUGUUUUUGUAUUUCUUAAGGACAUGCAAAUGUUCUAAGUUAUAGGUGUUGAUGUGCUAUGGAUUCAUAUCACUUUUGAUGCUUAAAACUAUAAAAUAUGCAAGUUACUUAGGUUGUUUUGUUAUGUAUGAUGUGUUUUGCGUUAUGUUUUGUAGGAUACUAGGUUUUGAAUGAUAAACUAAAGAAAAGGAUGAAAAACUAAAGUUUAUGGCUACUUAUCUAUGAACCUACAACCCAUAAGUACCAUUUACUAGGCGUAGGUUCCAAAGUAGGUGUCAAAAAUUAGAAGUCUAGAGGUUCAGAAUUGUAGAAAAAAAGACUAUGUCAUUUGCGAUGUAGGUGCCAGUCCAUGGUGAUAAAGUAUGUUGCAGAAAGGAAAAGUCCAUAGAUUCAGGAGCUGGUGGAGGAGAGGGGGCACCUACAUGGGACCACCUAUGAUCCAUAGGAGCAACCUAUGAUCCGUUGGUGGAUACCAACCUUAGUUUUCCUUUUUCGUUUGUGACUUGAUUUUGAGGGUUUACGUGUAUUCUAUAAAUACCCUUUUGACAUUUUUAGUUAGUUUACACACUCUUAAUACUUAUAAAUAUAUAUUUGAUUCUAGGAUUUGAUUUUGACCUUAGAAUGUACUAAUUUUUGUUGUUUAUUCAAUUAAAGACUUUGGGUUUUAUUCGUUGAUUAUUGUGAUAUUAUUUGAAUGACUUCAAUUAUGAAUUAUUUUGAUCGCAUUACAAACAUGAGCAACUAAUUCCCUUAGCUAGGGUUGUCGCAACCCUGGAUAAAUAAAAAAGUAAGGGAAGUGUCAAUCCUUCUAGAUAGUUAUUGCUGCAUGCAUUGUGGUUUUCUUCGUACUUAUUUCUUUCUUAACGGUUGCAAAUGUUAGGAUCAUCCCGUAUUCACUACAAACCUGACAGGGAGGUAGAUAUUUGGAAAAGAAGAUCAAAAUAGUGAUUUGGGUUUAAUUAGUGAAACAAGCUUACCUGCAUUAUCUUCUUAAGACAAUAAACUAUAUCUAAUCAACUUAAGAUCGAAAAGAGAUAGUUUAAAUUAGGGUACAAGGUAUGGGAUAGUAAGUCAACACUCUAAGAUAGAGAGAAGAUGAGUUAAAUUCACCAAAGUAUGUUGAGAGGCAAUUGGUGAUACCUAACAUACCAGAUUCUACAUGCACAGAAGUUUGAUAGUUUGAUUGAGCAUUAAAAGCCUAUCAAGUUGAAAGCCAGGGGGAACAAAAGCCUAUUGUUCAUCACUAAUUGAUUAUAACCAAAGUUAAGCUCGGUUACUUAUUCGAGAUUUCUACUACAAAACACCCAUUUACUUUUAGUUUUGCCUGGUAGGUUCAACAAGCUAGAGAGAUUGGUCCAUGUCUUCCCUGUGGGAUCAACCCCAACUUAGUUAGGUUACUUUACUUGACAAUAAUCGCUUUAUCUUACAAUUGGAGGUGUAGUUCGGGCAUUGCUCAUAAGUGGCCUCAUAAGUGUCAAAGGAGGUACGAUCUAAGAAGCUGAAUGCUGAAGAUUGUUUUGUCAUUGAUGAAGGGUCACUUAUGAUGCAUAAGUACCACUUAUGCCCCCAUAAGUACCAACUAGGAAUUAGAGGAAAUUUUUUUGAGAAGAUUAAAGACUAAAGAUUGGUCUAAGAAGGACGAACGGGGCAUAAGUAGCACUUUUUCUGCCGUAAAUGUCAUCAUAAGUAGCAUGCUACAACGACAUUUUGACACUUCUAAUCAACCUAGGGUCCUGUAAGUUACUUAUGGCUCGUAAGUGGGUUCGUAAGUGGUGACCGACCAAAUUUUCCUUAUUUAUUUUGGUUAGAAUUUGUAGUGUUUUGAUACAUUUUAUACAUGCACUUUUUGAUGUUUUUGGGAUCAAUGACAAGGGUAGUAAGGUGACACUUUGAGAUUCAUAAGGUGAAGAGUGAAAUUCAUCAAAAGCAUUCACAAGAUGGUUGGUGAUACAUAUCUUGUUAAAUUCUGCAUGCAUAGAGUUAAGAUUGUCGAAUUGAGCACGAUAAGUCUACAGAGUUAGGGAGCCAGGGGGAACAUAGUCCUAGUAUUCAUCUUAGUUUGACUUCAACCAUAGCGACCAAGAUUUGUUAAUAUUGAUACUGUUCUCACCAAAACCCUAAUUUACUUUCUGCAAUUUUUGGCUACUUCAGCAAAUUCGUGUGAGAUAUUCGAUCUAUUCCCCAUGGGUUUGAUCACAACCUUUAUUGGGUUACUAUAUUUGACAGCGACCACAUUAUGAUUUCUUUGGAGGUAUAGCUUGGGUGACAUCAAAUUUUUUACGCCAUUGCUGGGGCAUACAAUUACAAUUGAUUGAUUGAAGUUGUUAAGGUUGUUGGGUAUUUCUUUUCUAUUUUUCUUAGGGUGUACACCCGUGUAUGAUCAGUACUAGAAGUCAAGGCAAUUCCUUGAUCCCACUUUAUUCAAAGAAUAAAAGAAUCCUAUAAAAGAAUCUUAGGAUGUCAGAAUACGAUUGUGAAGCUCAUUAUGAGCUGCCUUAAGAUGAUACACUUGAGUUGAAUCCUCCACCUCUACAUGGUGCUCAAGAGGUAGCUUUGUAGACCUCUGUGUAGCUACUAGCUGAAGAGAAUGCGAGAUGGGAUGUGAUUGCCCGCUGUGUAUCUCAAAGAGGCAGAGAUAAAAAGCUAGGUGUUGAGAAAAACUCAACAGAGGUAAAAUAGAUAGAGUUUAAAUGCCCUUCGUUUUUCAGUGUAUUCCAGUAUAUGAUGAUCCAGAGGAGUACUUGAGGUAUACUGAGCCUAUCAAGAUAGAAGCCACUAUUCCCUCAGAGUUUCCUAGAGGGUGAAGGUUGAUAUCACAAAUGCUAUGAUUCAUCUGCUUAAUUUGAAGUGUGUUCUUGCUGGUUUGCCGAUGGAUAAUACAAAUAUGCAUAUUAUGAAUUUCGUAGGAAUGUGCUCUUCAUACAAUUUACUUGGGGUGAGUAAGGUAGCUUUGAUACUCAGGAUGUUCCCAUUUUUCUGAUGUGUGACAUGACAUUAUGGCUAGGGAAACUACCUCAUGGGUCGACCAUUAAUUGGAUUUACUUGGGAAAGUAAUUCUUGGACCGAUUCUUCCCGCCUUCUAGAUUGCUGUAAUUGUAGGAUGAGAUUUAUAAUUUCAGGCAAUUAAAUUUUAAACCACUUUAUGAGGCAUGGUUGAGGUUCAAGAAAAAGUUGUUGAUGGUUCCUAAUCACCGGAUUUUGCAAGGGAAUUUUCUUAAAAUAUUUAUUGAGCCCUGAAUUCCAAUAUCAAAGCUAUUGCAGAUACUAUCAUUGGUGAAGAUUUUAUGAGCCUGCAUUGGAAGUUAGCAUAAAAUUUUUAGAGUAGGUCUCUAUGACCAAACAUGGGUGGCAUACUUAGGAGGCCAAAAAGGAGUCAGUACUUAUGUUAUUAGUGCUUCCAGUGAACAAAGGAUUGUAGAUAAUAUAGUAGUAAAAGAGGCUGCUCAAUUGAGGAUGGAGAUUGGGUUAUUGACAAGGCAAUUCAAAACUUUGAAUUCAGAAAAGGUGAAUGCUGUAGGUGAACAAGGUAAAUCUCCUAAGAUAUAUGACUCAAAUAUUGAGGAAUAGACAAAUGGAUAGAUAAAUAAUGAGUUUCCAAGCCAAGGGUCAAGCCUCUAAUUAAGACACUUGGAACUCGAGGCAAGGGGAUUAUGGUUGGAACUACUCUAGGGACACAUAUAAGGAUUGGAGGAGAGAGAGAGAGAGAUGGUUAAUAGAGACAUAAAGAUGAAUAUAAGGAGAAGAAUGAUGCAUAUGUUUCUCUAAGAAACCAUGAUAUCGAUUCUAGGAUGUAAGCAUUGUUGACUAAGUUGGUUAAGGGUUCAUAGAAUCAAGGGAGUUAAUGUAAGAAGAAUAAGGUAGAUAUUUCAGUACUGAGCUAAAAAGUUGAAUCGCAUGCUACCGUGAUUAAGUAGCUUGAGCAAUAAUUUGGUCAAAUGUCGGGUACUUUGAAUCAAUAUCAACCAGGCACUCUUACAAGAACUACUAUAUAGAAUAUAAAAAAUGAUAAUCACUAUUUAUACAUCACCACUCGGAGUGAGAAGAAAACUAUUGGUCCCCCUCUACCUAUAGUUUAUGAGGUUUAAGAGGAUGUUGUUGAUAUUGAUGUUGCACAUGAAGUAGAAUCUACAAAGUUGGUGACAAAUGGUGAAUCUUCACAAAAAUAGAUGGGUAUUGAUAAAUAAGUUGAGAAGGAUAAAGGUAAGAAGGAAGUUGAGCUAGUAUUAAAGACUAUUCCAUAACCUCUCCAAACUUUUCCUCAUAGAUUAAAGAAGAAGCCAGAGGAAAAUAAGUAUCAAAAUUUCAUGUCGAUGUUGAAGGAACUGUCUAUUAAUAUUCAUCUUAUAGAAGCAUUAAAGCAAUGCCAGGUAAUACAAAGUUCUUGAAAAAUUUAAUUACUAAGAAGAUGACAGUGACGUUUAAGACCAUUGAUAAUAUGCAACAUUGUUGUGCUAUUUCCUCUCGAUCUUUGAUAGAGAAGAAGGAGGAACUAGGGGCAUUCUUUGUUCUAUGCACUAUUGGUUCCUUCAACUUAACUCAAGCAUUGUAUGAUUUACAAGCCAGUAUUAAUCUGAUGUCAUUGGUAGUUUACAAGAAAUUGGGGUUGGGGAAACCAAAUCAGUAUCAAUGAAAUUAUUGAUGGUUGACCACACUAUGAAAAAAUCGAUAGGCAUAAUAUGUGAUGUGUUGGUAACGGUGACCUCUUUUAUAUUUUCAGCUUAAUUUGUGAUCCUUGACUAUGAGGUGGAUUUUGAAGUUUUUAUUAUCUGGGUAGGCCCUUCCUAUUUAUGGGUAAGGCUUGCCAUAAAAACGGGGGAGAUAAAAUUAUGACUUAAUAACAAACAAGUUACUUUCAAUGUAUUUUAGUUUAUGCGAUAGCCAAAUGAUAUGCGGGUGGGGUCUAUGAUAGAUACUCUUAAUGAUAUGCAUUAAAUGUCCUUAUUAAGGAAAGAUUUGGGGUUAAAGAACUCGCGAUAGUUAUCAUGAACUUUGAUAUUGAUGGUAUCAAUUUGUAUGAUGAGAUAGAGAGUGCAAGUAUGGUAAGGGUUCUUAUUCUUAUGCUCCAAAAAAUCUAUAUCUUGAUUUGAAGAAUAGAGAAACUCCACCAGCUUAUCCACUUAUUGAGGAGCUAUCGGUUUUGAAAUUGAAGGCCCUUCCAUCCUAAUUGUGAUAUGGAUUUUUGAGGGCCAACAAUACAUUUUCGGUCAUUAUUCCUAUUGAUUUAUUUGAUCCGCAAGUCGAGGCAUUGAUUUUAAGUUUGCAGAGAUUAAGAGGAUGGACUAUUGUAGAUAUUGCAGGGAUUUUUCUUGGGAUUUGUACUCAUAAAAUUUAGCUUGAACUGGAUUGUGCUCCCAUAAUCGAGCACCAAUGUUAUUUGAACCCACCUAUGGAAGAGGUGGUGAAUAAAGAGAUAAUAAAGUAGUUGGAUGCAGGCAUGGUUAAUCCCAUUGCAUAUAGCAAGUGGAUGAGCUCGGUUCAAUAUGUAUCUAAGAAGGGUGGGAUCAUUGUUACUCCAAACUAGAAGAAUGAGUUCUUGCCCAUGAUAUCGGUUAUUGAAUGGAGAGUGUGCAUGAACUAUAGAAAGUUGAACACUUGGACAUAAUAGAACCAUUUUCCUAUAUUGUUUAUGGAUCAGAUACUAGACAAACUUAUAGGCAGGGGUUGAUACUAUUUUCUUGAUGGUUAUUCAGGGUACAAUCAGAUUUCCAUUACUCUUAAAGACUAAGAGAAGACUAUUUUACUUGACCUUCUAGUACUCCUGCAACCUUUUAGCACUGCAUUAUGUAGAUAUUUUUUGAUUUGGUAGAGGACACUACAGAGGUCAUUAUGGAUGACAUUUUGGUUUUUGGGGAAUCUUUUGAUACUUCCAAACAUGUUUGGCCAAUGCACUUCAGAGAUUUGAGGAGUGCAACCUGGUUUUGAAUUGGGAAAAGUGCCAUUUUAUAGUGAAGAAAGGGAUUGUUCUUGAACAUAAGACUUUGAAGAAGGGGGUAUUGAUAUUGGCAGGUUAAAAAUAGAGGUGACUAAAAAAUUACCACCUCUGAUUUUAGUUAAAGAUAUCAAAAAAUUCUUGGGUUAUGCUGGGUUUUAUAGGAGAUUCAUCAAGGACUUCUCUAAAAUUGCAAAUCUAUUAUGCAAGCUUUUACACAAGGAGGUGAAGUUUGUGUUUGAUUAUAUGUAUCUUAAGGACAUUGAUUUCCUUAAGAAGUGGUUGAUCUCAGCUCUAAUUAUUCGAUCUCUAGACUGGUUUUUUCUUUUUGAAAUGAUGUGCAAUGCUAAUUGUGUAGCUUUGGGAGGUGUCCUAGCCAACAAUGUGUGAAUAGGCUUCUACCAAUAUACUAUGCUAGCAAAGAAUUAAACCCUAUUCAAAAUAAUUAUACAAUCUCUGAGAAGAAGUUACUCACAGUGAUUUUUACUUUUGAGCAAUUUUGGUCUGAUUUGAUAGGGACAAAAGUCAUUACUCACACUAAUCAUACAACACCAAGGUAUCUUAUAUUGAAGAAAGAUACUAAGUCAAAGUUGAUCCAUUGGGUAUUCUUGUUACAAUAAUUUUACUUUAAGGUGAAAGACAGAAAAGGCAUAGAAAACUAGGUUGCAGACCAUCUAUCCCACUUUAAAGAGGAAGCAAUGUUCAAAUUAGGGGAUGAUUGAUGUGUGAGCUAAUGCUAACACAUUUGAGGCUUUUAACUAGAAAUAAUUGUAAAUUCUUAAGAAAAUUUUGUCAUUUUUGAUUGUUUUCUCUUUGAUAAUGCAGGAAAGUUAAGAUGCAAGAAAACCAAAGACAAUAAGAGUAAAAAAGGUGAAUUUGGAACAAGUGGCCAUGAAAGUGUGGUUGAUGGCUUGUCUGAUAAGUUAUCAAAUUUGUGAUUAGUUAUCAGAGUCAUCAUCAGUUGUAGACAGUGUGAGGAAGUUGGAGCAGAAGUGUGACGACAUCCCCUGAUAAGCCAUCAGGUGUAUGAUAGGCUAUCUAAAAUGCCGCCAGCCUAAGGCAGAGAUCAUAAAAAUGGAAGAGGAGAUGACGACAUUUCUGAUAAGUUGUUAGACUUCUGAUAAGCCAUCAGGAGUUGCUGUCAGCCAAUGAAAGAAAACAUCAAACUUGGAGGAGGAGCUGACAACAAUGUUUGAUAAGUCAUCAGACUCCUGAUAAGGCAUCACACUUCGUCGUCAGCUGUGCGAGAAAAAGUUGUAUUCUGUGAUUUGAUUUCUAAUUUAGCUCUUGGUAUUUAAGGGAAAGUUCUUAGGUUUAAUUAGAGGCGAACAUUUAUCUUGAACUUCACGACAUUCAUCGAUUGAACAUGAACUUACACUAUUUUUUCUCUCUAAUUUUCUCUGUAACUUUACAAUUAACUUUUGAGAGAUUGUUAUCAUAAUUUUCUUAGGAUUUCUACUGCGAUCUAAUAUGAAAAUACUUGUUGAUAUUCAUUAUUCUGUAAGCUAUCAUAUAUCGAAUUAUGAAUACAAAUUGUCUUGUUGCUUUUUACAUUAUGAGUAGUUAAUUUCUUUAACCUGAGAUGUGGGAUCUAUGGGUUUGGUUUUGUAAAGUAACUAGGCGUUCAAGAUUCUAAAGGUAGUAGGAACUCCUUGGUAAUUCCUCUAUUUUACGUAUUGUCUAUUGGUUGCAAACGAUAGGUCAUGCCUACUAGUGAUUUGCUUGUAAUAAGAAAUCAACCCUAGUAGGAAGUGAAUUAUCACCAGGGACUUGGAAGCAUCAAACUUUCAUUUAAUAAUUAACGCUGUAACAAGGUUAAUUAACUUGAGACAACAUCUUUUAUGAAAUAUAAAUUCCCUAAUUUUGAAAGAAUUAGGUAAUUAAAUGUCUAAAUAGGUUGAGAAACAUUUAGACAUUACUUCGACAAGGAUAAUCUGCUGUUCCUACCUACCACAAGAAUCUUGAACCAUUAUUAGUGUCUGUCAAAUACCAACAAUCAUAGUGAACACAACUCUGGUUUUCCAUAUAAUAUUGAUUACAAAUACUGACACUAAAUUGAGAAAUAAUUACUUGUUACCCUUUUAAAAAAACCCCCCAUUUAUAGAAAACUGCUAACUAUCGAUUGAUUGACUCACAAACAACUCAAAUUAACACCAUAUUCCCUGUGGGAUUUGACCCUAACCUGGUUGGGUUAUAUAUUUGACAACGACCGCUUACUCUCUCGUAAGAGAGAUAUAGUUUGAGCAUUAUCAAAAAUGGCACCAUUGCCGGAGAAUACAGUUGUAAAUUUAAGUUUGUAUGCGCUAAUUGACUGUUAGUCAAGUUUCCUUAUUUUACGUUUAUUUAUUGUUUUUGUUCAUUACAGGCUCAUUGUUGUUUAUUCCUUAAACCAGAAGUUCAGGAGAACCAUUUUUACCCUUCAAUACUGAACCCCAACUGAUCGGCAGAAUGGCAGACCCACAAGAAGCUGAUCGGCUAGCCGCCUUAGCUAGAGUUCAGGUUAAUCUACAGAAUGACGGUCAACAAGCCCGUCAUCUAAAUUUGGAUGAAGAUGACUUGGGAGAUAAAGAAUUUCUAAAUCCUGGUAACUGAAGGCGUGCAGAGGAGGUAGCUGCACCAGUGAAAAUAAAUGUACACAGAAACCAUCCUUUCAGGUUAAAACCUGAUCGCCAAGCUGUACAAUUUGAUCCUAAUAAGGAUGAUGAUGGAAUGGACGGAGCUGGUGCUACUGGAGCUAUUUUUCCCCUACCUCUAGUACCAGGAGUGAAGUUCAACAUUACUAGUACAAUAAUUUAACUCUUUCAGCUGAAGGGGUUGUUCGGUGUACUCCCAGGAGAUGAUCCCAAUAUGCAUUUAGUGAACUUUGUCACUAUUUGCAAGUCUUUCGAUGACAAGAGAGUGGGACAGAAUUCCAUCCGCCUGCAUUUAUUUUUGUUGUCUCUGUCUAGGGAGGAAACAUUGUGGCUUAAUGAACUGACGCCCGAUUCUAUAACCAGAUGAAGGCAGUUGAAAGAGGCUUUCCUAGAAAGGUUCUUUUCGCCUUCCAAAAGGGUAUAGUUGAGGGAUGAGAUCAACGACUUUAGGUAGUUUCCAACCGAAACCCUUCAUGAGACAUGGAAGAGGUUAAAAAAGAAGCUGAUGCAGUGUCCGAACCAUAAUAUGAUAGAUAUUCAUCUGAUAAAGACUCUUUAUUGGGGUUUGAACUCUAUUAUGAAGCCAGUUGUUGAUAAUGUUGCAGAGGGAACAUUUGUGGAUCUCACUUUUCAGGAGGCCUCAAAGAUGAUUGAUCGGAUGACCAAACAAAGUAGAGCUUGGCAUACCAGGGAUUCUGUGGUAGCAAGCCCUACUAUGUCUGUUGGCAUUACUGUCGAACAAUAGAAGAAAGAGAAAGAACAUGAUCAAGACAUGGAAUACUGGAAGACGCAGAUGGAUUUAUUAACCAAGCACUUAUUAUCUGCAAAGACUGAAAAAGUGAAAGAUGUUGUAUCACAAGGUAAAAAUUAUUUUGAUUCAAAAGAAGAAGCCAAAUAUUUGAAUAACUAGGGGGUUUUCGAGGCAAUAGCAAGAAAAUCAAGGUCAGACUUAUUAUGACAAGGCUAGAGAUAAGGAUUGGGAUCAAGGAAACUGGAAGAGGAAGAGUGAUAGAAGUGGGAUGUAUGUACCUCUCAGAAGCAGAGAUAAUGUAGAAACUAAUAUGGUAAGAUGUCCAUGGAGGACAUGAUAGAGAAAUUGUUAAAGAGAGUUGAGGCUACCAACUCUGGGGUAACUACCAUGAAGACCGAUUUGUCUUCUAUGAGUCAGUUGGUAAACUCGCACUCUACUUCGAUCAAACAGUUGGAACAACAAAUGAGCCAACUUUUUGUAGCAUUGAAUCAGAGAAAAAGUUGACGCUGCCAAGUGAUACAAUUUAGAACCCUCAAAAUAAUGGUUCAUGUAUGGCUAUUACCAUACAAAAUGGUAAGAUUUUAUCAGGCCCUUCUUUAGGCAAAACUGUUAAUGAUGAGGUGAUCAAAGAAGAUGUUGAUCUGGACAAAGGUAAUCCAGUAGAGUCUGAGAAGCUGGAUGACAUUGAUAUCCCUUCCAUCCAUUAAUAGGUUGAUGAGGUGGAACAAAGGAAAGAGAAUAAAAAGGAAGUAGUGGUGAAGACUCUCCCAAAACCACCAGCUCUCUUUCCUCAGAGAUUGAAAAUGAAGGUCGAUGAUAUGAAGUUUAGUAAAUUCAUAGAAAUGUUGAAGCAUCUAACAGUGAAUAUGCCUUUGGUCGAGGAACUUAAACAAAUGAUAGGACAUGCUAAAUUUAUGAAGGAUCUUAUGACGAAGAAAAGAGCGGUGAGCUAUGAACCAGUGGAUAACUUCCAUCAUUGUAGUGCUAUUUCUACAAGGUCCUUGGUGCAAAAGAAAGCAGACCCAGGAGCAUUCACUAUUCCUUAUACUAUUGGGUCACUAGAAUUCACUAAGGCCUUAUGUGAUCUAGGAGUAAGCAUCAAUCUGAUGCCGCUAGCUGUCUAUAAAAAGCUGGGUUUGGGCAUGCCCACACCCACCAACAUGUGACUUGUGAUGGUGGAUAGGUCGGUAAAAUGACCUAUUGGUAUUUUGUAUGAUGUGCUGGUAAAAGUGUCGAGCUUUAUAUUUCCUGCAGAUUUCAUAAUUCUAGAUUAUGAGGAGGACUUCGAGGUUCCCAUAAUCUUGGGUUAACCUUUCUUCACAACCGAAAAUGUGUUGAUUGAUUUACGAGCUAAUGAGCUCUUAUUCAAGUUAAAUGAUAAAGUGGUGUGAUUUGAUGUGUGCAAAUCAAUGAAGCAGUAUACAGAAAUGAGUGUGUUCUCAAUUGUUGACAUAUAUUAUGAGGAUGAGUAGGAGGUGUCAAUAGAGGAGAAACUUUCUUCCAACCUUUAGCUAUAGUACUGAUGAGUUUUGAUCAUAAAGGCUUUGAGGAGUACAAAGAGACUGUUCGUGCGUUGUUAAGAAUGGGUUCAUACUCUUAUGCCCCUAAGAAUACAGAUCUUGAUCUUGCUAAUCGACCAACACCACUGGCUAAGCUAUCCAUUGAAGAGCCACCGGAUUUGGAAUUGAAAGAACUGCCAGGGCAUUUAAGGUACGUGUUUUUGGGUAGUGGAAACAUGUUACCCAUUAUUAUUGUAGCUGAUUUGGGCAAGCAACAGGUGGAAGCACUUAUUGCGGUACAACAAAGUACAAAAGGGCAAUAGGCUGGACUAUUGUAGAUAUUAUUGGCAUUUCCCCUGGCAUUUGCACUCAUAAGAUACAGUUUUAGGAGGACUACACUCCAACCAUCAAACACCAAUAUAAUAUUAACCCACUAAUGCAUGAGGUGUUUAAGAAAGAAAUUAUUAAAUGGCUGGAUGCAGGAGCAAUUUAUCCUAUUUCUGAUAGUAAAUGGGUGAGCACAAGAAAUGGGGCAUGACUAUUGUUGCAAAUGAAAGGAAUGAGUUGAUUCCACUCAGGUUUGUGACUGGGUGGAGAGUGUGCAUAGACUACCACAAACUAAAUUUAUGGACUUUGAAAGACCACUUCUCGAUGCCCUUUAUGGAUCAAAUGCUUGAUCGAUUGGCAGAAAGGGGGUGGUAUUACUUCUUGGAUGGUUAUUCAGGGUAUAAUUAGAUCUGUAUUGCUCCCAAAGAUCAGGAGAAGACAAUAUUUACAUUCCCGUAUGGUACUUUCACAUUCAAGCAGAUGCUGUUUCGAUUAUGUAAUGCACCUACCACCUUCCAAAGGUGUAUGUGUCUAUUUUCUCAGAUAUGGUUGAAGAUACCUUGGAAGUAUUUAUGGAUGAUUUCUUGGUGGUAGGAGAUUCAUUUGAGAUUUGUUUGGCAAACCUGAGUAUGGCCUUGGAACGAUAUGUGGAAUUUAAUUUGGUGCUUAAUCAAAAGAAAUGCCACUUUAUAGUGAAGGAGGGCAUUGUUCUCAAGCACAAAAUUUUGGCAAAAGGGAUAGAGGUAGAUCGAGCCAAGGUAGAGGUUAUUUAGAAGCUACCACCUCCCAUUUCAGUGAAGGAAGUAUGUAGUUUCCUUGGACAUGCUGGCUUUUAUCAGAGGUUUAGAAGGGAUUUCUUGAAGGUUGCAAAUACAUUAAUCCAAUGGACUUGAUAAAGUGUUAGCCACCUUAUAUCUUGAUAAAUUCUGAGUAAUCAAGAUAACUAAGUCGUGCUGCGACACUAAAUCAGGCGCUAUUGGAAGGCAACCCAAAGUUUUUAUGUUUGAUCAAGGUGUCUUGAUGACCAAGUCUAAUAAGCUAUCACACUUGUGAUAAGCCAUCACACUAGGUCAUCAGAGAAGCUAAGCUUGAGGUAUAUUUUAUUUAGGGCUGACGACAACACUUGAUGGGUUAUCACAAUUGUGAUAAGCUAUCACAUGAGGUCGUCAACUGAGAAAAAUUUUGAGAUAUGUUCUGGAUAGAGCUGAUGACAAAAUAUGACAGGCUAUCACAACUCUGAUAAGCCAUCAAUAUUGACCAUCAGAUAUGAUGAAAUAAGGCAACACUCUGCCUUGAUCUACCCCAGGUAUACCCUAAACCUUAGUUCAGUUUCUCUUUGAAUAUAUAUUGAGGACAACACUUGAUUUUAUGUUGAGGGUAUAGGGUGAUUUGUUGUAAAGUGUUGUAGUUGACUAGGAGAAAUACAAGUACCUUAGGCAGUUAGCAUAUUUUUGUUGAUUUUUGAACACCUCUCCAAUGGUCUACUAUAUAACUGUGUGAUAGGCAUUUAUGUGUGACCACUGUGCAUCUUGUUAUGGCAUUAGUACUAGUGACAUGAUAACUAUUGCUAAAAAGUUGCAUAAACCGGAUGGGUAGUAGCCUGUAAUGUACUUGUAUGCCAUGUGGUGUGAGAUAUUACUUAGAUCCCUUUGUAUGUUAAAUUCAGAACUUGCCCGGUUAGUCUUGCCUUGGUUGUAGGAAAGGAUCAUAGGCCAUUUUAAGAUUAGUCCACUUCUAGCCUAAAUUACCUUUCCUAUAUGAAUGAUAUCCCUUGAUCCCAUUUUUGAGAAUGCCUAUUCUUUUAUGAUACCUAUCACCUUCCCAUUUGUAUCAUAAUGAACCUGUUUUGGCCCUAGUCCUUAUUGGACACUGUGCACUUUGACUUAGACAAAUAGCCAAAGUUGAGGGUGGAUACCAUAGGGGUGCAUGAUGUAAAAUUAGUAUGAAGAAAGCUAGAAUAAAAGAAAAGAAUAAAAAGCUACAUUUGGUGGAAAAACAACAAGAAAAGAAAAGUUGUGAAAAAAAAUGAAAUAAUUGUCAAAAAGACCGCACCCAUCCAGAGUAUGCGUGAUCAAGAAAGAAGAGAACUAGGUAAAGGUAAAUAAGAGAGACCCCAAAAGUUAGUUUAGUGCCAAGAAGGAUUAGUCACCUUAAAUAUCAUAGAUUGUCAUACCAGACCUUAGCCUACGUUACAAGCCGAAGAAAAAGACCUAUAGUGAUCCUAGCUUACCUGUCUGAAAACCUUGGUAAUGAAAAUAAGGGCAAGCUUAUGGUAUUUAGCAUACAUUGACUGGAACUUCUUUUUGAGAGUGAGUGUCUAUUAAUUGUCCCCAUAAUUACAUAUGUUAUUUCUUAUAUGAGUGAGGAGGGACUUCUUUAUUUUAAGGGCACACUGGUUAUGUUUCUAGUUGCUAACUUGUUUGGUUAGUGUAAUACUGGUACAUGAAUGGUUGUUGUUGCUAAGUUGAUGCCAUAGCUUGAUUCCUUUGUGUUGCAUUAUUGCUUUUCAGUAAUAUACAUAGUUGAGUUUUAGAUGAUUGACCUUGGAGAUGGUAAAUAUGUUUUGAGCUAAAAUGAAUGAUUGAUUGCCGAAUGUGCUUUGUAUCCUCUUAGUUAUGUCUAAGUUGCUUGAUGACAAGCAAUUUUUUUAAGUUGAGGGUGUUGAUAUGUGAGGUAAUGCUAACACAUUUGAGGCUUUUAACUAGAAAUAAUUAUAAGGUCUUAAGCAAAUUUUGUCAUUUUUGAUUGUUUUCUCUUUGAUAAUAUAGGAAAGUCAAGAUGCAAGAAAACCAAAGACAAUAAGAGCAAAAGAGGUGAAUUUGGAACAAGUGGCCAUGAAAGUGUAGUUGACGACUUGUCUGAUAAGUCGUCAAAUUUCCUAUAAGUUAUCAGAGUCAUCAUCAGCUGUAGAAAGUCUGAGGAAAUUGGAGCAGAAGUGCGACGCAUCCCCUGAUAAGCAAUCUGGUGUCUGAUAAGCCAUCAAGACUGCGAUCAGCCUAAGGCAGAGAUCAUGAAAGUGGAAGAGGAGAUGAUGAGAUUUCUGAUAAGUCAUCAUAAUUUUGAUAAGCCAUUAGGAGCUGACGUUAACCUAAGGCAGAAAUCAUCAAACUUGGAGGAGCUGACGAUAAUGUCUAAUAAGUCAUCAGACUCCUGAUAAGGCGUCAUACUUCAUCUUCAGCUAUGCGUGAAAAAGUUAUAUUCUUUGAUUUGAUUCCUAAUUUAGCUCUUGGUAUUUAAGGGAAAGUUCUUAGGUUUUAUUAGAGGCAGACAUUCAUCUUGAACUUGACGACAUUCAUCUUGAACUUCACGACAUUCAUUAAUUGAACACAAACUUACACUAUUUUUUCUCCCUAGUUUUCUCUGUAACUUUACAAUUAACUUUUGAGAGAUUUUUAUCAUUAUUUUUUUGGGAUUUCUACUGCGAUCUAAUCUGUGAAACAAUUGUUAAUAUUCAUUACUCUGUAAUUUAUCAUUCAUCGAAUUAUGAAUACAAAUUGUCUUGUCAUUUUUUACAUUAUGAGUAGCUAAUUCCUUUAACCCGAGUUGUGGGAUCUAUGGGUUUGGUUUUGUAAAGUAGCUUGGUGUUCAAGAUUCUAAAGAUAGUAGGAAAUCCUUGUAAUUCCUCUGUUUUACAUAUUUUCUAUUGGUUGCAAACGAUAGGUCAUGCCUGCUAGUGAUUUGCUUGAAAUAAGAAAUCAACCCUAGUAGGAAGUGAAUUAUCAAUAGGGACUUAAAAGCAUCAAACUUUCAUUUAAUAAUUAAUGCUUUAACAAGGUAAAUUAGCGUGAGACAUCAUCUUGUUAUGAAAUAUAAAUUCCCUAUGUUCGAAAUAAAUAGGUAAUUAAAUGUUUACGUAGGUUGAGAAACAUUUAGACAUUACUUUGACAAGGAUAAUCUGCUAUUCCUACCCACCCCAAGAUUCUCAAACCUUUACUAGGGUCUUUCAAAUACCAUCACUCAUAGUGAACGUAACUAUGGUUUUCCAUAUAAUAUUGAUUACAAACACUAACACUGAAUUGAGAAAUAAUUACUUGUUACCCUUUAAAAAACCCCAUUUAUAGAAAAUUGCUAACUAUCAGUUGAUUGACUCACAUACAACUCAAAUUUACACAUAUUCCCUAUAGGAUUUGACCCCAACCUAGUUGGGUUAUAGAUUUGACAACUACCACUUACUCCUUCAUAAAAGAAGCGUAGUUUGAGCGUUAUUAAUGAUCUUUAAAUAGAUGAUACUUUUCUAGAUGAUCGGGUCUUGGCAACAUCUCAAGACUUAAUCCCAUGUUUGUUGAUUUUGCUAACUUUUGGGCAAGUGAUCUUGUUACAAAAGAUUUAUCAUUCCAGCAGGGCAAAUAGUUUAUGCAUGAGGUGAUAAAGGUUUUCUAAGAUGAUUAUUAUCUAUUUUGGGUUUGUGUAGAUUGAGUUAUUUAGAGAUGUAUUCCUGAGGUGGAGAUGAUAAGCAUCCUUGAGGAUUAUCAUUCUUUGCCAGUUGGGGGUCUUCAUGGUGGUACCCGUGCAACCCAUAAAUUCUAUAGUGCGAGUACUAUUGGCCGACUAUUUUUAAGAAUGCUCAUGAUUUCACUUGAUCCUGUGAUUAAUGUCAGCAACAAGGUAAUAUUUCACUAAAACAUAAACUCCCCAUGACACCUAUCAUGGAGUUAGAGUUGUUUGAUGUGUGGGAGAUUGAUUUCAUGGGUCUGUUUGGGAGCUCUUAUGGGAUGAAGUAUACUAGUAGAAGUCGACUAUGUUUUUAAGUGGCUGGAGGCGGUUGUGCUCCCUAACAAUUAGGGUUAAAGUUUCACUGCAUUCUUGAAGAAAAACAUCUUUUCUUGAUUUGGCACUUUGCGUUCUAUUAUUAGUGAUGGUGGGUCCUACUUCUGCAAUCAUCUACUUAAGGCCUUGCUAAAAUAAAAUUAUGUGAAGCAUAAAGUGGCAACAACUUACCAUCCUCAGAUGAGUGAGCAGGUUGAGGUCUCCAAUCAUAAGAUCAAGUCCAUAUUGGCAAAGAAUAUGAACGCCAAUAGGACGAACUAGUUAAGGAAGUUAGAUGAUGCUCUUUGGGCUUACUGGACAGCUUUUAAAACCACCAUAGGUGCCUCUCCAUAUCAUAUUAUGUACGACAUCACAUGCUACUUGCCUAUUAAAUUUGAGAACAAGUUAGUAUAGGCUUUAAAAAAGCUCAAUUUAGAGUAAAGUGAUGUAGCAAAUUUGAUGUUGAGCAAGGUGAAUGAGUUAGAUGAAUUUUGGCUUCGGGAUUUGAGAGAUCUACUUUGUACAAGGAGAAGAUAAAGCUGUAUCAUGAUAAAAAGUUGAGAAAAGAGUAUUUGAUCGUGAUUACAUGGUCCUAUUGUAUAAUUUAAGACUUUUCUUGUGUCCUGGAAUGUUGACGUCUAGGUGGUAUGGACCAUUCACUAUGAUUAGUUUGUUAUCAAAUAGUAGUAUUGAGUUGAAAUGAAUGGCGAGCCAUAUUUAAGGUGAAUGAGAAGCGCGUUAAACACUGUAUUGGAAAUACUAAAGAAGUGAAAGUUUGUGUUGAUGUAAGACUUGGCAAAGUCUGAGUAGUUAAGGGAAUCGAGUCGUGCUGUGAUGUUAAAUCAAGCGCUUUCUAGGAGGCAAACCAUGGGCUUGUUGGUGAAGUAUAAGUAUCCAACACUGUCAAAUUAUGCUGUGAUGUUAAAUUAAGCCCUAGUUAGGAGGCAACAAAAUUUCUAGUGUUCACUUUAUUUUUAUUUUAAUAGGUUUAAAGGUUGGGACAAUAGUUGGAACAUGGUAAAAAUAAAAAAAUUUAGAAAACUCUAGGUAAGGGGACUUACUGACCUACUUAUGGGGGUCAUAAGUCCAACCUAAGCUAGGUAAGUGAUGCAGUAGAUGUUAGAGUGAAGAUUUAAGAAUUGUAGGGCCUUUGAAUUUUUACUCAGAAACCCACUUAAGGUGGUUGGAAGUACCACUCUAGACCCCGUAAGUGGGGUCAUUGAAAUCGAAGUCAAGAUUCAGAGGAUUAUAGGAUUUUUAGGUCACUUACGGUGGCCCAGUAAAUACCAUUUGGGGGUCGUAACUGGCCCCGUAAGUGGACUAAUACUCUAAGGGAUGGAAUUUUAAAAUCUAGAUUUGACACAAGUGGAUAUGACUCGAUCUGGCACACCAUCAACCAUGAAACCCCCAAACCCAAUCCAUAUUCCCCAUUUUCCUAGAUUUUGUAACUUCCCACCUUAAUUAAAACUCUCCAACUCCCUUUUGUCACUAUAAAGCAAAUAACCACUCAUAUUUUCUCUCACUUCCACACGCAGGGCACAUAAAGCUAGAGUUUUCAUCAGCCUUAAUUACUUUCUACUUCAAUCAUCUGCCACUAAGGUAGUAUUCUUGGCACCUACAGGUUAAAAAUUUUAUUAUUAGAAAAAACUUGAGUUGGUACUUAAAUAAUCCUAAUAUUUGAGUGAAUCUAUUAAGUCUUGAUAGUUUGGAGCCUAGAAUGGUUAAAAUGUAAACUUGUUGCAUUGUUCUUGACUGGGAAACCUAUGAUCAUGUCUUUAUGAAAGUAGAAGUUAAAUAAGUAGAUUAUAAUCUAAAAUUCUUAUGUAAAACCUAUUAAUUUUAACUUGAUAUAUGUUGUUGUGUAUGAAGCUGGACUUAAAAAUGCAACAUACCCUGUGUGGGAUAAAUUUUUUUGGGAAAAUCUUAAGUACCCAUAGCAGAGUACCUACACCGCUACUUAUGAGCCACAUAAAUGGAACUUACGGACCAUAGGUGGGGUCGUAGGUAUCCCGCCUUAGGUGUUUUGAUUUCUUUCAAAACAUUUUGUUCCCUUUUUCUUUUUUAAGCACUAACAACUACUUUUUCAGGUAUAAUGACACCUAAAGUAGCCAGAAAAAGAGAGUUUAAUCAAGGAUCCAUGAUAAGUCCCUAGACUAGAGUGGCUCUAUAGAAAAGUACCAUAUUAGCACAAACAAUACUUUAGUGGCCCCACGAUAAUCUAAGGGUUGAUCUUUGAGAUAGAUUGCAGCUGUAAUAGUUGUGUCCAUAUUGGUCACCCAGCCUACCCAACACCAAAUUAAUUAAGGAUUUAUCCCACACUAACACAGAAUGAGGCCUAGAUAACAACAGUUAGACCUGUUCCUAGAUUGAGGAUGAAGAUGACCCAAAACUUACCACUACACUCUCCCUAAUACAAGGAGUGAGAGUGUUAUUUUGAAUAUGGUUUAGAGAAUGAGGUAGAUUUAUAGUUUGGGUAUAGAUAGGAGUUUGAGUCUAGAUUAGCAUCAGGGUCUGUAGAAGAGAAGAAGGCUCUUGGCUCUUAAUUAGAGGAGGGGUUAAAGAAAGCAUCAGGAUCAGUGAGUGAUUCACAUCGAUUGCACCAUAGCCUAAGGAGGGUGUAUUCCAGUGGCUUCAAUAGAUUUCAUUGUCUUUAACAUAAUAUGAUCUAUCGAUAUCACAGGACACCCAACCUUUUAUUCCACCACUGAACCCAGGGUGUGACUUUAGAUACGUAUUGGAUAUGACUAUAAUUAAGAUAAACUUGAGGUGGUGUGUAGAGGGUAUGAAGCAUAUCUUUGAUAUAGAUAGCCUCAUUAAAAAGAAGAGUCAGCCUAAGAGGAAUAUUGUAGUUGAGAGAAGGAUUGAUCUGAUGGGGUUAGUAGGGGCACCAGACCUGCAAACCUCUUUUGACCCUUAUCGAUUAGGGUGGAUAAGUCAUCCCCAAGGAUCAUAUAUCCUGGCAAUAGAUUAGGAGUUUUAUGCCUCUUACACUUCCAUGAUCUAUUUGAUUACUCAACAUGAGGGUAGAAGUAUAGAGUAGCCCUAGGUGGAUCAUAAAUUAGUUUGAGGGGUCAGAGUAAACAUUUAUGUGGAGGCCAUCUAUAAGGUACUAUCUGGGAUAGACUAUGUGGCAUCAAUAUCAAUGAUAAUAUUUCAUUUUAGAAUGAGAAUAGUAUGGGAUAGACACGCUAUGAGAAAUAUAGAUUACAGAUAAUAGAGGCUUGACUUGGCUUAUUGGAUAGCUAUCCGUAUUUAUGAUUUGGGCAUUGAUGACCCCUAGAAAAAAGGAAAAGUGGAGAUAAAGAAGUCAACACUGUAUUUUGCAACAAAAUUUUAGAUUAACAUGGUGUGCUUCAGGCUGAGUUUGAGUACAUCAAACAAUAUACUUACAUGAAAGAGAGAUACAUUGGUUUCCAUCCUACUUACUAGAUAUGAUGUUGAUUUUACGCCAUUAAACCAAUUGAAGAUUCAUGUUAGAGCAUUUAAUAAGGCCAUGACUCUCCUUUUCCUUGUCUUAUCUAGAAGUUAUGUGAUGCGACUGAAGAACUAAAUAUUCAUGAUUUUGAUCAUAGAAUAGAGGUGACAAGCACUAGAAAUAUUAGUUUGAUCAAGGAUCUAGCAAACCCAAUCCUUGUAUAGAGAGUGAAACCACCCCUACUGCUGUUUUGGUCCAUUUUGAGGGACCUUCAAUUUUUAUUGAUCUUGUUGAGAGGUUAGACAUUGGUGUUGAUAUUGAGAUAAGAGAGUAGAGAGCUUAGCUAAAAAAAAAAAAGGAAAGGGCCCCAACUGUAUCUAUGUCAGCCCCAACUUUUACUUCUAAGCCGUAUGAGGUAUCUAUUUUUCCUUCUUGACCCAAAUUUGUUGGUUUGGUUAGUGUGCCACAUGAGUUUCUUUAGCGCAUGGUUAAAUAGAAAGACAAGGUAAUAACAUGCAUCACUCAGAUCGAGUCUCACUUGGCAGCAUUAUUUUGAUGGAUUUGAUCUUUGGUUCGGACUACACUUGAGAUUAUUAAGGCUUAAUUUGAGGAAAGGAUGAGGGAAGAUAUGGUAGAGAUUAUUCAAGAUUUGCAUGCUCUGAUUGAUGUUUUUGAGGGCUGGGGGAAUGCAUAAUUUAGAGAGGUUCAUGCUCCAUAUUUUUGUAGGAUUUGAGAGAAGAUGCCACACUAUAUACGUGAGGUAUGCUCUUUUACAGAGAGCCAAAUUAUGGUCAUUCCCCUUAUCAUCCCCUUGUUUGCACAACCAUUACCUCCACGACCAUUUAUAUUGUUUGAUUUAUUUUUUAAAGAGGAUACAAUCCUGACUGUUAGAGAUAACAGAGGCCAAGAGGUGGAGGUACAAUACCCCAGCAUACACUUUAAUUAGGCCUUGAAAAUAGCCACCCGUGAUUCCAGGGUGUCUUCAAUAAUUGAUGCAUAGAGACAAGCUGAGAUAGUAGUGAGCGCGUCUUAUAGUCGUGCCCCACCACCAUUUUUGCAUAAUGAUCCAUGAGAUGCAUAGAUUGGGGUGAGUCUGCUACAGAAACCUAGAUCAUCCCAAGUAUGUACUAAUUCCCUUAUUUUAUCUUGUAGUUAUGCACUGGGGAUAGUGCACAUCCUUUGGUUGGGAAGGGGGUGUACCACGAUCGAGGGUUUUUCUUACAAUGUUUGUUUUCCUAUUGGCUGUGCUAUUAUAAUAGAACUGGCAUGUUUAGGUCAUUUUGUGUUUGUGUCAUACAUGUUUUAUAUUUUGUUUGUAUUUAACUAUGAUAAAAAGAAGUGACCAAAGGGCAGUUGAUAUAUUUUAUUUACUUUAAAGUGUUUUGAGAAUAAUGAUGCCCCUCCAAAAAGUUUUUAUGAAUUGUGUGAUAUGAUUGUAUGUGUGACCGUUGGGAUCAUGUUAUGGUAUUAGGAUUAGGGACAACAAUUAUAUCUUAGCAUUUACAUGAACUGGAUAGGUAGUAGUUGGUAAUACAACCCUAUAUUAUGUGUGUGAGAUGCUUACCUAAUUCUCGUUGUGCAUUUAAUCCAGAACAUACUCGGUUAGUCUUGCCUAGGUUGUAGUAUAGUUGGUUAGGACAUGAUCAUAGGUUGUUUUUAAACUUAGUCCACUCUUAGCCUAAUGACCAACGAAAUGUGAAAAGUAUCCCUCUAUCCCUGAUUUGAGCCUACAUAGACCCAUUUUCUUAUUUUCACCUUUCACUUUCCUAGUUUAGUUACAAUGAGCCUAUGUUAGCCUUGGUCCCUCCUUGGACUUUGUGCACCUCAAUUCAAAAAAAUUUCCUAAGUUAAGCGUGGCUAUCAUAGGGGUGUGUAGUUAGAAUUAGGUAUGAAGAAGGGUUUGAAUAAAAGAAAAAAAAGUUGGGUUGGGUGUGGUAAAAUAAUUAGAAAAUGAGAAAAAAAUAAAAAAAAUUGAAAAAGGAAAGAAUAAAGAGUAAAUAAAACCACACCAACCUGAAUAAGAAAUAAAAGAGAAAGGGGAGAAACAAAAGAAAACAAUUACGAUUGGGAAGUAGACCCCAAAAGUAAUUGUAGUGUCAAGAAAGGUUAGUCUCAAGUUCAUAAAUGUACCAUACCAACCCCUAAGCCUGAUCCUAGUCCUACUGUUUGAGAAAUUAAGGUAAGUAAAAUAUGGGCAAGCCUAUGAUAUUCUAUUCACAUUUAUUGGAACUUCUUUAUGAGUUUUAGUGUAUCAACAUUAUCCCCGCAUUGACAUGUAUGAUCAUACUUUAAAAGUAGGAUUUCUUUGUUGUGAGGGUAUAUGGUUUGUGUUGCUGGCUGAUUACCUUUUCAGGUAAUGUAACUUGUAUACUUUCUUAGUUGUUUGUCGCUAAUGUAAUUCCAUAGCUUGAUUCCUUUGUAUCACAUUAUUGUGCACAUAGAUCCACAUAGUAGUUUUGAAAAGUUGGAAAUAGGAGUGGGUAAUGUGUUUUGAGCUGAAAUUGAGUUGACUACCACAGGUACCUUAGGUUUCUCUUGGUUAAGCAUUGACGUAUUAUUUUGUUAUGUGUUUAUUUACCAAGGACAUGCAAAUGUUCUAAGUCAAGGGUGUUAAUGGGCUAGGGUUUCAUGGAACUUUCAAUACUUAAAACUUAAAAAUACGCAAGUACUUAGGUCUAUUUUAUUAUAUAUGAUGUGUUUCUAUGUUUAUUUUGUAGGAAACUAGGUUUUGGAGCCUUAAAGAAUAAAAAGCGUCGAAGUGUGUAGAAGUCCUUACUUAUGAUACAUAAGUUCCACAUACAUUCACCAUAAGUGGCCUUGUAAGUAUUAGAGGAGGUAUGAUAUGAGAAGAUGAAUGCUGAAGAUUGUUAUGACAUUGAUAGAGGGUUACAAUGCGUAAGUACCACUUAUGCCAACAUAAGUGCCAACAUUAGAAUCAAAGAAAAUUAUUUGGAGAAGAUUGAAGUCUGAAGAAUGGUCUGAGAAGGAUGAAGGGGAUACUUAUGCAGAAUAAGUACCACUUAUACCACCAUAAGUGCCAUCAUAAGUAGCAUGCUGCAACUCUAAAGAUUUUCUAAAACUUACGACCCACCUAGGGGCCCGUAAGUACUACUUACGACCCAUAAGUGAGUCCGUAAGUGGUCACCAUCCCAAUUUUCCUUAUUCAUUCUAGUUAGGAUUUUAUGGUAUUGAUGUAUUCUAUAAAUACCCCUUUGAUGUUUCUAUAUUAGUUUACAUACUCUUUACAUUCACAAACAUAUAUUGAUUUUAAGAUUUGACUUUUGAUCUUUCAUUCAUAAACAAAAUCUGUGUUUGCUUCUUAAAUUAUUCCAAGAUUAAUCUUAUGCUUUCUUUGAUGAACCCUAAGGAUAUUCUUACAAACAUCAGAGGCUAAGCCACCUACCUAGGAUUGUGGGAACCUUGCAGAAUAAAAAAGUAGAGAAAGUGUGAGGACCUAAAUUAGUAUUUUAUGCAUGUAUUGUGAUCUUUUUCUAUUUGUUUUCUUUCUUAGCUACUACGGAGGUUAAGAACUUACCUGUAUUCGAGAUCAUCUUUACAAGAGAGGUUGAGAUUAGAAAAUAAGAUUGCAAUCAUAAUUCAAGGCUACAAACCCUCAUCUAAUUAAAUUGACACUCAAAAGGACAUAGUUAAUCUAGGAUUAAGGAUAAGGAUUAGUAAGGCAAUACUCUGAGAUGAUAAUGUGAAGAGUGAAAUUUACAAAAGUCAUUCAAAGGAUGGUUCAUAAUAUAUAUCUUGUUAAAUUUUUCAUGCAGAGCAUUAAGAUAGUCUAAUUAAUCAUGAUAAGUCUACGGAGUUAGAAAGCCAGGGGAACACAAUCCCAGUAUUCAUCUCAAAUUGACUUUAACCAAAGCAACCAACAUUUGUUACUAAUUAAUACUGUUCUCACCAAAACACCCUAUUUACUAUCCUGCAUUUUUUUUGGCUACUUCAGUAAAUUUGUGAGAGAUUUACAGCUUAUUCCCUGUGUGUUUUACCCCAACCUCUGUGGGGUUAUUAUACUUGACAAUGACUGCAUUGUGAUUUUUUUGGAGGUAUAUCUUGGGAGACAUCGAUUCCAUUAUGGAUUUUUAAUGGAUCAACUUCAGUACUUCAAGGUUAGUGUGAUUGAGUUGCACGCGCAGGACUCGGGUGACUCUUCGCUUGGUUUAGAAUGUUUAGUAGUUUUGGAAAGGCAAAAGAAGGUUAUAUUUUUAUUUAUAGUUGGUUGCAUCACUCAUGCUUGGUUUGCCUUUAACUUGGAUUAUUUUCAUUUGAUUAUGUUGGUAUCAGUGUGGUAUUAGUAUGUUGUGGUUUAGAUUUGCGUGCAUCAACCUUCCUCAAUUCAGUUGGAGGCUAGUUGGUAGUUGAGGUUAAGUUUUGAUUGUUUGAGAAGUGAUGAAAUAAAGUUGGUUGAAAAAGGUAUACCUAUGGUAAAGUCCCUUGGAAGUGUCGUGUUUUCUUGGAGGUUAUCUACGAAGUCGUACUUAGAGCAUGCGGGCCCAGUACCUCGUACCUUUGAGCUUUUAUGAUCUUUUUAUCCAUUGACUUUUGCAGAUGAAAGUCUUUUUCGUAGUCGAUAGUGUAAUAACUCUCUAGGUCAUUUCCUUGAUUCAUAUGCAUUUUUGACAUUUUUAGCUUUCCUAUAGUGGCAACAUGUCAUUUAUGAAUUGCCAAAACUAUCGACUUGGUUAAGGGAUAGUCCAUUUGGAUUUUAGGCUAAUUUCCGUAUUAAGGAGUUAUUGCAAUUUAGGAUUUGGUAUCGGUGAAUAAUUUAUUGUACAUAACCUUGGAUAAGAAUUCUGAAAAUGCCAUCAACUUUGAAAUGUUGAUUUUAUACCGGGGGAUCCUUGGUUCAGGUCCCUAGGCUAUCAAACUCGUUUUGGCCUAUUGGGCAAAUUAUAUUAAAAAUAGAACUAUAGGUGUGGUCCUCAUAAUUCUUUUAAAUAAUCUCGGGUGAAAGUUUUGAUGAUUCUAUUGAGUUCGAGAUAUCAAAUUUGGUAUGGUAGCAUAGUGUGUUUGCAUGCACGGGGUUCCAAUCAAAUCCAAGGCACUCCGUCGAAGUCCAUUCUGGACUUUGCAAAAUUUGGUGCAUGCCACUUGAUAGGACGGCUUAAGUACCUAUUGGGUCACUUUAGUGUUCAGUAAUAUAGCUCCCAGAGUCCACUGUAGUGACCAGGCCCUUUUUCGGUAGUGCGCUUUAGCGGCAUCCGCUGCUAUUGCCAGACCACUUUAGCGAUCAUGUUGUCACUUUAGCGCUAGGCACUUUAGGACACCAGAUGUCUGCUUCAAUGACACCUGUAGCUUUUUUGUUCCAUUUUCUCCAUCUGAUUUUCUACCGUUCCUUCUACUAUCUUUACACAAAAUUGAGAGCUGAAAGAGUAGAAAAAAUUUGAAAAUCAUCCAUAUAAGUUGAGGUAAGCUAAUCUAGCUCUUCUUGGUCAUUCCCAUUGAUGUUUCCUUAGAUUUUCAUUCUAAUUCUUGGUAAAAUCCUUAGAAAUUAGGUCUUAAAUUCCUUAAUUUUGAGGGUUUAGAGACUCGAUUUGUUCCCCAUUUGUGCUCAACUUUUGAGCACACAUUUCUUGUUUUUUGAGGGACCUCGUGACAGGUUUAAUUUUGAAUUCUAUUUGUGGGCCCCACAAGCUGUUCUUGAUCAAAAUUUUUCACCCAACCCUUAAUAUAGCAAUAUGGGUCUUGUUUUUUUUCCUAACUACGUUUAGAAUACUAUUUUGAUAACAUGACGAUAUUUGUGAUUGUGGACUAACGAUGGAUAAUUCAUGGACAAUUUAAGGGUUGUGAUUCGACAUUGAGGUUGACUUUUCUCUCCUCUUCUUCUUGAUAUGGUGUAUUAUAUAUGUUACAUGUUAGAUAGGGGUUUUAGGAUAUGAUUAUGGUCGAACCCCGUGACCUAGCCUACAUUCUGAGUUUGGGGGAUAGAAGGGUAUUUGACCCUUAAGCUGAAAUACUUAUUAUACUUCUAUAAUCCUAUUACCUUCUUUAUAUAUAGAGAUAAUUCGUAGUAUGAUUAUGAUAUUAUUCUAUAUAUGGAAUGGGAUUUAGGUCUUGGAAGAAGGAUUAGUCUUAUUUAGACUGUUUAGACUAUCUUAGAACAGUAAUUUAGGUGGAAUUUGACUUAGUUGCUCAUGUUCUAGGUGGAAUUUCUAUCUUAGGACUAAUUACGGAUUAUUUAAUAUCUAGAAGUGAAUUAAGGUACCGUAGCCUAUCCCGGGUAGAAGCUUGUCUAAAAUAAAUUUUGAUAAUUUAAACGUGGGCCCCUUCAUCCCACCUUAGGCCAUGACUUAUGUUAUCUUUGUAGACUUAUGUUCAUAUGAUGGCCUAUUAGACAUAGAUGAGAUUAACGAUCUUCUAGUAUAAGGUUGCUAUGUGACUUGGUAGAUUGUAAUGAUUUUCCCCCGAAUUAUGAUGUUUUGGUUAUUUUGGAUAUAAUAUUGGGUCUAAGACCAUGAUUAUGAUUCUAUGGUUAUGCUAGAUAUAUAUUGGUCCUAAGUUCGUGAUUUUGAUAUUGGUUAGAUUUUGGGAAUUAUUCUAUCAUUGUAAAGGAAGAGGUCGUAGUUUAUAGACAUAUAUAAUUCUUAUAAUCAUAUUAUUUGAAUGCUGGUGAUGGCAUGUAUAGAUUCGGUACAAUCAUGAUCAUUUAGACGGUAAAUGGUGUGAAUUCGACUAAAAUAUGGUUUUAUUACUCUUUUCCUAAAAAGGGAUUUAUUCCUACUUUUCUCUUUUAAAAAAAAUUUCUUCAUAACAGGAAUCGUUCCAUCUUAAUGAACAACUCACGAGCCUUUGAGCUUAAAAAUAAUGUUUUAGCGAUUUGACUGAGAUUGAUGUUGAUCAAUGAUUUUUCUACUACGAUUUACCUUGGUCUAGAGUGAUUUCGACCCUUUCCAUACUUUUAUGAUGAUUUAGUCCUGUAGUUUACCCCAGACAAUAGAUUUACGGACUUAUAGUCUUUUAGCCACGGUCCUAGCCGUGCAUUAUACAUACAUACAUACAUAUAUCCAUAUAUAUAUACAUACAUACAUAUAUAUGUAUAUAUAUGUAUAUAUAUAUGUAUAUAUAUAUGUAUACAUAUAUAUAUGUAUAUACAACAACAACAACAACAUACCUAGUGUAUUCCCACUUAGUGGGGUCUG